UUAUUGGAAGAUGGGUGGAGGAGCAUCGUCAGAAGAGGCUUUCCGGAAGCAUCAAUGAGGCUGAGCAAGACUUCAUUCACGCCAUGCUGUCUGUUAUAGAUGAUGCUCAGUUCUCUGGCCAUGACCAUGACCAUGAUACUGUCAUCAAAGCCACUUGCUUGGUAUGUUUCUACUACUUCAUAACACCACCAUCCUCAUGAGCAUCUGCAACUUCAUCAAGACCUUGAUAAUACUCGUAUUACUACAUCAUGAUCUAUUUUUUCCUUCUGCUAUACAGUAUUUCAGGACUAUUGAAGUAACUCUGUUUGUUUCUUUGACAAAAAUUGCCGUGACCAUUCCCUAAGGAAACAGCAGACAGAAUUCAUAAAUUAGGCUGGAAUAUAACAGGAACUGGGAUAAUUUUUUUAUACCCGGAUUCCCCAGUCAUAAUUCUUCUGCCGACACGCUAGACAUACUAUUUCACAAAUGAUGUAUGGACUUUUUUCUUUAAUCACAAGUUCAACAUGGGUGUAAUAUGUUGAUGCAGACUGUCAUGUUGGCGAGCAAUGAUACAAUAGCGAUCACACUCACCUGGGCACUCUCUCUGCUAAUGAACAACCCUCAUGCUCUAAAAAAGGCACAAGAAGAGUUGGACUUCCAUGUGGGAAGGAAUCAGCAAGUGUACGAAUCAGAUAUAAAGAAGCUAGUCUACUUGCAAGCCAUUAUCAAGGAGACUUUACGACUAUACCCUGCUGGGCCGCUUGCACUGCCACAUGAGGCCAUGGAGGACUGCACUAUUGCUGGCUUCCACAUCCAAGCUGGGACUCGCCUUCUGGUUAACCUCUGGAAGUUACACCGCGAUCCCACAAUUUGGUCGGAUCCUUUGGAGUUCCAACCUGAGAGGUUCCUGACAAAGCAUGUGGGUUUGGACGUUAGGGGUCAACAUUUUGAACUUCUACCAUUUGGGUCAGGCAGAAGGAUGUGCCCAGGAAUCUCAUUUGCUCUGGAGAUCCUGCAGCUGACACUAGCCAGAUUGCUUCAUGGUUUUGAAUUGGGCGUGGUUGCAGAUUCACCCCUGGAUAUGACUGAAGGUGUUGGGCUCGCUUUGCCUAAAGCAACUCCGCUGGAGGUCACCCUAGUCCCAAGGCUACCCUCCGAGCUCUACCACUAAAGUAGUAUCCUAAUGUGUGCCACAAAAUCCCCUGGUUAGCCCAGGAAGGGUCUACUCCACUGGAGGUCACUCGGGAUGCGUAUCCGCCUAAAUAAACCUCGAUGAAAAGCCUCACAUACAUCACUUGCCGUCCUUGCAUAUCUACUCAAGCUUUCUUAAUCAGGAUACUUUCUAGGUACCUUGUGUUUGUAAUUUAACUGGAACAUGUUAAAAUUAAGAGUCUUGGGUCUAUUUUGGGAAUGUUUUUAAAAAUAAUUCUUAAAAAUAUAUAUAUUUUUAAACUAUUUUCAAAUUUUGUUUUAUCAUAUUUUCUAAAAUAAAAAUAUGUUUGAAAUUUUAGAAAUUUCUUAACAUGUUUUUUUCUUUUUUAAUUUUCAAAUAUUUUUUUAAAAAUGACCUUCUAUCUCCAAUGCUUUAUUUUCAACCAUUUCUAAAAAUUAAUUAAAUACGUUUUUAUUUUUUUUUAAUUCUCAAAAAUAAAAAUAAUUAUUCUUAAUAACAAUUUGUGAACAUAACUUAAGCUUUUUUUGGAAAAAAAAAAUAGAAAUGUUGAAUUUAAAGUGUUCAAGAAUAACAGGUGAGUGAAUGGAAUGAGUGCGGCCUUUAAAACUCAUCAUUUGUAACAUGAUUUAAGAACUUGUUUGAUAGAGGUUUUAAAAAGCGUUUAUAAUUUUUUUAGAAGUUAAAAAUAUUUCUUUUGAAAAAAAUUUUUAAAUACUAAAAAAAUUAAAAAUACAUUCUAAAAUUAUUAUCAAAUGAAUUUUAAAAAUGUGUUUAUCCAUGUUUUUACUAAACAUGAUUUUUGUGAAAGUAUUUUCUUUAAUAGUCUUUUUCAGAUAAUAAUUUAUUAAGAGUUAUUUUGGUAGUGAUCCUAGAAAGUGCUUUUAUCGUAAAAAGAAGUUUAAAAAAAACCAUUAAAUGUUUAACAGAAUUUAGGAAAUACUAUUCAAAAUUCUAAAACUGCGUCAACGUGAUUUUUGUAAAAGUAUUUUCUCUAAUAGUUUUUUUUUAGAGAAUCAUUUAUUAAGACUUAUCUUGGUGGUGAUUCUAAGAAGUGCUUUUACUUUAAAAAGAUGUUUUUUUAAAAAAACAUUGAAUUUAAGAAAUACUAUUCAAAUUUUGAAAAAUCACUUUUUAGAAAAACACUUGAUUGAUGAUUUUUCAAAAAAUAAUAUUUUAUGAGAAAACAUUGUCAUUAAAAUUUUUUUGAAUAAAAACACUUUUAAGCGCACUCUUAGUGCUAUUUUAAGAGUAUGUUUGAGAGUAAUUAUUGAAAAUAUUUUUAGCAUAUUUAAUGUUUGAAAGAUAAAAAAUUUUAAAUAUUAAAAACAUUUUUUAAAAUCACUGUAAAUGCAAUCUAUGAAGUAUAUUACAAUUGAUUUUUUUAACUUUUUAAAACCCUUGUCUAAAUUUUAUCUAGUUUUUUUUUUUUUUUUGUCAAAACUAUUUUUUUAAGCUAGAACUAGAAGUACUCUGUAACUUUAAAGAAUCCUUACCCAGCCGUUAACGUUUUAAACACCGUAGUUACUAGGCCCUACUCUCAUGCUAUUGUUUAUAUAAACAUGAACACUUUUGUUACUUAGUGCUGGAACGCAUUAGAACUAUAGACAAAACAGAAGAUUCCUUGGUUUUAUUUAGGCACCAAACCCACUCAUUCAAGCAUAUUUAAAUUUAAAUGCAGCCGUCCACGAAUAAACAACAGACCCAUUACCAAGAAGGUGAUCAUCCUUUUUCAGGGUUGGUUCUUCAAAAUUCAAAAUCAGUUAGCUGAAGGAACAGAAAGGAAAAGAACAGAGCUGAAUUUACAGAAAAGAAUUUUUUUUUUUUCUUUUUCUUUUCUAAGGAUCUUGGAAUCCUUUUCCUGGUAUAGGCAGAACAUUAGAGAUAUAUAUAUGGUAGUGGGAAGUGAUUCUUCUGUUGAAACUCCAUUUUUCUUGUAUCCAAUUAUUAGACAGGAAUUGCAUGUUGAAUCAUACGAAGAAAUUAUGCCAAACAUUUCUAUAGAAAGGGAACAUACUGAACUAACUUGAUUCCAUUUUGAGUGUUGAAUGAACAAGGUAUGGAUCUUCUAAGGCUGUGGAGGGCACCAUCUCUUUCUGGAUUCUCUCUGACGAUGGGAGUGGGAGAGAAAACAAGUCUGUUUUUAUUUCAAAUUAUGUGAUUCGAUUGAACAGACACUUAGCCUUUGAUUUUAUACCCUCCUGCAUAGGACCAUACCCUUUGGCUAUUGGGCCUCACGAGUCUUAGGCCCAUCAUCUAAGGCUCGUGAUGGCAAUGGGCUCUACACAUAAGGUGGCCCAUACUAUGGAAAACUGAUACAAAAUAAAUAUCAAAAGGCGAAUAGCUUAGUCAUGUAACAUUGUUAAAUAUGUGUGAGUCCAUAUCUUAACAUCUUCCCCCUAAAACAUUUUCUUUUCUAUUGAGUCAUGGCUUCAGUUUCGAGGGAUCAUCGUUUUUGGCCUUCUGUUUGUGGUUGAUUAAAGCCGAAGGGAACAAGAACAAAGGCAAAAGGGCACCAGAACCAUCCAGGGCAUGGCCUUGAAUCGGACACCUUCAUCUUCUAUGAGCAGGCAAGCCCCAACAUCAAGCAUUUGGAGCAUGGCAGAUAAGUAUGGACCAAUCUUUUGCUUUCAUAUUGGCCCGCGCAAAACUUUUUUGGUUAGCAGCUGGGACGCAGCAAAAGAAUGUUUCACUACCAUGGACAGAGCAUUUGCCACUCGACCCAGAUCCUUGGCAUGAAAGCUCAUGGGCUAUGACCAUGCCAUGUUUGGUUUCUCUCCUUACGGGCCAUACUGGCGUGAUGUAAGGAAGUUGGCCUCGGUUGAGCUCCUCUCAAACCUCCAGCUUGAGUUACUCAACCAUGUCCGGGACUCAGAAGUUAAGCUUUUCAUCAAAGAGCUCUAUGGGCAAUGGAUACAAAAUGGGGACAGGCCUCUUUUGGUCGAGAUGAAGGAGAAGUGUUGGCACAUGGCAACAAAUGUAAUGGUGAGCGUAGUAGCUGGGAAACAGCAUUUUGGCACCAUUACAAACGACUAUGAAUCAAGACAGUGCCGGAAGGCCCUUGGCGAUUUGUUAUAUCUUUCGGGGAUAUUUAUGGUUUUUGAUGCAAAUCCCCUUCCUUGGCUGGUCAGACACUGUGAGAGGAUAUACGACAAAAAUGAAGAGAACAACUAGGGAGAUGGAUCAGGUGCUGGGUGUAGGAAGAGUGUAAAUAAUUUUUACUUUUAUUUUUGGGAAGUGUCCUAUUGAGAAUUAUUUUAUUAUUUUAUUUUAUUUUAUUCUAUUAAUGUUAUAUUUUUGGGAAGAGUCCUAUUGGGAUUGUGCUAGUGGAGUCUCAUUCUUUUUAUAAGUAGAUUCCCCUUCCACUUUGUGUCAUCUUCUAAUUACAAGUAGAUUCUCAUUGGAUCGUGUUAGUGGCCUAUAAAAGCAAGUCACCCUUCUCUCUAUAUGAAUACCAAUUUUUCAGAGAAUUUUUUAGAGUUUUUCAGGAAGUUUUUUUCACACAUCCUUCUGGAGGAAUUUAUUCAAAACCCAAGUUGUACACAUCUCGCUUACAGAGUGCACCCAAGGCGGGAUCUGAUUGUUGAAUACUAGAGGUAGAUCACCGGUACCCUAGUGCACCGAGUUCGUCUUCAAGGAGGGUGGAUCUAUUUCAAAGACAGUGGUUGUCACGAUAAAUUUUUCUUCUUAUUUAUUAUGUUCUUUGUUUGUCUUUUGGGCUAGUCUUUUGUUUUCAUACCCUUAAAUCCAACAAUCUUGAAAUAAAUCUAAAUGGAAGCUUCCCUGGUUCACACCUGUCCUAACACCUUUAAAAUUGAUCCCUUCAAAGGAACAUUCUUUAAGAGAUGGUAAGAAAGGGUUUUCUAUGCAAUUGAUGUAGUGAACUUGGGACACUUUUUGACUGACUUAAAACCUUUGAUGCAGUGUUGGUAAGUUCAGGAGUAUCCUUGAACUUGUGGGGGGAAGCUCUCCUAUCCAUUUGUCAUAUUCAAAAUAGAAGACCUUACAAGAAAUUCCUAGGUUCUAAGUUUGAUAUGAAAGUCCUAGGAGAGGUAGAGGUGAUUCUAGGAAUUAAAAUAACUAGAACAUCUAAUGGGCUUAAACUUUCUCAAGAUCAACACUAUGUUGAGAAGAUCCUAAGGAAGUUUGAACACUUUGAUUGUAAACCAAUGUCAACUCCUUAUGAUCCCAGCUCACAGCUAAAGAAAAUAGAGAACAUAGUAUUACCCAAAUAGAGUAUGCUCAGAUCAUAGGAAGCCUAAUGUACUUAAUGAACUGUACCAAACUUGCUUAUGUAGUAGAUAGAUUGAGUCGGUACACCCAAAGUUCUAAUUAGGACCAUUAGACUAUUGUUCGUAGAGUCCUUAAGUAUUUGAGAGGCACCAUUAACUAUGGUUAGUGCUUUAAUGAAUUUCCAAGUGUCCUUGAAGGAUUUAGUGAUGCAAAUUGGAUCUUAGAUUCAGAUGAGAUGAAAUCCACUAGUGGAUAUGUUUUCAUCCUUGGUGGAAGUGUUGUUUCUUGGAAGUCUGGCAAGCAAACUUGCAUUACUCGAUCUACUAUGGAGGUCGAGUUUAUUGCCUUAUAAAAGACAAGUUCUAAGAUUGAGUGGCUUAGAAACCUCUUAGCAAAUAUCCCUUUAUGGACGAGACCAACCCCGUCUGUGUCUAUGCGUUGUGAUAGCCAAGCUGCAAUUGCUAAGGCUAAGAGUAAAAUAUUUAAUGGGAAGAAUAGACAUAUACGCCUAAGGCACAAUAUUGUGCGACAGCUGCUUGAAACAGGGGUUAUAUCCCUAGAAUUUGUGAGGUCAGAGUUGAAUUUGGUUGAUCCUUUAACCAAACCACUAAGUAAGAAACUAGCGGAAGAAACAUCAAGGGGGAUGGGGCUUUUGCCUAUUACAGAAGUCAAGAGUGGUGGUAACCCAACCUAUUAAAAUGGAAAUUCCAUGAAACAGGUUCAUAUGGGUAAUAACAAAUCACUCGUUGACUUGAGGGGCUCUAUCAAUUCUAAUUGUAUGAGAGUUCAUCCCUAUGGUGUAGAUAGAGCGUAUUCUGCAUUGACUAAGGUUGAGUGUUUAUGAGAAUAUGUUUUAGUCUUUUUCAUUUAGUUUUAAAAACCAUUUUAAAAAAUAAUUAUACAAAUAUGAAAAAGUAUUAAAAAUAAAGCACUAAGAUAAAAAUUUAAAAACAUUAAAAAUGGUCUAAAAACAUUUCUAUGUCCAAAACAGACUUUUAUUCACAAAAUAUCAAUAACGAUUUUUUUUUAAAUAAAAAAUAAAAACUAUUUUUGAAAACUAUUUUCAAAAACACUUUUCAAACAAAACUGUAAUUUUUGAACUUCUUCCAAAGUCAAUAUCUGUUGUUGCUGCAAUAGAUGUUUCUUCAUCAAGUAAAGUUUAUUUUGAAUGUCUGCUAUUGACUUGUUAACAUAUUAUAAAACAAUUCAUCUUGGCUUUCAUAGUGAAAUCACAAGGAUUAAUUAGAAACCAAUCAUUUGUAUAAGGUUGCAAGCCCUUAUGAUUGAUCCAAAAUUUGCAUUUUUCUUUCCCACAAGGUGAAUAUAGCUUUGGCAACAAGCAUAUGAUCGUGAAUGAACCAUCCAACUUCAUAUUAAAAUAUCUUAUAUUAAUAGAGCAUCCAAACUGAUGAGGGCACGACUAAAAAAUGGAAUACAAAUCCUAUCCAAGUUCCAAUUGGUCUAGUUACAAAGGCUCAAGCUAAAAAGUUAAAGGAAACUCUUAAUGGAUUGAUUCAAAACAUUUGGGUUGAGUUGAAUUUGUGGAGAACCAAGGAAGAUGUUCCACGUGUUCCACAAGGUUGGAUUUCCAUGAUUCAAGCUUUUGAAUAAUCUAGAAGAAUCUCACAAAAAGAACAGCUCACAAAUUCCGUGGAUUGAGUGGAGUUUUCUAAAUUGGUGAUUACCCAAUUACCUUUUCUAGCUAUUUGUGAAUCCUAGGCAAUAUAUUUAGGGAUUUUCUAGCUACCUAAUUCGUGGACCUCUUUGUACUUAAAUAUCCAUUAGCUUAUUGAAAAACAAUGUAGAUUUCAUUCAUAAUUUUGUGAGAGAAAAUUAUCUUUGGUUCUUUUAGAACUCUUUGAACUUAUCGGAACAAUUUCUGCAUAUGCAACAACCAUAGAACAUAUAUGGAUACUUAUUCAUGAUCUACAAUAUGAAAAGAGAGUUUAUCUUUCUUUACUUUUUAGCAAUGUGACACUAUGUGGACCUAAUCAAAUUGAUGAUUGUUCCCAUAUUGCAUUAAAAAACUAAAUAUUUCUCUAAAAUAGUUAUGGCUUAUUAAUCUCCUAUACCCUUUGAAAUUAUCAUAUGUAGCACUUUAAUGCUAAUGGGCUUGCCCUAGUAAAAAAGAAAGCUUGAAGGAUCUUAUCAUGCAUCUCAAUGGUGGUUGGAGUCAAAGGCUUGUUAAGAAGAAAUUGAAAUGCAAUAAGUACCCCAUUUUGUUUAUUUAAUAGAUGAAGUCAAAUAAGAAUAAUUGGGAAAGUCAAAUAGUUGAGCUUGGAGAUGAAGCAUAGAUAUUGCUUUUAAUUGCUUGAAGAUGAAUUCAAAAAAGUGUUUGAUGUUUCAUCAAUGAAAUGACUUGAUUUCAUCAUCAAGAGAGGGAUUGAAAUAGACCUAGUAAACGUUAAGUCAUAUUGGUCAAUAAGAAAAAUCAAAGAAUUGAGAGGUUUCAUCGAACAAUUCCAAUUUAUAUGAUGGUUCAUAUUUAAAUAUUCCUAUUGGUGUGAACUUUUCUAUGAACUCUUGAAAGGAGGUUGGUUUUAGAUGAGGGUGGGGAAAGGUGAUGUCAAUAUACAUUUUUAUAUUUAAAGGUAGAAGAAGAAAUUUUCCACUUUCCUAAAUUCUCUCCUUGGCUUUAUUAUGACUCCCUCUAAACCCUUCAUCCUCUAACAUCUCAUUUGGCUUUAUUGGUGAAGUGAGGAUUCAAAGGUUUAAGAGUAGUUGCUUAGCCCUUGUCAAGAAAUGUUUUUAAAAACAAUGUUUGAGAAUAGUUCUUAAAAAAUCUAUUUAAUUAUUUUCAAAAACAAAAUUCUAUUUGAAAACCUAUGUAUAACACAAAAAUUCUCAAAAAGAUUUUUAUAUUUUCAAUUGUUUCUGGUAAUACUUCACAAAAAAAUAUCUCAAUUUUUUACUAUUUCUUUUAAAUAACAUGUUUUUAAAAAUAAAUUAUCAAAAAACUGUUUGGUAAAGCAGUUAUCAACCAUACUUUUCUAAGUUAAAACACUAUCUUAAAAAAAAAAGAACAAUUCUAAAACAAGCCUUACAUUUCUUUUGUGUCUAUUUUUUAAUUUAACACUAGAAACUUUGAUUGUGUGAGGGUUUCUUUCUUCAAAUUGGAUUCAUAUUUUUCUUCCUCGCUUGACAAUGAUGAAUGGUGUCUUUGACACAUUUCCUUCUUAACAAUGACAAAUGUCUUCUCCCCACUUCUAGCUAAUCAGAGAGACUAGAGGAAAAAUAGUUUGUUUCAGGGAAACCUUAGUCAUCCUAAUGUUACUAAAGUCAUCCAAAAGAAAAUGUAGCGUAUGAUUAGGCAAAUUUGUUCCUCACUCGAACUGUAAUAUGAUCAUCCUUAGCCCUCAAUAGAUUUGGAUUUGAAUGGAUUACGUUUAGAUUAUGAAUAUCUACUUCUCAGAGUGUUCUAGUGUAGAUAGUUUUGUGUCAUCAUGGAAUCCUUUUCCUAGUAGACUAAUGGUGCAAUAGAAGUAUUAUGUGUGGUAGCAAGGGAAGUAAUUCUUUCAACUAACCUAUUUUCUAUGCUAACAAAUAGUAUGGCAUUCUUCUUUCAACUUCAAGAUAUGAGAGUUUUUGGUCCUCUUUUUGCUAUGAAUUUCCUGUCUCUAGUUGUUUAAUUCCAAAGCAAACAAAAACAAAGGCAAAAGGCCACCAGACCUGUCUAGAGCAUCACAUUUAAUAUUUAUUGGUCACCUUCAUCUCUUAGGAGCAAACAAGUCGUUACAUCAGACAUUUGGAGCCAUAAAUGAUAAGUAUGAACCAUUUGUGUUUGUCUAAGCUUUAUGUCAUGACUCACCAUAAAUAAUGUCCAAUGUACAUAUAAUCAUAUAUACAUUAAUGCUCUUACCAUGAGAAACCCAUCCCGAUGACUAAGACCAAUCAUGUCUCUAUAACAAAAUAAGGUUUAGAACUAAUGAUUAUAUUUCAGGUAUGAUUAGACAAGACGAUUUCCAAGGUGGCAAUCAUAAAAAUAAAUCAAGCCAAAGAGAAAUCAUUAAGAAGAAGAAGACCUCAAAGAGAAGUGUUUUUCAAGACCCAACCUUCAUAAGAUCUCUUUGUAAAGUUGUUGGCGCACUAAGAUUUUCAUGCAUUACAUUCUUUACUUAUGCACUAAAAUCAUUCAAGAGUUAUUUUAUUUUAAAUAUUUUAAAAUUGGAUGAUUUCAUGUUUUCAACUAAAACCUUGUGUCAAAUGUUUUCCCAACUUGUUUAAAAGAUUUUAAGUUGAAAAAAUUGGUUGUUGAGCCAAAAAUGGCUCAACCGAUUGAACCAGAUGAGGAAUCGAUCGACUCCCAACUCAACUGGUUGAGGGGUACAAAAAAACAUUCUCUCUCUUCCAAAACGGUUGUGCAACCGGUUGAGGUCCGGUCAAUGGGCGAUCGAGGUCCAACGGUCACCUGCCAAACAUUAAAUGCUAACGACUAGUCAAUCGAUCUACCCCCAGCUCAACCAGUCGAACCCCUAAUGGCUAGUUUGGUUUUUUUCCUCUAUAAAAAGGCUCCAAUCUUCAUUGUUUUAAGAGCUUAACCUUUAUUAAUCUUUCUUGAAUAUAUUUGAGCCUUAGGAGAGUGUUUUUGAGUGCACCAUUGUUCUAAAACUUGCAUAUCAUUAGUGCCUCAUUCAAUCCUAGUUUUCUUGUAACAUUUAAACCUUAAAGUUUUGUACUAGGAUUUUGUGAGAUUCUUUAUUAUCUUCAUUUGUAAAUCUUUGAGAGAAAGAAUCUAAGUAUGAGGUAUCACUUAGGAAUUCUCAAGUGUGGGGUAUCACUUGAGAGAUUGUUCAAGAGUGGGGUAUUUUUUUACGUUUGAAAAUGGUGGAUUGGAAUCAUAAUCUAAUUGUAUUGCUUGAAGGCUUGGUUUAGAAGCCUUGAAAUAGUAGAACCUCAAACUUGGGAUUGAAGCUAGAGGAGAGUGAACGUAGGCCGGGUUGCGUUGAACCAUUAUAAAAAUCUUAUGUUUGCAUUUUCUCUUCCCUACUCUCUUAAUUUAUAUGCAAUUUUUUUUAUAUUGUUUUAUUAUAUAUUUACAUAUAAUUAUAUCUUGUAUUCACAUAAUUUAAAUUUACAAAAAGAGACCAUCACCCUAUUCAUCCCCCUCUAGGCUGAUUACUAUAGGUUGGAUUAACCUAAUUUUUCUAACACAUUAUCCAAAGCAACCAUGACGUUAUUAUCUUUUGAACUCUACUUCUAUUAGCAGCAGCAUUAAAAGUAAUAGCCUAAUGUGUGCAACAAAGUCUUCAGGUUAGUUCAGGCACUAUCUACUCCAACAUAGAAAGUGGGAAAAAAUGUGUGCUACAACCUUCCCACUUAGUUGAGGCACUGUCUACUCCUUAAUUCUGAACCAUUCAGUCCAAACGGGCAUCCACCUUACACUUAGGUAAGGCAAAGCUUCUCAAUAUUAUCUAUGUAAUGUGUGGUGUGUGGUAAAGAGCAUGCCAAACUUAAUAGCUAAAUCAACCCCAUUUUCAUGGGGCUAGAUUUACUCCCGCGUGAUUUUCAAUGAACAAAUAUGCAUCAUAACAACUGGCCAAAGAGAUGGGUUUUUUCAUACUCAGAACUAUCAUAUAUAAGACUUCGAAGGAGCUUUCACAUUUUAUAUCAUCGACAACUGUCUAUAGUUUCCAUAUUAGGAUGGCACAUGUAUGGAACAUGAAUUCGACCUGUGAGUGUUCUAGUGUGUGUAGUUUUGAGCCCUUUUGGAGAAGUGAUUCUUAGUUAUAAGAAGCACUCACAGAAAGUGUGACCAGGGUAUGUAUAAAUAUCCAUGUUCUGAACAGAGAAAACUGUGAAAACAGAAUAGAAAACCAUUUUUCUCUCUCCGACCCUCUUUCUUUUCACUCUGGUACUAUCCAGUCAUGGGAUUCUCCCUUCGCCCUCAAGAUAUCAUAGUUUUUGGGCUUCUUCUGUCUACAAUCUGUCUGUUGUUGGCAACAGUACUUAAUGCCAAAGGGAACAAGAAGAAAGGCGAAAGGCCACCAGAGCCGUCCGGGCGAUGGCCUCUUAUCAGUCACCUUCAUCUUCUAGAAGCAGACAAGCUGCUACAUCGAACACUUGGAGACAUGGCUGAUAAGUAUGGACCCAUCUUUUGCGUUCAUCUUGGCCUCAAAAAAGCAUUGGUGGUUAGUGGCUGGGAAGUAGCGAAGGAAGGUUACACUAUAAAUGACAAGGUAUUCGCCACUCGACCAAGACCCUUAGCAAUAAAGCUUAUGGGCUAUGAUCAUGGCUCGUUUGUCUUUGCUUCUUGUGGACCAUACUGGCGUGAUGUGCGGAAGCUAGCCAUGGCUGAGCUGCUGUCAAACCGCCAGCUUGAGAUGCACAAGCAUGUCCAGGACUCAGAAGUCAAGAUCUUAAUAAAAGAGCUUUAUGGGCAAUGGGCAAGCAACAAGGACGGCCCCGCUUUAGUGGAGAUGAAGGAAAGAUUUGGGAACUUGGCACUGAACGUAGUGGUGAGAGCAAUUGCUGGGAAACGGUAUUUUGGGACCCAUGCCUGUGGUGAUGAGCCAAAACGGGGCAAAAAGGCCUUUGAGGAUUUCAUUAUUCUAGUGGGGCUGUUCAUGGUCUCGGAUGCCAUCCAUUUUCUCGGCUGGUUGGACACGGUGAAAGGGUUUACCGCUGAAAUGAAGAGAGUAGCUAAGGAGGUGGAUUAUGUGCUUGGAAGCUGGGUGGAGGACCAUCGCCAGAAUAGGCUUUCUGCGAACGACAAUGGGGCUGAGCAAGACUUCAUACAUGCCAUGCUUUCUGUCAUAGAUGAUGGCCAAUUCUCUCGUCGUGAUCCUGACACCAUCAUUAAGGGCACUUGCUUGGUAUGUCCCUGCUACUUCCAUAACCUGAGCAUGAAAUGAAAAGAAAGAAAAAAAAAAAGCACCAUCUACUAUCAUAAUUUCUACAACUUUUUCCGCCCAAUUUCCUAAACCCUCCUCACAUUUCUAUAAGGAUUCAUCAAAUCCGGUAUAGCUUUAUCAUCUGUAUUUAUCAUGACAAACCAGGCGGGGUGAUCAAAUUUCACUUAGAUUCCUUAUUCACGGUUUGUUUUAUCAUUCUGCUAAACAUGAUAUUUCACUACUGAUAAGUAAACUUUGCCUGAUCACAUAUUGAAGUCGACAUCAUAUGUUGAUUGCAGAACCUCAUAUUAGCUGGCUAUGGAUCAACAUUUAUCACUCUUACAUGGGCCCUCUCUCUCCUAUUGAACAACCAUCAUGCGCUAAAAAAAGCAUAAGCAGAGCUGGAAAUCCAUGUGGGAAAGCAUCGCCAAGUGGAUGGAUCAGAUAUAAAGAACCUAGUCUACUUGCAAGCCAUCGUCAAGGAAACAUUACGACUGUACCGUCCUAGGCCACUUUCCCUGCCACGUGAGGCCAUGGAAGAUUGCAUUGUGGCUGGCUUUCACAUCCAAGCUGGGACGCGCCUUUUGGUUAAUCUCUGGAAGUUGCAUCGUGACCCCAGAGUCUGGUUAAACCCUUUGGAGUUCCAACCAGAGAGGUUCCUGACAAAGCAUGCAGGUUUGGAUGUUAGGGGUAGAAAUUAUGAACUUCUACCCUUUGGUUCAGGUAGAAGGGUAUGCCCAGGAAUCUCAUUUGCACUGGAGUUGACGCAUCUGACGCUAGCCAGACUGCUUCAUGGUUUUGAAUUGGGAGCGGUUGUAGAUUCACGGGUGGAUAUGACUGAAAGUCCUGGGUUGACUGCCCUCAAAGCAACCCCACUGGAGGUCACAAUUGUUCCAAGGCUACCUUUCGAGCUCUAUAGUUAUGAAGUAGCAUAGAAAGCAAAUAAUACUCUUAUGUGAGCCGGAGAGUCCCCUAAUUAGCCCAGUGCUUUAGUUUAGGGUAUAUUUAUGUUGGUGUGACUGACUUUGAAUUGUCGCGGUGUAAUGGGUGUUCUCCUUUCUCAUCUUCUCCUCAAUUUUCAUCCACUUGGAUAGUAAUAAAUUUCCAUCUAUGAGUAUUUCUUUUUGCAUACUUAAAAUAUCUUAAGCCUGUUUUUGAGGGGGAAAAAACCAUGUUUGAGACAAAAGAAAUAGAAAAUGCAUGGUUUUAUGUUCUACGUAUUUUAACUAUUUUUAUUUAUUUUUAAAAAUAAAUAUAAAAAUGACAAAAUAAAUAAAUAAAUAAAGUACUAACAUAAAAGUUAUUUAAAAAACAUAAAAAAAUAUUUCAAGUUCUAAAAUAAAAUUUUAAUCAUAAAACAUCAAAAACAAUUUUGAAAAACAAUUUUGAAAAACAAUUUUGAAAAACAAUUCUCAAAUAUCAUUUUUCAUAACUAUUUUUUAAAACAUUUCUCAAAUACAACCUUAAAUUUUGAACUCCUUCCAAAACGAAGUUUCCAUGAUGCUGCAACUUAUGCUUCUUCAUCAUUUGGAGUGCCUACUGUUGAGGCCUCGCGUCCUUGGUGAUCCACGUAGUUGCCAAAUGGGUGAACGCACGAUCUCAACCAAUAUAGAUUCUUGAUUCAAUCGUACUACCUGCAAAAGGCGUCCGGACGAGGUGUCCGGACGCACCCUCCGAUGGUUUUGUCAGCCAUGAUUAGAGAAAUAGAGAUAAAUCAGUUGGUCUUUUACCAAGUAUAGCAAGCUUACUUUCCUCUUUGUGUGAAGGUUCAUAUAUAUAGUAUCAGAAGCUUUGUUUCUCUCUUUAAUCGUAGGGAGAUAUUUUGUGUUGUCAUGAUGACACUAGGUGGUGGCAGGGUCAUCAUCACCCUACGGGCGGCUGACAGAUAUCGUGGUAGUUGCUGCAAUUGUUUGAAAUAGUGGGAAGUGAUCGUAGGAAGUGACUUGCCGUCACUUCAUUCUUGUCCUUUCACCCUGCAGAUGGCGGAAUGUGGGUCAUGGCAGGCUGUUGUGAUAACGUGUAAGACUUGCUUACUUCAGUCAAUGAUCCGGACAAACACACCCGGAUAGUGUAUGUCGGUCGUCCGGAUGUGCUGUGGCAGUCGUCCGGAUGUUAUGUUUGUGAGUGUCGUGUGCCUUUCCUUGAGAGAGUCCGGAUAGGAGAAGCGCGCCACGUGUACUCUUGGGGAAAUCCGGAUGAGGCUGAUCCAGAUGAGAAUGUGUGCCACGUGUUAUUAUGAGAUGUGUGCCACGUGUGGGGAGGGGUCCCUACACCUACUCUUGACUUAUUAACACAUGAUAAAACAAUUGAUCCUGAUUUUCAUAGAAAAAUCAUAUGGAUUAAUUGGGAAAUAGUUAACUGUACAAAGUUGCAGCCUGCAGGCCCUCAUGAUCGACCUACACUUAGCAUUUUCUUUCCCACAAGAUGAAUACAACAUUUGGCAGCAAGCAUAGGAUCAUCAUGAAUGACCUAUUGAACUCAAUAUUAUAAUAUCUUAUAUUAACUGAGCAUCCAACCCACCACCACAACUUAGACAACUUUAAAAAAAUUAGAAUCCAAUUACUAUAUUAUUGGUAGAAGACUGGAAUCAAAUGCUCUAAAUUAAUUUCCCUUAAGCGGACAAGAGGUUUUACAUGUUCACAUAUAUGCCAUACAAUCUCAUGGAACACUUUCUAAUAUAACUAUCAGAUUCCAAAAAUACAUUUGGCAAUGUUUUUACUAAAAGUGGUUUUUGUAAAAGUAUUUUUUCUAAUAGUCUUUUUCAGUGAAUCAUUUAUUAAGAAUCAUCUUGGCAACCGUCCUAGGAAAUGCUUUUAGCAUAAAAAAAAAGUUUUUAAAAAAACAUCACAUAACCAUAAUGGGCCAAAAUGGGCUUCUUUAGAAACUUAAUAUUAAAAGUGGGCUUCUUCCCAAACUAUUGUUCAAACUAGUCCCCAUCAAUUCACAUAACCAUAAAAACCAUCUUUUUUUAUACUAUUUUUGUUUACUUUCUCAGCUUUCCAUCCCAUUCUCUAUUCCCUGUGUAAUUUUUUUCUUCAAAACCCUAGCCCCACCAAUGGGCCACUGUGAAAGAGACAUUGUUGGAGCUAUAAAGUAUCAAGGUUGAGGUUGGUCCCAAUCUUCUUUUUGGUUUGUUUUAUGUAAAGUUUUUGGCACUUUCCCAUUUUUUUCCCCAUCUCAAAAUCUCGGUUUUCAGAAAAUUUAUUUAUUGUUUCCCAUUGCUUUUGUUUUUCUCUUUUGUUUACGUCCUUCACGACUAUUUUAGCAUACAGAUUCGUGAUUCUAAUAUAGAGGUUAUGUAAGAUAAAAUGGACAGAUCCUUCGUAGAAGGAUGAGUCCAUAUCACCCGAGGUUUGCUUUACCACAAGCUAAAAUAAAUGCCUGGUGUGGACCCGCAUCUUUCACGUGCGCCCCCACUCGAUCGGCGAGACUCGCUUUUUAUUUGUGAAAAAUUAAUUUUAGAAAAGUUGGAGUCGCCACUUAUUUUAUUUUUAUUUUAAAGGGAAAAUAAAACAAGAAAGAAAAACCCUAAAAAUGUGACUCCAUAAUUUUUGGAAAAAGCAUGUCUUUGAAAAACCCGAGUCUAAGUCCGGGGAUCAGGUUACCUAUUGGGAAGGUACCUCUAGGAGGUAGCACCCCUCUAAGCCCUAAAGAGGUCUCUACUGACUAAGUUAAGGGAAGCGUAGCAAUUAAAUGGUUGAUCAUGGAUACUUAAGUAGGCUAGGUGAUUCCAAAAACAUAGCAUAUCAAACAAGAUCAAAUCACAAUUAAGGAGAGUUAAAAAUGCGUACCUGGACAGCUUCCUAAACGCUAUCAUAAAACAUAAGAGAUUAAUUUGGAGAUACAUCAUACAACAUUUGUUUUAUUCAAGCAAAUCAGGCAUAUAUCAAGACAUCCAAGAAUCACGUCAAAUAUGGAUAGGGUCAUCAAUGACAUACAAGUAUAUAGAGUUCUAAAAAAAAAUAGAUGAGAAGAGAGCAUACCUGGAUAGCAAGCUAGUACUCCUCUAUGGGAAUCAAAAGCAUCUCAACAAUAAAUACGAAACGAAUUCAUGUAUAUCAUCAAGAAGAAUAAAAAAUCAACAUAUCAAACAAACAAUAUUGAAGAAGGUAUCAUGAAUGUCGGGCCCCCACCAAAGCCCUAAUUAAUUUCGCAUGAGUUGAUUCCAUGAAUUCCAUGACUUGGAAUUAUGGAGUUUGUUCAUGCUUAAGAAAAUUGAGAAAAAUCAAGAAAAUCAUUUGAAAAUCAAAUAAAAUAGUGAAAAUGCAUGCUAGAAGGAAAAUGGCAGCAAGAGUGUGUUAGAAUAUGGAUUUUAUACCUAGAAAGGACCUAAGAUGAAUUUUUCAAAGCCGGGAAUGUUUAGUUGAACAAUGGUUCAAAAAUUCAAUUUAAAACAGUAAAUUCCCAAGCAAAGAAGCAAGAAAAGGGGAAAGUGUGUGUAGCAAGGUAGCCAUAAUGGACUGGAGCCUAGGAAUGAGAUUUGAGACUAUCUUGCUGGUGUUGAAUCCCCAAAUACAUUCUGCCAUUUCUCUCUCUUGGCACUUUCUAGGGCUUCUUGGCGCAACCAACUUUCCCUAUCCAUGUUUUCCUUGGAUCCAUGAGCUCAAAUUGAAGCAGUUAUUGAAUGGAGAUUCUGGUGGGCAUUUGAUGUCAAAGAUAUUGCUGGAAGAGAGCUUGAGGGCUUCAUUUAAUCAUGGGCAACAGUGGGAACUGACAGGAAAUGACAAUUCCAGCUCUUGCUUAAUUUGGGGCGACUGCAAGUAUUAGUACUCAAGUGCCUGCUACAAUUUUCUCCUUGAUCAUCAAAAGCAAUGCUGAGCUUAGUACGACUUUCAGGAUCUAAGCUUGCAAUUCCUUAAAGAACCUCGGUCCCCUUUCUCUUCUCCAAAUAACAUAGAGAGCACCAUGUACUGUUUUGUGGGAUUUCUGUAGAGCUUUCUUGUCUUCAUCAUCAUUUGAAACUGCUGUUCGAAUCAUGAUCUUACACCUAAUUGCUGAAUAUGUAAAAAAAAGUAGCAAUACUCUUUGAAACUGCAACCAACAUGAAAACUGAGGGGGGAGAAAGGGUUUAUGGGGAUGAGCCUUUAAGUGAAACCUCUGAAUUUGAAACUUGUAUCUGCUCCUUUAUUCUUUUCUCUGUUUCAGAAUUUUGUUUAUCAUUCUCCUUAGUGAGGUGUUCUUUUUGUGCCAUAACUCCUUCAACAUCAGGUUCAUUUUGAGUGAUGUUCUUGUCAAUCUGGUCAAAUGUUGCAGGUCCCAAUGCCUAGGCAGUUCCUUUCUCAAACUCAGAAAAAUAUCCAUAUUAAUCUGCAUUCUCAUCGUCCACAUUAUCCAGAGACUCUGUGUUAUCUUCCUGCAGAUCAGAAGACAACUCCGGCUCCUUCUCUCCACUCUUCAAUCGCAUCCUCAACAUUAUGGUAAAGGUUGGCUUGGGUUUUCCGGAUGGAUGAAGAAUCUUGCUAAGGCAAUUGAGUUUUGGAUUGAUCAUUGAUGAGUUUCCCGUCCAUAGAUGAGUCACCCACCAAUAUCUCCAUCUCAGAAGUAUCAUUGGGAGGUAAGCCAUUUACAGGUGCAAGGUUAUUGUGAAUAUUACUGCUAUUAGAGUUCUGGUGCCGUUGUUUCUUAAAUCUGCAGCCUGCAUGUCAUCCUUUAGUUGUGUCACAAAUUCUGUAUUGAGCACAUGAUCACUAGUGAAGUCAAAAUUUCCAGAUCUCAAGACAUCUUCCCCUGGUGCCUCUAAAUCCAUGUCAGCUUUCUCUUCAUUACUCUUCCCAGAUCACCCCUCUCAGAAUUUCCAUCCACUUGUCCAGAUUCUGCCUCUUCUAGAUUUUCAUUCCUGGGAGAAGUUUUACCACGGUUUGAAUUGGUGCUCAUACUCUGAAGUUGGAAUUAUAGGUUGAGCAUCUCUGAUUUCAUCUUUUCUACCUACAGAUUAUGAUGACAUUUCUGCUCUCUAGAUUCAAGGAUAAACAGCGACUGUACAGUCUUCCAAGCAGCUCUUUUCUCCUUCAUUAAUGCCAAGCAACCAAUGAGUGACCUCAAAAAGCUCUCCAAUCUGCCAGUCCAUCUCUUGCAUGGAUUAAAUUAUCUGUAGUGGGCAAAUACAUCCCCAUCUCUCUGACAAGUGCCUCUAAAAUCAAAGAAGAAGUUUGACCGGUCAAUCAUAAAUAAUUUUAGUGCACUUCUUCUCAGGAAAUAUCUUCUGCUAAAUAUUUGGUGAAGGGAAGACAUCAGCCAGCUUCUAUCAUUUUCUUUGAUCUCUAAUUUCUGAACUGCAAUCCAACCCAUCCCCAUUGCACUCAGUAUUAUCAACUAUGAAAUUGAUUCGUCUUGUUGUUAUUUGAGAGAUUCUUCGUACAACCCUUAGUGGUCGGACCAUUCAUGAAUGAAGCUUAAGAACAAUUCUUUCAUCAAGUUCACUUAGAACAUAUCUAGGGGCGACUGCUGAUGGACCUUGGACCACAUCUUGGUUAUUAGCAAUUGGAGUAUCUAUUUAUUCUGUUGAUGCUUGCGGGGGCUGAUCAGUCAUUCCAGAUGACUUUGGUUGAUUCUUCCUAUUCUGCUCCAUAUCAAUUGCCUCACUCUCUGCCAAAUUAUCAAUAUUUUCUCGUUCAUUCUCUUCAUUUAUUCCUUCCAUUAAGAUUGCUUCUGCUGCAAGUCCAAGCUUCCUGCAGGGGGAAAACCACUGGCUUAAGUUAUCCCUUCCUCUUCCACUGACAAUAAAAACUAUAUUUUUCUUGUCCCAGCAAAGUGUGUUUAGAAUUGAAAUAACCUCCUGACUUGGAGCCUUGUUGAUGGAAUUUUGGGGCAUCACAGUGCCAUCAUAGUCCAACAGUAUGGCCCUACUCUUAGCCCUACAGUAGGCCGAAACAAUAGCCUCUAUUGAAAGCUUUCUAAAAUUAGGAUCAAGUGCUACAACUCUGAACCCAAAACUUAAACCAAUUCCCCAGCAUCUUCUCCUAAAGAGCUCUGAGCAGGUUCUCUCCAUAUCUUGCAAGAAGCUUCGUGACCAAUAAGCCACAUCAUGGGUGCUAACAUACCGAAAAUGCUUCUCAUGUCGCAGGAGUUGCUCUGAUUGAGACAUUGAAAUAGCUUCAUUCAUUGCCUCAGCAGUUGCUUCGACAUUCCAUGGAUUCACACAGAUAGCCCCACUAAGUGAAGGAGAGCAUCCAAUAAAUUCUGAUAGCACUAGCAUGCUCUUCUUGGGCCCACUCAAAUCCGAACUUGAUUCAGAAUCAUCUGUUCCUUGUCUACAAACAAUGUAUUCAUACGGCGUAAGGUUCAUCCCAUCCCUGACAGCCGUGACAACAACACACUCAGCAAUACUGUAAUAGGCAAUUCUCUCACUGAUUGAAACUGGUCUGUCAACAAAAACUAUUGGUUCAUACCCGGGCUCCCCAAAUUCUUCAUUGAUUCUUCUGCAGCUUUCCCUUAUUUCAGCUUGUAUUUCCUCUAAAUCUGCUCCUUUACCUCUUGCAGGGUUUGCAAUCUGAACCAACACGGUCUUUCCUUGCCACUUUGAGUGUUGCUGAAGCAACUGUUCCAUUGCCAAUAGCUUCAAAUUAAUACCUUUAAAAAUGUCCAUAUCAUUAACACCAAGCAACACCGUUUUCCCUUCAAACUGCUGCUUGAGCUCUCCUACCUUCUUCUCCUUAUCUGCAAGCUUCAUCACUGAAGCAAUCCGGCCCAUAUGAAUCCCAACAGGCAUAAUCUUGAUCCCCACAGUCCUUCCAUAAUAUUCCAACCCUAUAUAGCCCCUCUUUGACUGAUACUCCAAACCCAACAUCCGACUGCAACAAGAAAGGAAAUGCCGAGCAUAAUCAAAUGUGUGGAAACCAAUAAGGUCUGAGUUAAGCAAAGCCUUAAGAAUUUCUUCUCUGACAGGAAGAGUCCUGUAGAUCUCUGAAGAUGGAAAUGGACUAUGAAGAAAAAACCCCAUUCUUAACUGGUUAAAGUGCCUCCUCAAGAAAGUUGGCAAUACCAUCAAAUGGUAAUCAUGAAUCCAAACAUAAUCAUCAUCUGGGUUUAUCGCCUCAAUAACCUUUUGUGAGAAUAACUUAUUUGCCCACACAUAUGCUUCCCACAUAGACCGAUCAAACCGACCUCCAUGAUCAGCUGAAAAUGGCAACAUGUAAUGGAAAAGCGGCCAUAACAACUUCUUGCAGAAUCCAUGAUAGAAUUUCUCUAAAACAUCAUGAGGCAGAAAAGUAGGGACACAUUUGAAUGUCUCCAACAGAAUCUGGGAUACUUCCUCUUGUUCCGUCAAGUCAACAUCAACCCUCAAUGACCCAACAUACAGAACUUCCAUGUCUUCUGGCAAACCCUCCUUAAGUUGCAGAAGCAAUGAGUCUUCAUUCCAACUAAAAACCCAGCCUCUAUCAUCUGCUCUUCGGUUAGCUUUCACAGGCAACUGGUUUGCCACUAUAAUCAACCGAUCUUGAGCAACUGAAGAGGGGUUAUCAGACGACACACUAUUAGCCUGAUCAUCAUCAAGUUCAUACACAUUGCCCGGAACCGUCAUUACCCUCGGAAGCCGCUUCCGUUCUCGACCGAUUGCCGGAAAAUUCCCAGUAGCUAAAUCUAAAAGAUUGGUAUACGAUCUUGACAUCAUUUUUACACCAGCCUCAAAAGCCCAAGAUUCUUUUUCUUUUUAAAUGGACAAUUUCACCCAAUCUGCAGAACCACAAAACAAUCAAAACCCUAACCCUCUGUUUCUGAAUCAAUGAACAAUUGAAUCUUCUCUUGUUAAAGCUUUGAUCUUUAGAGUCAAAUGCAUGUCAAUUCUUGGGCUUAGAACUUUUCUGAAGAAGCAAAGAUUGCUUCUCUUUUCUGAUUCCACUCUGUUCUCAGUGCAUGCUGAAAGUCCCCUCUUCUCUAUGCCUCUCCUCCAAACCCAAUGGAUUUUAAAUUUUGGGCAGUCUUGGCUGCAAUCGCUGGGCUUCCGGCUUUCCUCUCACCUCUAAAGACAACUCCCCAGAUAAAAAUCCUCUUUUGCCCGGUCACUCCUUCUUCCUCCUUCCUUCCGAAAUCCUCCCAUGCCUUUUUUUCUCCCCACUUUUUUUUAUAUGGCAGCCCACUCUUGUAGAAUAUUUUACUUCCUUUUUUUGUUAUACGCGUGGAUAUGGGAAGUCUACAUAUGUGCAGCUUACUUGGAGAUUUUCCAAGGAUGCAGCCCCUCUCUCAUUUGGUAAGUAAUCAGAUUCUCUUUAAUCUUCUUUCCAUAUGCUCCCGGAUGUGCCUCAGCCGUGAUGUGCCCACUUUCUAUAUGCAGCCGUGUACGUCAAAGAUCUUCUCCACUGUGUGCAUUCAAAUCUCAUGCCAAAAUAAAAUAAGAAUUAAAAGCAGUAGAGGUUAUGAAAUUGAGAAUUAAAACUAAUAAAAAAAUAUAUGCAAUCAAAAACAAUAUAUCUAUCAUAGCUACACACAAACAAAUUAAGACAUCAGUUUACGCAAUUAAUGACAUCAAUCUCAUGCAAUAUUCUAUAAAAUAAAUAAAUAAAACAAAUAACUAACUAAAUGUUAAUAAAAUAAGUAGAUAAAUAAAUGAAUAGGAAAUCAAGUACAUACAAGUGUUAAAAAAAUGCAAAUCAUGCAAAUUAUGUAAGUCAUGUAGGAAUUACCGCAACGGUGACAUGAGAGGGCUAAGAUACCUAAGUGGAUCUAGUGAACCUAAAUGGGCCUAGAUGUGCCUGAAUGAGCCUAGGUGAAUCUAAGUGGGCCUAGGGUGGUGCCUAAUGGGUCAAGUGUAUCUAAAAGCUAUCCCAAAAAAAGCAAGAAAAGCCUAAGUCUAAGUUAGGGCUGCCAAGGGUCACAAUAAGGGGUAAGAUAAUCCCCUAACCAAAGUCCCCGAGGUGACUCAGAAAAAGGUAAGUUGUACGAGUAGUAAUGGACCACCAAGGAACUAUUUUGAAGCACUGAAAACGAACUUAAAGUCAUGUGCUAAAAGGACAAAAUUGAGGGUCUACACCUGGGUGUUGGAGGAAAUAGCCUAAAAAAAAUAAUGGGUAAAUAUUAGUGCGAGUAAAUUUCAUCAAAAAAAUAUUUUUUUCUUCCUCCCUAUUUUUAAACAAACAACAACUUUCUAAUGAGCAAGCAGACUAGAAUCAAAGAUGAAUGAUAUUCUCAUUGACUAUUUAGAUAUAUACCAUGUACCAUUCCUAGAACCCCCACAUACAUUUUUAUUCUCACGAUUAGUACAGUCACCCAUCUCUUUAGACCUACCAUUAGUGCAACACCCUACUUUUUCAGACCUACCAUCAGUGCAACCCUCUACCUCUUUAAACCCACCAUCAGUACAACCCUCUAUUUCUUUAGACUUACCUUCAGUUCAGGCCCCUACUUCUUUAGACCCACCAUCAACACAACCCUCUACUUCUUCAGACCCACCAUCAGUACAACCCCCUACCUCUUUAGACCUACCUCCAUUACAACCCCCUAGUUCUUCAAACCCACCAUUAGUGGAGAUUGACACAUCUACUCAGUUAGAUUUACUGUCAGCCAUUCCAAGGGGUAGGCAAGGCCUACAUCAACCUAGAUUGCUACCUCCACCACCACCUCUAUUUCCAGCUCCAGCCCCAUCACAGACAGAUGUUCUUCAUGUGUCACAUGUAGUACCUGCUAUAGUUAGAGAAGAGUGUCCAAGAAAGAGAGUACCAGUUACACAUAGGUUUUCUCCUUGUGGAGACAUGUGAGAUUAUAUAUGUUUUUUUUUUCCCACUAUAAUAAUGUUUACUGGGUAUUUUUUAUGACUUUGAUUAAAUUACUAAAAAUUACAUUUUGUAGUAGACUUCUUCUAAUUAAUUUCAUUAGCUAAUUUUGUCAAAAAAUCUAUAUAUGACAAAUGUGGAAUUUGUCAUAAUACAAAUAAAUUAAUAUCUUAAAAAACAACAAAUUAAAUAUCUUAAAUUAAUAAAUUAUACAAUUUUAUAUAUUAUUUAUAUGUUAUAUAAGUUUAUUAUUUUAAUAUUAUUAAUUUAUUAAUAAAUAAAAUAUUCAUUUAUAAUAUCUUCUAUUUAUCAAUUUAUAUUUGUUGAAGUAAUACUAUAUUCUUAAGUUUAAAUAUAAAUAAUUUAUUAUUAAAGUAUAUAUUUUUAAUUUUAAUAAUAAAUUGUAAUUUAAUAGUUUUUAAUUAAAUUUGAAAGUAAAAACAAAUUAUAAUUGAAAUCUUAGUUAGCAACUACUGCUUAAAAGUAUGUUAUUAUUUCGAUAAAGAUAAAUUUUUCAUAAUACAAAUAAAUUAAUGUCUUAAAAAAAACAAAUUAAAUAUCUUAAAUUAAUAAAUGAUACAAUUUUAUAUAUUAUUUAUAUGUUAUAUAAAUUUAUUAUUUUAAUAUUAUUAAUUUAUUAAUAAAUAAAAUAUUUAUUUAUAAUAUCUUCUAUUUAUUAAUUUAUGUUUGUUGAAGUAAUACUAGAUUCUUAAGUUUAAAUAUAAAUAAUUUAUUAUUUAAGUAUAUUUUUUUUAAUUUCAAUAAUAAAUUGUAAUUUAAUAAUUUUUAAUUAAAUUUUAAAUUAAAAAAAUUAAUUGAAGUCUCAAUUGACAAUUGCAAUUUUAGUUCAAAAAUGAAGCCGUAGUUGUCAAUUGAGACUUCAAUUUAAAAAUGAAUCAUCAAUUGACAACUGCAGCUUUAGUUCAAAAAUGAAAUCUUAGUUGCCAAUUGAGGCUUCAGUUUAAAAAUGAAGUCUCAAUUGGCAACUACGGAUUUAGUUCAAAAAUGAAGUCUCAAUUGUCAAUUGAUGUUUCAGUUCAACAAUGAAACCUCAAUUGAAAACUGUGGUUUUAAUUCAAAAACUAAAGCCUUAGUUGAUAACUGCGGCUUUAGUUCAAAAAUAAAGUCUUAGUUGUCAAUUGAGGCUUUAACUAAAAUGAUGAAAAAAAAUAUUUUUUAUAACAUGGCAUCUACGUGGGACCAAAGAGACCAAUUUGAACAUAAAUUUCAUAAAGUUGUUAGAUCCUUUUUUAAAAAAAAUAAAAUUGGUCAAUUUGACCCAAAACUCCUUUUUCAGGGUUGUUCAAAAUUCAAAAUCAGUUAGCUGAAGAACAGUAAGGAAAAGAACAUAGCUGAAUUUGCAGAAAAGUUUUUUUUUUUUCAUUUUCCUUUUUCUUCUAAGGAUCUUGGAAUCCUUUUCCUAGUAUAGACAGAACAUUAGAGGUAUAUAUAUGGUAGUGGGAAGUGAUUCUUCCCCAUAAAACAUUUUCUUUUCUAUUAAGUCAUGGGAUUCUAUCUUCAGCUUCAAGGGAUCAUAGUUUUCUAGCCUUCUGUUGCUAUCAUCUGUUUGUGGUUGAUUAAGGGCAAAGGGAACAGAAACAGAGGCAAAAGGGCACCAGAACCAUCACCGGCAUGGCUUUAAUCGGACACCUUCAUCUUGUACGAGCAGGCAAGCCCCAACAUCAAGCAUUUGGAGCCAUGGCAGAUAAGUAUGGACCAAUCUUUUGCUUUCACAUUGGCCUGCGCAAAACUUUGGUGGUUAGCAGCUAUGAAGUAGCAACAGAAUGUUUAACUACCAUGGACAAAGCAUUUUCCACUCGACCUGAUCCUUGGCAGGAAAGCUCAUGGGCUAUGGCCAUGCCAUGUUUGGCUUCUCUCCCUGCGGGCCAUACUGGCGUGAUGUAAGGAAGCUGGCCUCGGUUGAGCUCCUCUCAAACCGCCAGCUUGAGUUACUCAACCAUGUCCGGGACUCAGAAGUUAAGCUUUUCAUCAAAGAGCUCUACGGGCAAUGGAUACAAAAUGGGGACAGGCCUGUCUUGGUCGAGAUGAAGGAGAAGUGUUGGCACCUGGCAGCAAAUGUAAUGGUGAGCGCAGUAGCUGGGAAAUUUUGGCACCGUUACAAAUGACUAUGAGUCAAGACGGUGCCGGAAGGCCCUUGGCGAUUUGUUAUAUCUUUCGGGGAUAUUUAUGGUUUCUGAUGCAAUCCCCUUCCUUGGCUGGUUGGGCACUGUGAGAGGAUAUACGGCAAAAAUGAAGAGAACAGUUAGGGAGGUGGAUCAGGUGCUGGGAAGCUGGGUGGAGGAGCAUUGCCGGAAGAGGUUCUCUGGAAGCAUGAACGAGGCUGAGCAAGACUUCAACCAUGUCAUGCUGUCUGUUAUUGAGGAUGGUCAGUUCUCUGAUCAUGACCAUGACACUGUCAUUAAGGCUACUUGCUUGGUAUGUUUCUUCUUCUUUCCUUGGUCAAAUUCCAUGAACCUCCACACACUUAACAGCAAACCUCCAUCAUGAUUGGUUUUGUCCAGCUGUUACACUUGCUAUUUCAGGACUGAUGAUUAACUCUCAACUUUCUUUGAAAAAAUUUCUGGGAAUAAUGAAAACUAUGAUAAACUUUUAAAUUGUUCUACUAACAGCCAGACAUACGGUUUUUUAACACACGCUGAUCAAAGAAGCCAUAUCACCAGCUCAAAAGACCAGCAUGGAUGUAAUGUUGAUGCAAACUCUUAUAAUAGGCGGCUCUAAUUCUACGGUGAUCACACUGACCUGGGGCCCUCUCUCUGCUAAUGAACAAUCCCAGCACUCUAAAAAGAGCACAAGAUGAGUUAGACAUCAAAGUGGGAAAGCAUCGCCAAGGGGAUGGAUCAGAUAUAAAGAACCUAGUCUACUUUCAAGCCAUCGUCAAGGAAACAUUACGACUGUACCCUCCUGGGCCACUUUCCCUGCCACGUGAGGCCAUGGAAGAUUGCACUGUGGCUGGCUUUCACAUCCAAGCUGGGACGCGCCUUUUGGGUAAUCUCUGGAAGUUGCACAAGGACCCCAGAAUUUGGUCGGAUCCUUUGGAGUUCCAACCUGAGAGGUUCCUAACGAAGCAUGUGUAUUUGGAUGUUAGGGGUCAAAAUUUGGAAUUUCUGCCAUUUGGGUCAGGCAGAAGGGUAUGCCCAGGAAUCUCAUUUGCGCUUGAGGUCGUGCAUCCGACUUAUUUAAGAUCAUACAUCAGUUGAUUAUGAUCAUCUUCAUCGAUCAAAUAGAGUUCAUAUGUUGAUGCCUAUGUCGUUAUUUGAUUUGAUAAUUUUUCUUGCUUCUGCUUCAAAGUUUCUUGUUUGUGUUGAGCCUAGCUCAUAUUUUUUAGUCAACUCAGGGUAAGGGAAAAACACAAAUGGGAUUUGUGUUUUUUUUUUUUUUUUUCCACCAGCAGAAUGGUCUUAUUUGGAAGCUUGUACAAACAUAGCUUUUUUAUAUAACUAUGGGGCUAGCCACACUCCACAUGAUUUUCAAUGUACAAAUAGGCAUAAUAACAACUAGCCAAAGAGAUGGUUUUUUUCAUACUCAGAACUAUCUUAUUUUAGACUUCAAAGGUGCUUCAUAUUUUCUACCAUGCAUUGAGAGCCGUCUAUGGUUUUCAUAUUAGGAUGGCACAUGUGUGGAACAUGAAUUCCUACUUGUGAGUGUUCUAGUGUAUGUAGUUUUGAGCCAUUUUGGAGAAGUGAUUCUUCCCCCUGAUCCAUUCUCUCUGGUACUAACUAGUCAUGGGAUUCUCCCUUCAGCCUCAAGAGAUCUCAGUUUUUGGGCUUCUUGCUACAAUCUGUCUGUUGUUGGAAACAGCACUUAAUGCCAAAAGAAACAAGAUCAAGGAAGGCAAAAGGCCACCAGAGCCGUCCGGACAAUGACCAAUGGCUGACAGAUUUUUUUUCCUUUUUUUUUUUAAAUUUAAGCAAUAAGCUUUGAUGAUCUGAAAGUUUUUUGCUUCUUCAAAUUGGAAUUAUAUGUUUUUACAUUGCAUUCAUAUCUGAUACUCGUAAAGUGCAUCUUCUUCUUUUUCUUCUUGUUUGUUGUUUGAUUAUACUUUAAUCUUCAUAGAAAUCGACAUUUUCUCCCCCAUCAACUCUAGAGCUAAUCAGGAAGGUAGAACAGUUCUUGGUUUGCAGACCUCAGAAAAUCAAUUAGCUAAACAAAAACAUAGAGAAGAAAAAGAGGAGCUAAAUUUGUUGAUGUUGUGACAAACUCUCCCACCUUCUAUUUAGCGAGAAGUGAUAUGGGAAGUGAUACUGAAUCAAGUUUACAUUGCUGGUUUGUCGUGUGGUUGUGCACGAGAUUACUAGUCAUCGUCCUCCAUGCAGAGUGAGGUGUGCAUGAGAGAAUGCUCUAAUAUCUUCCUUCAUCAGGCGAUUGUGCCUACAUAUGGUUCCUUUUUAUGCCUGGAACUGGUACUUUUAGUCCACUGAACCUGUGUUAGUACCAGAAAUAACAACAUGACGAUACCUAUCAAGAAAAAUAUAAGUGACCAAGUGAGUAGACCGGCUCCCUAAGGAUUCCUCGUAGGUCUGGCAUACUUAUAUUAGACUUUCAGAGAUAAAUAAGUAAAGAGAACUUGAAACACUACGUAACAUCGAUCAAAUCAUAUUGGAGAUGAGCUUGUAAGUCUAUGUAUUGUGUGGUAGGUAAAGAGGAGGCACAACUUGGGCUGAAAGCACCCGAACUGAACUUUCCACUAACUCAUUUUCUCUUGAGCGGCUAAAAAUUGGAUCAUCAAGAGACUGCCUCAAAACCUGACCUUAACCAGUAUUAAAAUAUCAUGAUAUUUUGACAAUAUAUCGUUAAAAAUCGUGUAUAGGUGGAUCUCGACACGAAAUAUAGGGAAGAAAUAUUGGCACCUCGAUAUUUCGAUAAUUUAUUGAUUUUUCACCAAUAUUUUGAUUGGUCAAACUUCAAAAAAAUUCAAAUUUUCUACUGCUACUGAGGGGAAUCCAACCCUAGCCAAAAUGUUCACCAACCACUGAGACAUCUUCCAUUAAUAUAUUAAUUAAAUAUUAAAAAUCAUAUAUAUAUAUAUAUAUCAUUAUUUAUUUUAUAUUAUUUAAUACAAUUAAAUAAAAUGGAUUAUAAAUUUAAUUUUAAUAUUAAAUAUAUUUUUUAAUAAUCAAAUAUCACAAUAAUAUUCAAUAUAAUUUAAUAAUAAAUAUACACUUAUAAAAUAUAUAUUUAUUUAUUCUUAUAUAUAAUAUAAUUAUCAAAUAUGAUAAAUUAUAUUAUGUAUAAAAAAAUUUAAUAAAAUAAUUUUAAAAUAUCUAUUAUACUUUUAAUAUUUUUAUUUUUGAAAAAAAUCACUUUAAUCAAUUUUAUGUUUAUCAAAUAUUUUAUAUUUUAUAUUAAAAUAUCUAUCAAAAUAUAUUCAUAAAAUAAAAUUAUCAAUAUAUUUGUUAUUAUGAUACUUUCAUCCUUAUCCUCAAUCAGACUUCCAAAAAAGGUACCUCAGUGCGAAUCUACCUUAAGAUCGGGCAAAAUGGGAAACGUGGGUAAAAUGCGAAUCUACCAACCCAUGGGCCAUGGCACUUGCGGAAAAGGCUGUCAGCCCGGGACCACGCUUGUCAGCAACGUCAACGACAAAAUGAAAAGUUAAAAAGGCAAUGAACUAAAAAAGGAAAGGAGGAGGAUGGUAAUCCUUCAUUGACAAGAAAGGAAACGGAGAAGAACUAGAUUUUUGUAUCUCCAUCUUCUAAUGGGAUUCUCUCUUCAGCUUCAAGAUGUCACAGUUUUCGGCAUUCUUUUUGCAAUUAUCUGUCUGUGGUUGGUUAAUGCCAAAGGUAACAAGAACAAAGGCAGAAGCCCACCAGAGCCCUCCGGGGCAUGGCCUGUAAUGGGUCACCUUCAUCUUCUAGGAGCAGAUAAGCAAAUACAUAGGACAUUCGGAGCCAUGGCUGAUGAGUAUGGACCAAUCUUCUCCAUUCGUCUUGGCCUUCGAACUGCUCUGGUGGUUAGUAGCUCGGAAGUAGCAAAAGAAUGUUACACUACCAAGGACAAGGCACUCGCCACUCGACCAAGAUCCUUAGCAGUAAAGCUCAUGGGCUAUGACCAUGCCAUGUUUGCGUUUGAACGUCACGGUCCAUACUGGCGUGAUGUGCGGAGGCUAGCCAUGGUUAAUCUCCUCUCCAACCGCCAGCACGAGAUGCUCAAGCAUGUCCGGGACUCAGAAGUCAAGUUUUUCAUCCAAGAGCUCUAUGGGCAAUGGGUAGAAAAUGGAGGCAGCCCUGUUUUGGUGGACAUGAAGAAAAAGUUUGAGCACCUGGUAGCAAAUUUGACGAUGAGAACAGUUGCUGGGAAACGGUGUGAAAAUGGCGAGUCAAGAUGGUGCCAAGCCCUAGGUGAUUUCAUGAAUCUAAUGGGGCAAUUUAUGGUUUCUGAUGCAGUACCCUUCCUUGGAUGGUUAGACACAGUGAGGGGAUAUACAGCAAAAAUGAAGGGAACAGCUAGGCAGUUGGAUCAGGUUCUUGGAAGAUGGGUGGAGGAGCAUCGUCAGAAGAGGCUUUCCGGAAGCAUCAAUGAGGCUGAGCAAGACUUCAUUCAUGCCAUGCUGUCUGUUAUAGAUGAUGCUCAGUUAUCUGCUCAUGACCAUGACCAUGAUACUGUCAUCAAAGCCACUUGCUUGGUAUGUUUCUACUACUUCAUAACACCACCAUCCUCAUGAGCAUCUGCAACUUCAUCAAUACCUUGAUAAUACUCGUAUUACUCCAUCAUGAUCUAUUUUUUCCUUCUGCUAUACAGUAUUUCAGGACUAUUGAAGUAACUCUGUUUCUUUCUUUGACAAAAAUUGCCGAGACCAUUCCCUAAGGAAACAGCAGACAGAAUUCAUAAAUUAGGCAGGGAUAACAGGAACUGGGAUAAUUUUUUUUUACCCGGAUUCCCCAGUCAUGAUUCUUCUGCCGACACGCUAGACAUACUAUUUCACAAAUGAUGUAUGGACUUUUUUCUUUAAUCACAAGUUCAACAUGGGUGUAAUAUGUUGAUGCAGACUGUCAUGUUGGCGGGCAAUGAUACAAUAGCGAUCACACUCACCUGGGCCCUCUCUCUGCUAAUGAACAACCCUCGUGCACUAAAAAAGGCACAAGAAGAGUUGGACUUCCAUGUGGGAAGGAAUCAGCAAGUGUACGAAUCAGAUAUAAAGAAGCUAGUCUACUUGCAAGCCAUUAUCAAGGAGACCUUACGACUAUACCCUGCUGGGCCGCUUGCACUGCCACAUGAGGCCAUGGAGGACUGCACUAUUGCAGGCUUCCACAUCCAAGCUGGGACUCGCCUUCUGGUUAACCUCUGGAAGUUACACCGCGAUCCCACAAUUUGGUCGGAUCCUUUGGAGUUCCAACCUGAGAGGUUCCUGACAAAGCAUGUGGGUUUGGACGUUAGGGGUCAACAUUUUGAACUUCUACCAUUUGGGUCAGGCAGAAGGAUGUGCCCAGGAAUCUCACUUGCUCUGGAGAUCCUGCAGCUGACACUAGCCAGAUUACUUCAUGGUUUUGAAUUGGGAGUGGUUGCAGAUUCACCCCUGGAUAUGACUGAAGGUGUUGGGCUCGCUAUGCCUAAAGCAACUCCGCUGGAGGUCACCCUAGUCCCAAGGCUACCCUCCGAGCUAUACCACUAAAGUAGUAUCCUAAUGUGUGCAACAAAAUCCCCUGGUUAGCCCAGGAAGGGUCUACUCCACUGGAGGUCACUCGGGAUGCAUAUCUGCCUAAAUAAACCUCGAUGAAAAGCCUCACAUCUUAGGAUGUUACAUCACUUGCCGUCCUUGCAUAUCUACUCAAGCUUUCUUAAUCAGGAUACUUUCUAGGUACCUUGUGUUUGUAAUUUAACUGGAACAUGUUAAAAUUAGGAGUCUUGGGUCUAUUUUGGGAAGGUUUUUAAAAAUAAUUCUUAAAAAUAUAUAUAUAUUUUUAAACUAUUUUCAAAAAUUGUUUUAUCAUAUUUUCUAAAAUAAAAAUAUGUUUGAAAUUUUAGAAAGUUUUUAACAUGUUUUUUUCUUUUUUUAAUUUUCAAAUAUUUUUUUUUAAAUGAAGUUUCAUCUCCAAUGCUUUAUUUUCAACCAUUUCUAAAAAUUAAUUAAAUACGUUUUUAUGUUUUUUUAAUUCUCAAAAAUAAAAUAAUUAUUCUUAAUAACAAUUUGUAAACAUAACUUAAGCUUUUUAAAAAAAAAAAUAGAAAUGUUGAAUUUAAAGUGUUCAAGAAUAAUAGGUGAGUGAAUGGAAUGAGUGUGGCCUUUAAAACUCAUCAUUUGUGACAUGAUUUAAGAAAUUGUUUGAUAGAGGUUUCAAAAAGCGUUUAUAAUCUUUUUAGAACUUAAAAAUAUUUUUUUUGAUAAAAAAUUUUAAAUAUUAAAAAUAUUAAAAAUACAUUUUAAAAUUACUAUCAAACGAAUUUUAAAAAUGUGUUUGUCAAUGUUUUUACUAAACAUGAUUUUUGUGAAAGUAUUUUCUCUAAUAGUCUUUUUCAGAUAAUCAUUUAUUAAGAGUUAUUUUGACAGUAAUCCUAGAAAGUGCUUUUACAGUAAAAAAGAGUUUAAAAAAAACAUGGAAUGUUUAAUAGAAUUUAGGAAAUACUAAUCAAAAUUCUAAAAAUGCGUCAACAUGAUUUUUGUGAAAGCAUUUUCUCUAAUAGUUUUUUUUUCAGAGAAUCAUUUAUUAAGAGUUAUCUUUGCAGUGAUUCUAAGAAGUGUUUUUACCCUAAAAAGAUGUUUUUUAAAAAAAACAUUGAAUGUUUAACAGAAUUUAAGAAAUACUAUUCAGAUUUUGAAAAAUCAUUUUUUAGAAAAACACUUGAGAUGAUUUUCUGAAAAAUAAUAUUUUAUAAGAAAACAUUAUUAUUAAAGAAAUUUUGAAUAUAAAUACUUUCAAGCGCAUUUUCACUAUUGUUUUAAGAGUGUUUGAAAGUAAUUAUAGAAAGUAUUUCUAAUAUCUUUAAUACUUGAAAGAUAAAAAAUUUUAAAUGUUAAAAAUAUUAAAAAUACUUUCUAAAAACACUAUAAACAUGUCCAAAGAAUUACAGGUGAUUUUUUAACUUUUUAAAACCCUUGUCUAAAUUUUAUCUAGUUUUAUUUUUUUUUUUUUGGUCAAAAAUAUUUUUUUAAGCUAGAACAAGAAGUACUCUAACUUUAAAGAAUCCUUACCCAGCCGUUAACGUUUUAAACACAGUAGUUACUAGGCCCUACUCUCAUGCUAUUGUCUAAAUAAACAGGAGCACUUUUGUUACUUAGUGCUGGAACGCAUUAGAACUAUAGACAAAACAGAAGAUUCCAUGGUUUUAUUUAGGCACCAAACCCACUCAUUCAAGCAUAUUUAAAUUUAAAUGCAGCCGUCCAUGAAUAAACAACAGACCCAUUACCAAGAAGGUGAUCAUCCUUUUUCAGGGUUGGUUCUUCAAAAUUCAAAAUCAGUUAGCUGAAGAACAGAAAGGAAAAGAACAGAGCUGAAUUUACAGAAAAGAAAUUUUUUUUUUCUUUUUCUUUUCUAAGGAUCUUGGAAUCCUUUUCCUAGUAUAGGCAGAACAUUAGAGAUAUAUAUAUGGUAGUGGGAAGUGAUUCUUAUGUUGAAACUCCAUUUUGCUUGUAUCCAAUUAUUAGACAGAAAUUGCAUGUUGAAUCAUAUGAAGAAAUUAUGUCAAACAUUUCUAUAGAAAGGAACAUACUGAACUAACCUGAUUCCAUUUUGAGUGUUGAAUGAACAAGGUAUGGAUCUUCUAAGGCUGUGGAGGGCAUCACCUCCUUCUGGAUUCUCUCUGACGAUGGGAGUGGGAGAGAAAACAAGUCUGUUCUUAUUUCAAAUUAUGUGAUUCGAUUGAACAGACACUUAGCCUUUGGUUUUAUACCCUCCUGCCUUAGGACCAUACCCUUUGGCUAUUAGGCCUCACGAGUCUUAGGCCCAUCAUCUAAGGCUCGUGAUGGCAAUGGACUCUACACAUAAGGUGACCCAUACUAUGUAAAACUGAUACAAAAUAAAUAUCAAAAGGGGAAUAGCUUAGUCAUAUAACAUUGUUAAAUAUGUGUGAGUCCAUAUCUUAACAUCUUCUCCCUAAAACAUUUUCAUUUCUAUUGAGUCAUGGCUUCAGUUUCGAGGGAUCAUCGUUUUUGGCCUUCUGUUUGUGGUUGAUUAAAGCCGAAGGGAACAAGAACAAAGGCAAAAGGGCACCAGAACCAUCCAAGGCAUGGCCUUUAAUCGGACACCUUCAUCUUCUAUGAGCAGGCAAGCCCUAACAUCAAUCAUUUGGAGCCAUGGCAGAUAAGUAUGGACCAAUCUUUUGCUUUCAUAUUGGCCUGCGCAAAACUUUUUUGGUUAGCAGCUAGGACCCAGCAAAAGAAUGUUUCACUACCAUGGACAAAGCAUUUGACACUCGACCCAGAUCCUUCGCAGGAAAGCUCAUGGGCUAUGACCAUGCCAUGUUUGGCUUCUCUCAUUACGGGCCAUACUGGCAUGAGGUAAGGAAGCUGGUCUCGGUUGAGCUCCUCUUAAACCGCCAGCUUGAGUUACUCAACCAUGUCCGGGACUCAGAAGUCAAGCUUUUCAUCAAAGAGCUCUACGGGCAAUGGAUACAAAAUGGGGACAGGCCUGCCUUGGUCGUGAUGAAGGAGAAAUGUUGGCACCUGGCAAUGAAAAGAAGAAGAAUUGGCUGAAUUAAUAUUAUUGAUGUUGAAGUGUGUAUUUAUACAAGGAGGUUUGAGAUCUUUUUCUACAAGUCAGACAUCAGCUUACCAUAUUCUAAACUAUCCAGCUAUAAGUCAAGAAUUACAAUAGGAAAACUAACAUAUACAGAUCAUCUAUUCUUAAUAUGGAAGAUUUAGGAAGAUUGACUUUCCAACACUCCCCCUCAAGUUGGAGAGUGGAUAUCCUACACUCCCAACUUGCGAAUCAUAGGAGCAAAAAUCUCCUUUCCCAAUGGUUUAGUCAGAAUGUCUGCAAGUUGGUGCGCUGAGCUCACAUGUCUUGUAAUAAUGGAACCAUCUUGGAUCUUGUCCCUAAUAUAGUGACAAUCCAUCUCAAUGUGUCUAGUACGCUCAUGGAAAAUAGGGUUGGCUACAAUGUGCAACGCUGCCUUGUUGUCACAAUACAGCAAGGCAAGUUCCUGAUGUAAAACACCCAAAUCUUUCAAAAGGUACCGAAGCCAUGUCAACUCACAACAAUCUCCUGUCAUUGCACGAUACUCUGCUUCGGCUGAAGAGAGUGACACUGUUUUCUGUCGCUUUGAUCUCCAAGAAAUCAAUGAAAGUCCAAGGAAUACAUAGUAGCCUGUAGUGGACCUUCUAGUAAGUGGACAACCUGCCCAAUCAGAAUCACAGUAGGCUCUCAAUCUGAAAUCAUUAUUCGAAGAGAAGAACAUACCCUGACCAGGUGCAUUCUUGAGAUAACGUACAACUCUGAACGCUGCUUCCAUAUGAGCCUUUCUCGGUUGAUGCAUAAACCGGCUUAACACAUGAACUGCAUAAGUGAUAUCUGGCCUCGACACAGUUAGAUAUAUUAACCUUCCAACCAAUCUCCUAUAACGACCUUGAUCCUUGAGCAAAUCGCUCUUAUCAGACAAUUUCAAUCCUCGUUCCAUAGGUGUAUCAAUAGGGGCAGCGCCCAAUAAUCCUGCAUCCUCAAUAAUCUCUAAUGCAUACUUACGUUGGAAAAUAAAAAUACCAUUUUUAGAAGCAGAAACUUCAAUGCCAAGAAAGUAUUUUAAAUCACCCAGAUCUUUGAGAUGAAAAUGACUAUGCAGAAAUUUUUUUUGUUGUAGCAAUGCUCACAGGAUCAUUUCCAGUAAUCAGAAUAUCAUCAACAUAUAUCAAGAGGGCAGUAAAGGACUUGCCUUAUUUUCUAGUGAACAAAGAAUAAUCGGCUCGAGAUUGUGCAUAACCGGCAGAUUGAAUAGCUUCUGAGAACUUGGCGAACCACUGGCGAGAAGCUUGUUUCAGACCGUAGAGUGAUUUAUGAAGGCGACAUACCAAGUUUUCCUCCCCCUGUUGCCGAAGCCCUAGCGGCGGAGACAUAUAUAUUUCCUCAUGUAAGUCGCCAUGAAGAAAAGUGUUGUUAACAUCCAUUUGAUGAAGAGACCAGCCAUGGGCUGCGGCCAAUGCAAGCAAGCAGCAGACAGAUAUGAUCUUGGCGGUGGGGGAAAAGGUAUCCUGAUAAUCGACACCUUCUAAUUGAGUAAAGCCUUUCGCUACCAAUCGUGCUUUGUAACGCUCAAUAGACCCAUCUGAACGGUGUUUAAUUUUAUACACCCAUCGACAGCCAAUUGGUGUCUUGCCAGCCGGAAGUGGAGUGAGAGACCAAGUGCCAUUAGCUUGGAGAGCCUGCAAUUCAGAACGCAUUGCCUCCUGCCACUCAGGAUGAGUGGCUGCUUCCGAAUAAGACCUAGGUUCAGUGACAGCACUAUGUUGAGCAACAAAAGAUCUAUAUGCAGGCUUAUAUCUGUGAUAAGAAACAUAAUUGGCCAGUGGAUAUCUUGUACCUUUAGUUGGACCUGGAAUCAAGGAAGACGAUUGAUUGGAGGAAACGUGGGAGCAAACAUAAUCGUGGAGCUUGAUUGGCAGGGCGAUAUGGCGGUUGGAGCGACGGAGCGGAGUGGCUGGUUUGGGUGAGUGUGUUUCUGGUGAAAAGAUGGGUGUCUCAGCUGGAGGAGCGGACGAGAUGGAUGCAAACGGUGGCACCGGAGAAGGCGAUACUAGAGUUGUAGAAGGCGGUGGUGAAGGGUUUGGAUCAAUCUGAGAAGAAGGUUCGAUAAUGAGUUCGGAAGGUCGAGAAGGAGAGGAAAAGUUGUCAUUUUUUGUGGUGGGAAACGGUGUGCUUGUGUGGUUGGAAAGAAGAGGGGAAAGUGCAUGAGAAGUAGAGUCAAGGGAGGAAGAGAUGUCAUGGGCCACCAAGGGGAUUGGACCAGAAUUAUGGGUCAACGAAGGGAGAGUAGAGUUGGGCUUGAGAGAGACAUAAGGAAAAAUAUCUUCAUGAAAUUUGACAUCUCGGCUAGUAAAGACCUUUUUGGUUGAUAAAUCAGAUAAUUUGUAUGCUUUCUGACCAACAGGAUAACCGAUGAAAAUGGAUGGCAUGGCACGGUAAUCAAAUUUGUGAGAGGUGUGAACAUUGGUGGCAUAGGCUAAACAUCCGAAAACACGGAGAUGGGAGUAAGAAGGUGGUUUUGAGUAAAGCAAUUCAAAAUGAGUUUUGAAAGACAAUACUGGUGAAGGUAACCGAUUGAUGAUGUGUACGGCAAUGAGAGCACACUCCCUCCAAAAUUGAGUGGGAACUUGAGCAUGGAAUUUCAAAGCUCGGGCUACUUGUAAAAUAUGACGAUGUUUGCGUUCCACAACCCCAUUUUGUUGAGGCGUGUAAACACAAGAAUGUUGAAAGAUGACACCAUUAUCUUGAAAAAAGGAACGAAGUGAGGUAAAUUCUCUACCAUUGUCACUUCGAAAAGUUUUAAUGCGAAAUUCAAAUUGUGUGAACACAUAGCUGAAGAAACGUUUUAAAAGUGAUUGUGCUUCAUCUUUAUGUCGCAUUAAAAAUAUCCAAGUGAAACGUGUAUAAUCAUCGACAAUAGUGAGAAAGUAAUAGGCACCAAACAGAGAAGGGUGUCGAUAACGACCCCAAAUGUCACAAUGAAUAAUCUCAAAAGGUUUUGUAGAAGAAAUAGCACUAGUACCAAAAGGUAAACGACUUUGCUUAGCCAAGUGACAUAUAGAGCAAUCAUUAUUGGACUGAACAGAAAAAUUCAAAAAAUUCUUGGCAAUGAAACUCAAACGAGAAGGUGAUACAUGGCCUAAGCGACUGUGCCAGAGAUCGGUGGAAGAGAUGGCGAGAUUGCAAGCUGGUUGGUUUAUGGAUGAGGAAUGGUUGGUUAAAGAUUUCUCCGUCACUAGUGCCACCAAAUAGUAUAGUCCGUCACGUUGUUUACCCAAACCAAUCGUCCUUCUCGUAGCCAGAUCCUGCAAAAUACACCAAUAAGGGAAAAACGUCACUGAACAAUUUAGACCUCUUGUCAAACGACUAACUGAUAUUAAAUCAACUUUGAAUGUAGGCACAGAUAAAACAUCAUGCAGAUAAUAAACGGAAUUCAAAGGCAAAGUCCAUUUCGUAACAAUAUUCGUUUUUUCUCCACUAGGCAACAAUACGGGCGGUAACGAGCAAUUUUUAUCUUUAUGCAAUAGCUUAGAGGAUGAAGUAAUAUGAUUCGUCGCCCCACUAUCAAUAAUCCAAUUGUGGGAAGCGACUUUGGACAAACCUGGCUUUGUUACCGCAUUCACUUUGGAACUAGAGUUUUCAUCUUGGUUAUUAAGAAGUGACAAAAGUUGCUUGAGUUGGGCUUCUGACAAUGCAACUGCAGGUUUCCCUUCAUCUGCCUCAGAAACUUGGUUAGCCGCAGAAAAACUUUUAUUCCGAUUUGAGUUUGAGCCUAAGUUCAUUCUUGUUUUAGGAUGGUCUGGUGGGUAUCCAUGUAGUUGAAAACACUUUUGGACCCAAUGACCCAUAUCUCCACAAUACGAGCACUGGAGGCAUCCUCUUCUAGAACCCAUGCGGCGCCGAUCUUGAUCAAAAAAUGGUCUACCAUCUUGUCCUUGAGAAGAUCGAUUCAGCCGAAAAUUUUGAGAACCAGAGGGGCGAUCAGUCGGUUCCAUCCUUCCUGUGUUCGAUCGAUCUAUUCCGUCCUUCCAAGUUGCCGAAGACUUGCCGUUGCUGCGCACGGCCAUAGCAGCACUUGCGGCAGAUUCCGCUGCUGCGUUCGUCGAAGUGAGAAGGCGUUGCUUUUCUUCUUGAGAGACAGAGGAGUAUGCUUGGCGAACAGAAGGGAGAGAAUUCAUCAGGAGGAUUUGCCCGCGAAUAACACUGUAAGAUUCAUUCAAACCCAUCAGAAAUUGCAUCAAUUUUUGUUGAUCUUGUUGUGCCCCAUGUGAUGCAGCGUUGUAGGAAGCCAGUUCAUCCCACAAGCCUUUCAAUUUUGUGUAAUAGGCAGAGACAGAGAGUUGCUCUUGUCGAAGACAAGCAAUAUCUCGCUGAAUUUCAAAGAUGCGAGGCGCAUUGCUCUGAGAGAAUCGCUCACAGAGAUCUUCCCAAACUUCAUGAGCAGUAGAAUAAUAGAUUACACUGUCCGCAAUUUCUGGAUUGAGAGUAUUGACGAUCCAGGAGUGAACCAUGUCAUUACACCGUGACCAAGUCGCAUAACCUUCAGGAUCAAUUUCUUCUGAAGGAGCCUUGAUCGAGCCAUUAACAAAACCCAAUUUGUUCUUGGAAUUUAAAGCUAAAAUCAUAGCCCUUUUCCAAGCCGAAUAAUUGUCUCCAUUCAAAGAUUUGGAAAUCAAAACCAAACCUAGGUGAUUUGAAUGGUGAGUGAAAUAGGGAUUGGAGAGAUCUGCCUUUGAGAAAUCCGUAGGAAUCUCUGAUUUUGCUAUGAUGAUUGAAGAAAAGAGAUGCUACACGAGAGAUUAGAGUGCAGCAAUGAAUCAGGAUUUUAGUCCUGCUCUGAUACCAUGAAAAGAAGAAGAAUUGGCUGAAUUAAUAUUAUUGAUGUUGAAGUGUGUAUUUAUAUAAGGAGGUUUGAGAUCUUUUUCUACAAGUCAGGAAUCAGCUUACCAUAUUCUAGACUAUCCAGCUAUAAGUCAGGAAUUACAAUAGGAAAACUAACACAUACAGAUCAUCUAUUCUUAAUAUGGAAGAUUUAGGAAGAUUGACUUUCCAACAGGCAACAAAUGUAAUGGUGAGCGAAGUAGGUGGGAAACGGUAUUUUGGCACCGUUACAAAUGACUAUGAGUCAAGACGGUGCCGGAAGGCCCUUGAAGAUUUGUUAUAUCUGUCGAGGAUAUUUAUGGUUUCUGAUGCAAUUCCCUCCCUUGGCUGGUUGGAGACUGUGAGAGGAUAUACGGCAAAAAUGAAGAGAAUAGCUAGGGAGGUGGAUCAGGUGCUGGGAAGCUGGGUGGAGGAGCAUCGCCGGAAGAGGUUCUCUGGAAGCGUGAACGAGGCUGUGCAAGACUUCAUCCAUGUCAUGCUGUCUGUUAUUGAGGAUGGUCAGUUCUCUGAUCAUGACCAUGACACCGUCAUUAAGGCUACUUGCUUGGUAUGUUUCUUCUACUUUCCUUGGUCAAAUUCCAUAAACCUCCACACACUUCUGUAUGGAAACAGCAAACCUCCAUCAUGAUUUGUUUUGUCCUGUUAUACUUGCUAUUUCAGGACUGAUUAUUAACUCUCAACUUUCUUUGACAAAUUUUCUGGGAAUAAUGAAAACUAUGAUAAACUUUUAAAUUGUUCUACCGACAGCUAGACUCACUAUUUUUUAACACAUACUGAUCAAAGGAGCCAUAUCACCGGCUCAAAAGACCAACAUGGAUGUAAUGUUGAUGUAGACUCUUAUAUAGGCGGCUUUGAUUCAACAGUGAUCACACUGACCUGUGCCCUCUGUCCGCUAAUGAACAAUCCCAGCACUCUAAAAAGAGCACAAGAUGAGUUAGACAUCAAAGUGGGAAAGCAUCGCCAAGUGGAUGAGUCAGACAUAAAGAACCUAGUCUACUUGCAAGCCAUCAUCAAGGAAACCUUAAUUACGACUGUACCCUGCUGCACCGCUUUCAGUGCCACGUGAGGCCAUGGAGGAUUGCACCGUGGCAGGCUUCCACAUCCAAGCUGGGACGCGCCUUUUGGUUAACCUCUGGAAGUUGCACAGGGACCCCAGAAUUUGGUCGGAUCCUUUGGAGUUCCAACCUGAGAGGUUUCUAACGAAGCAUGUGGAUUUGGAUGUUAGGGGUCGAAAUUUUGAAUUUCUGCCAUUUGGGUCAGGCAGAAGGGUAUGCCCAGGAAUCUCAUUUGCGCUUGAGGUCGUGCAUCUGACACUAGCCAGACUGCUUCAUGGUUUUGAAUUGGGAGUGGUUGCGGAUUUACCAGUGGAUAGGACUGAGGGGGGUGUUUGGUACACAGGAAUAGGGAGUGGGAAUAGACAUCUCAUUCCUUUUCUCCCUUAUUCCUAUGUUUGGAUAAAUGUUAAGAAGGCAGAAAUGAAAUAAAAAAUUAUUCCGGCAGAAAUCAAAUCCAACUUAUGAGUCGGAUUUGCAUUCAUUAAAAGUAGGUGGUAUUCUGAUUUAUUAAACCUAUUUGAUAAUAUAAAAUAACCUAAAUUACUAUUUUACCCUCUUAUCUUGUUUUUCAAACCCGAUGUUUAUCUUCUUUGUAAAGGUAGAAAUCCAUUCAUCAUCCACUUCUUAUCUUCUUUGCAAAGCUAGAGACCCACUCAUCAUCCAAUUCUCUGCAAGAAGUGAUUCUUCCAAAUUGAAUCAAUUAAACCUUCCACGAUAUUUAAAAAAAAAAAAAUCAAUUUCUAAUUUAUAGGGUUUUGGAUGUUCAUUUUGAUUGUUGGAUCUAAGAUUCUUCAUUGUUUGCUACAACUAGGUUCUAAAAACUCCCUUCUACAUCUUCGAUCAGGUUUACUUUAUUUUCUCUUUCUUCUUCUACUUCUUUAUAUGUGUUUAUUCUUUCUCUAUAAAUCGAUUAAUUUUUUAUUUAUUAAUUUAUGUUUGGAAUCUUUGAUGUUUCUUUAUCUUGUAUUAAUGGAAACUGGAGAGAAAAAUUGAAAUGGUUGGAAAAAGAUUUUUCGAUUUCACGUGUUUAUAAUAUUGAAAAAUUUUAAUGGUUAGGAAAAAAAUAAAAAGAAAAAAACAAAACUUUUGGUUUUUUAAUAAUAAAUUUGAAUUCUUUUAUUUCCUCUUUUGAAAAUAGGAAAAACAUUUGCUAGCUUUGAGAAUUUAAAUAUUAUAAUAAAUAAUUUUUUUUUGAAAAAUAUAAUUUUAGAACUACUUAAGCAUGACAAAUUAUUCAAAUUUUUAAUAAAAAUAAUAAUUGAAUAUUUGUGCAUUAGGGUUAUACAAUUUUUUAUGGUUAAUUUUUUAUUUAUUGUAUUAAUGGAAACUGGAGAGAAAAUUGAAAUGGUUGGAAAAGAUUUUUCGAUUUCACGUGUUUAUAUAUUGAAAAUUUUUAUNNAGGAAAAAAUAAAANNNNNNNNNNNNNNNNNNNNNNNNNNNNNNNNNNNNNNNNNNNNNNNNNNNNNNNNNNNNNNNNNNNNNNNNNNNNNNNNNNNNNNNNNNNNNNNNNNNNUGAAUAUUGUGCAUUAGGGUAUACGAAUUUUUAUGGUUAAUUUUUUUAUUUAUUGUAUUAAGGGAAACUGGAGAGAAAAAAUUGAAAUGGUUGAAAAAAGAUUUUCGAUUUCACGUGUUUAUAAUAUUGAAAAUUUUUAAUGGUUAGGAAAAAAAUAAAAAGAAAAAAACAAAACUUUUGGUUUUUUAAUAAUAAAUUUGAAUUCUUUUAUUUCCUCUUUUGAAAAUAGGAAAAACAUUUGCUAGCUUUGAGAAUUUAAAUAUUAUAAUAAAUAAUUUUUUUUUUGAAAAAUAUAAUUUUAGAACUACUUAAGCAUGACAAAUUAUUCAAAUUUUUAAUAAAAAUAAUAAUUGAAUAUUUGUGCAUUAGGGUUAUACAAUUUUUUAUGGUUAAUUUUUUAUUUAUUGUAUUAAUGGAAACUGGAGAGAAAAAUUGAAAUGGUUGGAAAAAGAUUUUUCGAUUUCACGUGUUUAUAAUAUUGAAAAUUUUUAAUGGUUAGGAAAAAAAUAAAAAGAAAAAAACAAAACUUUUGGUUUUUUAAUAAUAAAUUUGAAUUCUUUUAUUUCCUCUUUUGAAAAUAGGAAAAACAUUUGCUAGCUUUGAGAAUUUAAAUAUUAUAAUAAAUAAUUUUUUUUUUGAAAAAUAUAAUUUUAGAACUACUUAAGCAUGACAAAUUAUUCAAAUUUUUAAUAAAAAUAAUAAUUGAAUAUUUGUGCAUUAGGGUUAUACAAUUUUUUAUGGUUAAUUUUUUAUUUAUUGUAUUAAUGGAAACUGGAGAGAAAAAUUGAAAUGGUUGGAAAAAGAUUUUUCGAUUUCACGUGUUUAUAAUAUUGAAAAUUUUUAAUGGUUAGGAAAAAAAUAAAAAGAAAAAAACAAAACUUUUGGUUUUUUAAUAAUAAAUUUGAAUUCUUUUAUUUCCUCUUUUGAAAAUAGGAAAAACAUUUGCUAGCUUUGAGAAUUUAAAUAUUAUAAUAAAUAAUUUUUUUUUUGAAAAAUAUCACUUUUAGAACUACUUAGCCAGACCAAUUACUCCAAAUUUUUAAUAAAAAUANNNNNNNNNNNNNNNNNNNNNNNNNNNNNNNNNNNNNNNNNNNNNNNNNNNNNNNNNNNNNNNNNNNNNNNNNNNNNNNNNNNNNNNNNNNNNNNNNNNNNNNNNNNNNNNNNNNNNNNNNNNNNNNNNNNNNNNNNNUUUGAAAAAUAUAAUUUUAGACUACUUAAGCAUGACAAUUUAUUCAAAUUUUUAAUAAAAUAAUAAUUGAAUAUUUGUGCAUUAGGGUUAUACAAUUUUUUAUGGUUAAUUUUUUAUUUAUUGUAUUAAUGGAAACUGGAGAGAAAAAUUGAAAUGGUUGGAAAAAGAUUUUUCGAUUUCACGUGUUUAUAAUAUUGAAAAUUUUUAAUGGUUAGGAAAAAAAUAAAAAGAAAAAAACAAAACUUUUGGUUUUUUAAUAAUAAAUUUGAAUUCUUUUAUUUCCUCUUUUGAAAAUAGGAAAAACAUUUGCUAGCUUUGAGAAUUUAAAUAUUAUAAUAAAUAAUUUUUUUUUGAAAAAUAUAAUUUUAGAACUACUUAAGCAUGACAAAUUAUUCAAAUUUUUAAUAAAAAUAAUAAUUGAAUAUUUGUGCAUUAGGGUUAUACGAUUUUUUAUGGUUAAUUUUUUAUUUAUUGUACUAAUGGAAACUGGAGAGAAAAAUUGAAAUGGUUGGAAAAAGAUUUUUCGAUUUCACGUGUUUAUAAUAUUGAAAAUUUUUAAUGGUUAGGAAAAAAAUAAAAAGAAAAAAACAAAACUUUUGGUUUUUUAAUAAUAAAUUUGAAUUCUUUUAUUUCCUCUUUUGAAAAUAGGAAAAACAUUUGCUAGCUUUGAGAAUUUAAAUAUUAUAAUAAAUAAUUUUUUUUUUGAAAAAUAUAAUUUUAGAACUACUUAAGCAUGACAAAUUAUUCAAAUUUUUAAUAAAAAUAAUAAUUGAAUAUUUGUGCAUUAGGGUUAUACGAUUUUUUAUGGUUAAUUUUUUAUUUAUUGAGUAUAUAAUAGAAACUGUAGUCUUAAAAUUUAAUGGGAAAAAAACUUUCAAAUUUUAUUUUUUUUAAAUAAAAUUUUAAAUAAAAAAAAUAUUUUAAAUUAUAUGUAAGGAUAUUAUUGUAAAUUUAUUUCUUUUUCAUUUCCAUUCCUAUCAUUAUCAAAUAUUUGAAUGGAAACAAAUAAUCAUUCCAAUCUUGCAUUCCUAAGUUUAUCCAAAUGCUAGAAAUGGAAUCAUCAAAUUCAUUCCAUUCCACUAAGAAAUAGGAAAGGAAACAAAAUAUUAUUCUCAUUCUCUAUUCCGACGUGCCAAACACUCCCUGAAGGUUCAGGGGUGACUCUUCCCAGAGCAACCCCGUUAGAUGUCACCGUUUUCCCAAGGCUACCUUCCGAGCUCUACGGUUAUUAAGCAAGCAUGCAUGAAGACGGAAAAGUCUACUCCAAAUGUUAUCUUCUAAGCUGUAUUGUGAUUAAUUAGGCAUAAGAAGUUACAGCCCAAUUCACAAACUCCCCUCACAAGCCCAGGCGGUGUCGUCUACAAAUGUUUGGACUCAGGAGAAUAUGAUUAAAUCUGCUCUUGUUAUGCAUGUGUAGCUCAUUCUGAAUGAUUUGUCAACUCAAAACCUUCAAUAUCUUUCUACUGCUGCUUCAUGCAGAGUCUACUUGGUUGCCUAUACCCCGACUUAUUUAAGAUUAUACAUCAGUUGAUUAUGAUCAUCUUCAUCGAUCAAAUAGAGUUCAUAUGUUGAUGCUUGUGUUGUUAUUUGAUUUGAUAAUUUUUCUUGCUUCUGCUUCAAAGUUUCUUGUUUGGGUUGGGCCUAGCUCAUGUUUUAAGUCAACUCAGUGUAGGGGGAAACACAAUUGGGAUUUGUAUAUAUAUAUAUAUAUAUAUUUUUUCCACCAGCAGAAUGGUCUUAUUUGGAAGCUUGUACAAACUUAGCUUUUUUAUAUAAAUAUUUGUGUUUGCAGUUUCCUGAUAUGGAUAAGUAUGACACGAAAGAGAGAGGAUUUUCCCACCCAAUCUCAUGCACAUUUCUGAUAAGACUUUGAAUGGCCACGACGUUCGCAACUUGCCAUCAAAAUAAAUCCAAAAUUUCAUGCAUGAACACAUGGAUGCAUUCAAGCCGUUGUGGGAUCAUUUCAUAGUUAAGUUGCUAUUCUCUUCUAGCCAAAGAAUUAGGAGGAAUUAAUAACCACGUGUUUGGAAUGAGUCAUAAGUAGUGGUAGAAGAAUAAAAGUUGAUGUAUUGAUUUUUGCUUUCGCUAGUGUUAAGGACCUUUAGUUUCAACGACAUAUGCUGAAAGUUUGUUAGAUUGAUUUGUAUUUAUUGCUCAUGAACAUGGAUAAAGGAUAUGACAUUUUUUUAACCCAAAUACUUUUAAUCAAUUGUUGUAAAACACGAAUCUUUGACUGGACCUAUCAAUUUCUGUGGGGCUAGAUACACUCCCACGUGAUUUUCAAUGAACAAAUAUGCAUCAUAACAACUGGCCAAAGAGAUGGGUUUUUUCAUACUCAGAACUAUCAUAUAUAAGACUUCGAAGGAGCUUUCACAUUUUAUAUCAUCGACAGCUGUCUACAGUUUCCGUAUUAGGAUGGCACAUGUGUGGAACAUGAAUUCGACCUGUCAAUUUUCUCAAUGUAAUCACCUUUUAUUUAUAUUUUUUCUCUAUGUAAUCCCGUUUUAUAUAUUUUUUUUACAUCUAAGAAGCACUCACAGAAAGUGUGACCUGGUAUGUAUAAAUAUCUCUGUUCUGAACAGAGAAAACUGUGAAAACAGAAUAUAUAGAAAACCAUUUUUCUCUCUCCGACCCUCUUUCUCUUCACUCUGGUACAAUCUAGUCAUGGGAUUCUCCCUUCGCCCUCAAGAUAUCACAGUUUUUGGGCUUCUUCUUGCUACAAUCUGUCUGUUGUUGGCAACAGUACUUAAUGCCAAAGGGAACAAGAAGAGAGGCAAAAGGCCACCAGAGCCGUCCGGGCGAUGGCCUCUUAUCGGUCACCUUCAUCUUCUAGGAGCAGACAAGCUGCUACAUCGGACACUUGGAGACAUGGCUGAUAAGUAUGGACCCAUCUUUUGCGUUCGUCUUGGCCUCAAAAAAACAUUGGUGGUUAGUAGCUGGGAAGUAGCAAAGGAAUGUUACACUACAAGUGACAAGGUAUUCGCAACUCGACCAAGAUCCUUAGCAAUAAAGCUCAUAGGCUAUGAUCAUGGCUCGUUUGUCUUUGCUCCUUAUGGACCAUACUGGCGUGAUGUGCGGAAGUUAGCCAUGGUUGAGCUGCUGUCAAACCGCCAGCUUGAGAUGCACAAGCAUGUCCAGGACUCAGAAGUCAAGAUCUUAAUAAAAGAGCUUUAUGGGCAAUGGGCAAGCAACAAGGACGGCCCCGCUUUGGUGGAGAUGAAGGAAAGAUUUGGGAACUUGGCACUGAACGUAGUGGUGAGAGCAAUUGCUGGGAAACGGUAUUUUGGGACCCAUGCCUGUGGUGAUGAGCCAAAACGGGCCAAGAAGGCCUUUGAGGAUUUCAUUAUUCUACUGGGGCUGUUCAUGGUCUCGGAUGUCAUCCCUUUUCUCGGCUGGUUGGACACGAUGAAAGGGUUUACCGCUGAAAUGAAGAGAGUAGCUAAGGAGGUGGAUUAUGUGCUUGGAAGCUGGGUGGAGGAGCAUCGCCAGAAUAGGCUUUCUGCGAACGACAAUGGGGCUGAGCAAGACUUCAUACAUGCCAUGCUUUCUGUCAUAGAUGAUGGCCAAUUCUCUGGUCGUGAUCCUGACACCAUCAUUAAGGGCACUUGCUCGGUAUGUCCCUGCUACUUCCAUAACCUGAGCAUGAAACGAAAAGAAAAAAAACCACCAUCUACUAUCAUAAUUUCUGCAACUUUUUCUGCCCAAUUUCCUAAACCCUCCUCGCAUUUCUACAAGCAUUCAUCAAAUCCAGUAUAGCUUUAUCAUCUGUAUUUAUCAUGACAAACCAGGUGGGGUGAUCAAAUUUCACUUAGAUUCCUUAUUCACGGUUUGUUUUAUCAUUCUGCUAAACAUGGUAUUUCACUACUGAUAAGUAAACUUUUCCUGAUCACAUAUUGAAGUCGACAUCAUUUGUUGAUUGCAGAACCUCAUAUUAGCUGGCAAUGACACAACAUCUAUCACUCUUACAUGGGCCCUCUCUCUUCUACUGAACAACCGCCAUGCGCUAAAAAAAGCACAAGCAGAGCUGGAAAUCCAUGUGGGAAAGCAUCGCCAAGUGGAUGGAUCAGAUAUAAAAAACCUCGUCUACUUGCAAGCCAUCGUCAAGGAAACAUUACGAUUGUACCCUCCUGGGCCACUUUCCCUGCCACAUGAGGCCAUGGAAGAUUGCACUGUGGCUGGCUUUCACAUCCAAGCUGGGACGCGCCUUUUGGUUAAUCUCUGGAAGUUGCAUCGUGACCCCAGAGUCUGGUUGGACCCUUUGGAGUUCCAACCAGAGAGGUUCCUGACAAAGCAUGCAGGUUUGGAUGUUAGGGGUAAAAAUUAUGAACUUCUACCCUUUGGUUCAGGUAGAAGGGUAUGCCCAGGAAUCUCAUUUGCACUGGAGUUGACGCAUCUGACGCUAGCCAGACUGCUUCAUGGUUUUGAAUUGGGAGCGGUUGCAGAUUCACCGGUGGAUAUGACUGAAAGUCCUGGGUUGACUGCCCCCAAAGCAACCCCACUGGAGGUCACCAUUGUUCCAAGGCUACCUUUCGAGCUCUAUAGUUAUGAAGCAGCAUAGAAAGUAAAUAAUACUCUAUGUGAGCCAGAGAGUCCCCUAAUUAGCCCAAUGCUUUAGGGUAUAUUUAUGUUGUGUAACUCACUUUGAAUGGCCUGUGUAGUGGGUGUUCUCCUUUCUCAGCUUCUCAUCUCAAAUUUCAUCCUCUUGGGUAGUAAUAAAUUUCUAUCUAUGAGUAAUUCUUUUUGCAUUACUUAAAAUAUAGACGACAACUGCACUGCACCAACAACAGAAGGCUGUUGAACCAAGAUCACUCAAGAAUUGUGCAACUAGUUAGGAAGUGUAGUUUGAACUGUGCAAAUAGUUAGGAAUCUGAUAGUGGACGCUAUUUGCCUUUUAACUUCUUGUUGAGGGUAUUUGUUGACUUUUAUUUUUGAGAAAAAAAAAAUAAUUUGGCAAUCAAAAAAUGGGAAAUGGUAUUUGUGUUUUGAAAAAUAGAAAUUAGGAAAUUGUUUAUGAGAAUAUCUUUUAGUCGAUUUUAUUUAUUUUAAAAAAUUAUUUUAAAAAAUAAUUAUACAAGUAUGAAAAAUUAUUAAAAAUGAAGCACUAAUUAAAAAAUUAAAAAUGGUUUUAAAACAUUUCAAUGUCUAAAACAUACUUUUAUUCUCAAAAUAUCAAUACUGAUUUUUAAAAAAUUAAGAACUAUUUUCAAAAACACUUUUCAAACAAAAUUGUAAUUUAUCAACCCUUCCAAAGUCAACAUAUGUUGCUGCUGCAGUAUAUGCUUCUUCAUCAAGUAAAGUUUAUUUUGAAUAUCUGCUAUUGACUUGUUAACAUAUUAUAAAACAAUUCAUCCUAAUUUUCAUAGUGAAAUCACAAAGAUUAAUUAGAAACUAAUCAUCUGUAUAAGGUUGCAAGCCCUUAUGAUCGAUCCAAACUUCGCAUUUUUCUUUCCCACAAGGUGAAUAUAGCUUGUGGCAAUAAACAUAUGAUCGUGAAUGAACCAUCGAAUUUCAUAUUAAAAUAUCUUAUAUUAAUAGAGCAUCCAAACUGAUGAGGGCAUAACUAACCAACGAAAUGCAGAUCCUAUUCAAGUUCCAAUUGGUCUGGUUACAAGGGCUCGAGCUAAAAAGUCCGAGGAAAAUUUCAAUAGACUGAUUCAAAACAUUUGGGCUGAGGUAAAUUUGUGGAGGCCUAAGGAAGCUACUCCAAGUGUUCCACAAGGUUGGAUUUCCAUGAUUCAAGCUUUUGAAUAAGCUAGAAGAAUCCCUCAAAGAGAACAGCUCACAAAUUGCGUGGAUUUAGUGGAGUUUUCUAAAUUGGUGAUUACCCAAUUUUGAUUCAUCAAGGAGAAUGGCUAGCUAAAUUUAAAGCAAUCAUUUUAAGAUAGCUAAAUUAUCUUUUUUAUUUAUUAUUAUAUUUUAUUGCUGAGUUGUAUGGUUUGCAUGCCAAUUUAGAUACUUUCCUUAUUGGCCUUCAAUUUUCAGAAUUAAACUUAGGAUGUUUUAGUUUCCUUUUUCUAGCUAUCUACGAAUCCUAGGCAGGAUAUUUGGAGAUUUUCUAGUUGCCUAAUUCGUGGACCUCUUUGUACAUAAAUAUCCAUUAGCUUAUUGAAAAACAAUACAAAUUCCAUUCAUAAUUUUGUGACAGAAAAUUCGUUUGGUUGUUUUAGAACUCUAUGAAUUUAUCAAAACAAUUUUCGUGGCGUUCUUCUUCGACUUAUUAAUCAAUCCUUCCAUAAUUGAUUAUGACAUCUUCAUUAUAUCAAGGUUAUUGCUUCCAUAUGAGCAACGGGUCGCAGUUUCAUAUAAAUCGAUUUCUAGACGAUCUUGGAGUCAUUCUUGAUCCACAAGUUUCACAAUUUCUUGGUGUGGAUUGUAUCACAAACCAUCACAACUUAGAAAGCUUAAAAGCAGUUAGAAGCCUAUCUACAUGUUAUUGGUGAAAGAUUGGAAUCAAAUGCUCUAAAUGCCCUUUAAGUGGCCAUGAGGUUUUACAUAUUCACAUACUAUAGAAUAUUUCAUGGAUGAGCUUGCUUGAAGUCAUCAAUGGAUUCCUUCUAUGAGAUGAGAUAAGAAGAGCUCAAUUUGAUGGUAUCCAACAUAGGACAGGUGGACAUCAUUGUGAUUUGUCCUAUCUUUUAAGUAAAUAUCUGCAUAUGCAAACCAUAGAACAUAUAUGGAUACUUAUUCACAAUGUACAGUAUGUAAAGAGAGUUUAUCCCUCUUUACCUUUUAGCAAUGUAACACUAUGUGGACCUGAUCAAAGAGAUUAUUGUUCCACCCAUAUUGCACAAAAAAAAUCAAUAUUUUUCUAAAAUAGUUAUGGCUUAUUAAUCUCCUAUACCCUUCAAAAUUAUCUUAUGUAGCACUUUAAUGCUAAUGUGCUUUCCCUAGUAAACAAAAGCUUGAAGGAUCUGAUCACACAUCUCAAUGGUGGUUGGAGUCAAAGGCUUGUCAAGAAAGGGAUUGAAAUAGACCUAGUAAAAGUUAAGUCAUAUUGGUCAAUAAAAAAAAAAAUCAAAGAAUUGAGAGAUUUCAUUGAACAGUUGCAAUUUAUAUGAUGGUUCAGAUUUAAAUAUUUCAAUCGGUAUGAACUUUUCUAUGAGCUCUUGAAAGGAGGUUGGUUUUAGAUGAGGGUGGGGAGAGGUGAUGUCAAUAUACAUUUUUAUAUUUAAAGGUAGAAGAAGAAAUUUUCCACUUUCCUAAAUUCUCUCCUUUGGCUCUAUUAUGACUCCCUCUAAACCCUUCAUCCUCUAACAUCUCAUUUGGCUGCACCAACUUCCACUUGCUUUUAUUCUCCCUUUAAACUCUCGACACCCCAAUAUCUCACAUAAUUGUCUCUUAAAAUCGAUAUCACCUCAAUUGCUUUUAUUACAUCCAGGCACGAGUUCUAUCAAGUGGUGAAACAGAUGGAACAUACAGCAAAGUGAGGAUUCAGAGGUUUAAGAGUAGUUGUUUAGCCCUAGUCAAGAAAUGUUUUUAAAAACAAUGUUUGAGAAUAGUUCUUAAAAAAUCUGUUUAAUUAUUUUCAAAAAUAAAAUUUUAUUUGAAAAACAAAAAUUCUCAAAAACAUUUUUAUAUUUUCAAUUAUUUCUCAUAAUACUUCACAAAAAAAUAUAGAAAAGUAGCUCAAUUUUUUACUUUUUUUUUUUAAAUAACAUGUUUUUAGAAAAAAUUUAAAAAAAAACUGUUUGGUAAAACAGUUAUCAACCAUAUUUUUUUAAAAUUAAAACACAAUUUUAUUUUUUCUUUUUUUAAAUGAACAAUUCUGAAACAGGCCUAACAUUUUUAUUUUUAUUUUUAUUUUUUUGUCUAUUUUUUAAUUUGACACUAGAAACAUCGAUUGUGUGAGGGUUUCUUUCUUCAAAUUGGAUUCGUAUUUUUCUUCAUAGCUUGACAAUGAUGAAUGGUGUCUUUGACACACUUCCUUCUUAACAAUGACAAAUUCCUUCUCCCCACUUCUAGCUAAUCAGAGAGACUAGAGGAAAAACAGUUUGCUUCAGGGAAACCUUACUCAUCCUAAUGCUACUAAAGUCAUCCAAAAGAAAGUGUAGCGUAUGAUCAGCUGGCAGAUUUGUUCCUUACUCGAAGUCUAAUAUGAUCAUCCUUAGCCCUCAACGGAUUCGGAUUUGAAUGGAUUACGUUUUUCUACUUCUGAGAGUGUUCUAAUUUAGAUAGUUUUGUGUCAUCAUGGAAGCCUUUUUCUUGUAGAUUAAUGGUGCAAUAGAAGUAUUAUGUGUGGUAGUGAGGGAAGUAAUUCUUUUAACUAACCCGUUUUCUAUGCUAACAAAUAGUAUGGCAUUCUCCUUUCAACUUCAAGAGAUGAGAGUUUUUGGUCCUCUUUUUGCUAUGCAUUUUCUGUCUCUGGUUGUUUAAUUCCAAAGCAAACAAGAACAAAGGCAAAAGGCCACCAGACCUGUCUGGAGCAUCACCUUUAAUAUUUAAUUGGUCACCUUCAUCUCUUAGGAGCAGAUAAGUCGUUACAUCAGACAUUUGGAGCCAUAAAUGAUAAAUAUGAAUCGUUUGUGUUUGUCUAAGCUUUAAGUCAUGACUCACCAUAAGCUAUGUCCAAUGUGCAUAUAAUCAUAUACAUUAAUGCACUUAUCAUGAGAAACCCACCCCGAUGACUAAGAACAAUUGUCUUUAACUAGAAAAUAGUGUACUAUAGCCUUCAAUAGAUUGCCUAAGUUCAUAAUUAAACCAAUUAUAAAUAAGUCAUCUACUUGUAAGAAACUCAUAACUUAGAUCUUCUAUAUAAAUACAUUCAAUUCAUAUACAAUGUUAGAUAUUCUAGACAAUAAUGCUUAUAAAAUAUAAUAUAUGGAGUAAGGAUAGAUAAAAGUGAAAUUAGAAUAUCAUUAAAUAAAUUAUGAAUUUCAAAUUUGUUAUAUCAUAUCAUACUUUUAAGGGUUUUAUCCUAACAUCACUUGUCUUAUUGAUAAGUUCAUUAUGAUAGUAAGGUUCUUGGAUUAAUACUUCGUUUAUCACAUGUUGAUUGUUGAAAUAAUAACGUCUAUUGACAAAGCACAAUCUUCCUGCUCAUGAAGGCAACAUGCCAUGCAUGUGACGUUGAUUGUACAGUCUUAUAUUUGGCAGGAUUGAGACAACAGUGAUCACGCCUACAUGGGCCCUUUCUCUUCUGUUGAACAAAAGCUGGCAGGAUUGAGACAACAGUGAUCACGCCUACAUGGGCCCUUUCUCUUAUGUUGAACAAAAGCUGCGUGCUGAAAAAAUAAACACAAGAUGAGUUGGACGUCCAAUUGGGAAAGCAUCGCCUAGUGGAGGAAUCAGCUAUGAAGACAACUUAAUCUACCUACAAGCCAUUGUCAAGUGGAAACAUUACGAGUAUAGCCUGCAAGCUAUUGUCUACUCCAAAUGUUUGGUAGUGUUUAUAGAACCUAAGGAGGUAUGAUCUUCUUAGCUUUUCUGUCAUUAAGCAGAAUGGAAAGUAAGAAAAAAUGUGUGGCACAAACUUCCCCAAUUAGCUCAGGCAGGUUCCCAAUUUUUGGACUUGGAGAACGUGGGAAGCAAAUCUGCUCACCCUCAUUGAUUUGUUUUGUAGGUGGUCUCCUUGCUUAAAUUGAAUUUUGAAUUUCUUAAAUCAUAUCUUAUCUGAUCUGGAAAGUAUUUUAAAUUAUUGAGGUUGUAGUUUAUUUUAUUAUCUACAGAUUAAAAAGAAAGAAAAUUCUCCUCUAACUCCAACCUCCUCUCUAUCUUUUCUACAAGCUAGUUUCUCUACAAUAUAGUGAGUUACACAGGUUCUUUGCCUAACAACUCAAGAUCCCUUAAGCCGAGACAAACUAAAACAUCAAAAGCCCAAGAAACCGGAUAAUAUUAUAACCAUAUAUAAUUUUUCAAAAUAAUUUUCAUUACAUUCUAAUUAAAAAAACUAUCAAGAUAAUCAAUUGGUGAAUGAGACGGCAAAGUGGGAAUUGGAUUGUUUUGAUGCAUGCACUUGAUGGUUAAACAGAAGUUGUUUAGUUAGAAUUUUAUUUUUUUCCUUAAAAUUUGACACAAUAAAUUUUGUAUCUUUGGCUGCCAGUUCCUUCUCCAAAUUGGAGACAUAGUUUGCACAUUGCAUUCAUAGCUAGAUGCUACACUCAUACUCCCUGCAAUUGCCUUACCAAUAGCUUGACUUUGGCUUAUGAUUAGGAAGAAGAUGUGGAUUUUUCGGAAGUGGACAAUCUCUUGACUUUUUCGGCUGAUAACUAUAGGUUUUUGUUUUUAGUCUCCUAAUUUUGAAUGAUUGAAUCCACAGGGGGCUCCACCUCCACCUUUAAAGCACACUUCUCUAAAAUAUGUGUACUAUGUGGUUCUCUAAAAUAUCUAUGUACCAUGUGCUGUGUGGUGUGUAAUUAAAGAGAAGUAAAACUUGAUACCAAAAUCAACACACCACUUGAUUUUCAAUGAACAAAUCGUGUUAUAUAGGACUUGGAAGGAGCUUCAUAUUAUUUAUUAUCAUCUAGAGCUGUCUACACUAAAUUAGGAUGGCACAUGUGUAGAGCAUGAAUUCCUACUUGUGAGUGUUCUAGCGCAUGUAGUUUUGAACCAUUUUCGAAGCCUUUUCCCAUUUAUGGUACCUGAGAAAGGUGAUUCUUUCCACGAACCCAUUUGCUCUGGUACUAACUAGUCAUUAUUGACGUGAGUUGUUGAAGGAGCAAUUAUAGAAAUAAAAAUAUUCUAGUUACCAAGUUAGUUUUAUUUGAUUGCAAAUCAUCCAAGAUUGUAGCCUAGAUUAGUAUGAUUAGUUUCUUCCAAAUUAACUUCAUGUACAGGUUAUAUAUAGCCCUCAUCUGUUGUAUCUUUUGCAUAUAGAAGAAUACCAUUUUUCUUCUCCUCAACAUGGUAUCAAAGUAGAGAUUCUAAGGCCGGCCUUAGAAUUUCUGAAGAAAAAAAAAACAGAAAGAGGAAAAUGGAAACACCUCCCACUGGGGUGGAAAAACACGAAGGGGAGAAUUCAAUUCUCGCAGAUCUUACGACAAGAAUGACUCAAGUACUAAACCACAAUCAAACUCAGAACCAAGUCACAAGUCAUGAACCUGCUACACACAUUGGAAUCAAGUUAGAUGGUACCAAUUAUGCAUUAUGGUCCCAAAUUGUCGAGAUGUAUAUCUCAGGUAAAGACAAGUUGGGAUACAUAAAUGGAGAUCUUCCAUAGCCUCUGCAAACAGAUCCUUCAUUCAAAAAAUGGAUAACCGAAAACGCAGUGGUGAAGGGAUGGCUAAUCAAUUCUAUGGAUCCAAUGUUAGUCAAUAACUUUAUUAGAUUCUCAAUGGCUAAGGCUGUUUGGGAUAAUAUUGCUAUUACGUACUUUGAUGGCACUGAUACAUCAUAAGUAUAUGAUCUCAAAAAAAGAGUAACCAGACUCAAACAAGGAGGAGGAUCUAUCGAGACAUACUACAACAAUUUGCAAGGCUUGUAGAGAGAAAUUGACUUUCGUCGACCAAAUCCUACGAAAUGUGAUAUUGAUAUAUAAAAAUAUAACUCUGUUUUGUAGGAGGAUAGAGUCUACACCUUUUUAGACGGAAUUGAUGAUCAGCUUGACAAGAUCCGAGCAGAUGUGCUGCAGAUACAACCAUUUCCAAUAGUGGAACAAGCUUAUGCACAAGUUCGAAGAGAGGAUUUGAGGCAAUCCGUAAUGAUGAUGAAUGAAGAUACCAUAUCUGGUGGUGUUAUGCUUUCAAGAGGAGGACAGAAACCUCAACACCAUUUAUCUUUUCAAACGCCAUCAAAUGGAAAGCCUAACACAGCCACAAAACCAAAGUCACAAGGAGAAGGAGGAGGCUGCACAGAUUAUGGGAAUACAAAACACACCAAAGAAACAUGUUUCAAACUACAUGGUUAUCCAAAUUGGUGGCAUGAACUCAAGGCAAAGAAAAAACGUGAAGCAAGUGGAGGCGACAAUCCUGGUCAUGUAGCUCUUAUGAGCCUAGAGCCUCAACUAUCUCUUGUACCACAACAAGAAUCUUCUAUCUCCACUAGUGAACAGAUUGCUCAGAAUGACUCAGGUAACCAAGGUUAUGUUUUUUCUUGCUCGAAAACGGGGAACCAUGAUGGCUGGAUCAUUGACUCUGGGGCAACAGACCACAUGACCUUUGACCCUUGUGACUUCUCUAAAGCCACCCAACCGAAACGAAUAUGCAUUGCCAAUGCUAAUGGAAUAACAUAUCCCAUAACAAGGGCUAGAACAGUGGCUCUUUCUCCUUCUUUUUCAUUACCAAAUACCUUAUUAGUUCCAUCACUUUCCAAUAAAUUGUUAUCUAUUGGACAAGUGACUGAGGAAUUGAAUUAUUGUGCUCUAAUGUAUCCUAACUUCUAUUUGUUUUAGGAUAUUCUCACCAAGGAGAUUAUUGGUCGUGGCACUAAAAGGGAAGGGUUGUAUUACAUGGAUGAUUUCAGUUAUGGUCGAGCAAAUAAUAUGCAUUCUGCUGGAAUUAAGGAAAGACAGAUUUGAUUAUGGCACAAUCGGUUGGGGCAUCCCUCAUUUCAGUAUUUGAGAUGUUUAUUUCCAGAUUUAUUUAUGAAGUUUAAUGAGUCAGAUUUUAAGUGUGAAGCUUGUAUUCAAGCUAAGAGUCAUCGGGUACCUUAUUCAAUCAGUUUGAAUAAAUGUGACACUCCUUUUUUUAUUGUUCAUUCUGACGUUUGGGGCCCUGCUCCUAUUACUAUUUAUUAUGGUGUUUGUUGGUUUGUAACCUUUGUCGAUGAUUAUACACAAAUGACUUAGCUUUAUGUGUUGAAGAAUAAACAUGAAGUGUUUGAAAUAUUUCGAUCAUUUCAUAAUAUGAUUCAAACACAAUUUUCUGCUAAACUUCAAAUUCUUCGAUCUGAUAAUGACGGGGAAUAUGAUAAUGCACAAUUUCACAGAUAUUUUCAGGAACAUGGUUUGCAUCAUAAGGCAUCUUAUUCUCAAACACUGCAAUAGAACGGUGUUGCAAAGCGUAAGAAUAGACACAUUUUCGAAAUCACUCGAGCUCUCUUGACUGUUGCUUAUGUCCCUAAAUGAUUUUGGCCAGAUGCAGUAAUGACUGCUGUAUACUUAAUGAACCGACUGUCAUCACGAGUUUUGCACUACAAAACCCCUCUUCAAGUUCUCGCACAACAUGUGACAUUACCAUCAGUUUUAAUGCUUCCUCCAAGAAAGUUUGGUUGUGUUACAUAUGUUCAUAUACACAAGAAUCAACGGACAAAACUUGAUCCAUGUGAUGUCCGUUGUGUUUUUCUUGGCUAUGCAGCUCACAAGAAAGGAUAUCGAUGUUACGAUCCAGUUACAAGGCGACUCUAUACCACCAUGGAUGUCACCUUUAUUGAAUCAGAGAAUUUCUUCACUUCUCAAUCUUCCCGCUCCUCUCUUCAGGGGGAAAUGAUGAGUGAAGAGCAAAAUUGGGAAAAUUGGCCAGGCUUUGAAGAAACUUCAAAUGAUGUAGGGGAGGUUCAGCCAAGAGAACCAAUGGUAACACUGAUAGAUCAAAGAGAAGAAGAUGAAAAUGUUGAGCAUGUCGAAGCAAAAAAACCAGCAAGAGUAGAUCAAAAUGGAGAAGUUACGGAAAUUGAAAGUGAGCAACUCUUUCAUGACCUGACAGUACCACAAUCAGACCAAUCUCCUGAGAAUAUUCAUGAGGUACAAGUUCUAAACUCUCCUCACAAUAUUUCUGUUGGCUAUUAACUACCUUUCAGGUAUAACCGCGGGCAACCACCAAACCGCUAUUCACACGAUCAUGGAACGAGCAAGUCAAAGUACCCAAUUGCCAACCAUAUCUCAACUCAAAAAUUGUUUGAACCUCUCAAGGCAUUGGUUCAUAAAUUAUUUGUAGAUGGUGAUCUUGAUACAGUGAGUGAAGCCAUGAAUAAUCCCAAAUGGAUCCAAGCGAUAGAGGAAGAGAUGAAAGAAAUACAGAAAAUGAUACUUGGGUGCUUGUGCCAUUGCCUGAGGGGAAGAAAACUGUGGGAUGUCGAUGGGUGUUCUCUGUCAAACACAAAGCAGAUGGAUCGGUUGAAAGAUAUAAAGCAAGGCUUGUUGCGAAGGGAUAUACUCAGACAUAUGGGGUAGAUUAUCAAGAAACUUUCUCACUUAUAGAAAAAUUAAAUACUGUGAGAGUACUAAUCUCUCUUGCUACAAACUUGGACUGGCUGUUGCACCAAUUCGACGUCAAAAAUUCCUUUCUCCAUGGGGAUCUUGAAGAGGAGGUGUACUUGGACAUUCCACCUAGUUUUGUUUCUUCGACACAAGAGAAGAUAGUUUGUAAGUUACAAAAGGCAUUAUACGGAUUGAAACAGUCUCCUAGAGCAUGGUUUGGACGAUUUCGCCUUGUCAUGAGAAAACACGGUUUCAAGCAAAGUAAUUCAGAUCAUACUCUCUUCUUAAAGCACCAACGGGGGAAGGUAACAGCUCUAAUAAUCUAUGUUGAUGAUAUGAUAACUACAGGAAAUGACAAGGAAGAAAUCUCUAAAUUACAAGAGCAUUUAGCAACUGAAUUUGAGAUGAAAAAUCUUUGAGGGUUGAAGUAUUUUUUGGGGAUUGAAGUAGCUCGAUCAAAAUGAGGCAUAUUUCUAUCCCAAAUGAAGUACGUGCUUGACUUGUUGUCUGAAAUAGAAAUGCUUGAUUGUAGACCUGCUGAUACACCAAUUGUUCAAAACCAUGGCUUGGGAGAAUUUCCUAACCAGACCCCUACCAAUAAAGAAAGGUAUCAACGCCUUGUGGGAAAGCUGGUAUACUUAUCUCACACACGACCUGAUAUUGCUUAUGCGAUGAGCUUGGUGAGUCAAUUCAUGCAUUGUCCUAGCGAAGAUCAUAUGAGUGAAGUGGUUCGUAUUUUACAGUACUUGAAGUCUUCUCCAGGAAGAAGACUGAUGUUCACGAGAAACCAACAUCUGCACAUUGACGGCUAUAUAGACGUAGACUGGGCAGGGAACAUUACUGACAGAAAAUCUACAUUAGGCUACUUCACAUUUGUGGGAGGCAAUCUGGUCACUUGGAGGAGUAAAAAACAGAAGGUAGUUGCUUUAUCUAGUGCAGAGGCUAAAUUUAGAGGCAUGGCUAAAGGAUUGUGUGAGCUACUUUGGUUAAAAAAAUUAUUAGAGGAAAUUGAUUGUUCAUCUCAUGAAACAAUGAACCUGUUUUGUGAUAAUAAGGCAUCCAUAGCAAUCGCGCACAACCCAGUUCAACAUAACCGCACCAAACAUGUUGAAGUGGAUCAGCAUUUCAUCAAGCAGAAGCUCAAAGACAAGGUCAUUCAGUUUCCUUUUGUGAAGUCAGAAGAUCAACUAGCAGAUAUUCUUACAAAGGCUGCCUCUAGCAAAAUAUUUCACAACUCACUUGACAAAUUGGGCAUUGAUGAUAUCUAUGCACCAACUUGAGGGGGAGUAUUCAAGUGAGUUGUUGAAGGAGCAAUUAUAGAAAUAAAAAUAUUCUAGUUACCAAGUUAGUUUUAUUUGAUUGUAAAUCAUCCAAGAUUGUAGCCUAGAUUAGUGUGAUUAGUUUCUUCCAAAUUAACUUCAUGUACAGGUUAUAUAUAGCCCUCAUCUAUUGUAUCUUUUACAUAUAGAAGAAUACCAUUUUUCUUCUCCUCAACAAUCAUAGGAUUCUCCCUUCAGCCACAAGAUAUCAUAGUUUUUGGGCUUCUUCUUGCUACAAUAUGUUUGUUGUUGGCAACGGUAUUUAAUGCCAAAUGGAACAAGAAGAAAGGCAAAAGGCCACAGGAGCCGUCCGAGCGAUGGCCUAUUAUCGGUCACCUUCAUCUUCUAAGAGCAGACAAGCUGCUAUAUCGGACACUUGGAGACAUGGCCGAUAAGUAUGGACCAAUCUUUUGCAUUCAUCUUGGCCUUCGUAAAGCUUUGGUGGUUAGUAACUGGGAAGUAGCAAAGGAAUGCUACACUACCAAUGACAAGGUAUUCGCCACUCGACCAAGAUCCUUAGCAGUAAAGCUCAUGGGCUAUGAUCAUGCCAUGUUUGGAUUUGCUCCCUAUGGACCAUACUGGCGUGAUGUGCAGAAGCUAGCCAUGGUUGAGCUCCUCUCAAACUGCCAGCUUGAGAUGCUCAAACAUGUCCAGGACUCAAAGGUUGAGUUCUUAAUAAAAGAGAUCUAUGGGAUGGGCACGAAACAAGGAAAGCCCCACUUUGGUGGAGAUGAAGGAAAGAUUUGGGAACUUGGUAAUGAAUGUAAUGGUGAGCGCAACUGCAGGGAAACGGUAUUUUGGGACCCAUGCCUGUGGUGAUGAGCCAAAACGGGGCAAAAAGGCCUUGGACGAUUUUAUGCUUCUAGUGGGGCUGUUCAUGGUCUUGGAUGCCAUCCCUUUUCUCGGCUGGUUGGACACGGUGAAAGGGUAUACCACUGAUAUGAAGAAAAUAGCUAAGAAGGUGGAUUAUUUGCUUAGAAGGUGGGUGGAGGAGCAUCGCCAACAAAGGCUUUCCGCAAAGAAUAACAGAGUUGAGGUAGACUUCCUCCAUGUCAUGCUUUCUGUCAUAGAUGAUGGCCAAUUCUCUGGUCGUGAUCCUGAUACCGUCAUUAAGGCCACUUGCUUGGUAUGUCCCUGCUACUUCCAUAACUUGACCAUGAAAUGAAAAGAGAAAAAAAAUUAAAAAACACCAUCUACUAUCAUAAUUUCUGCAACUUUUUCUGCCCAAUUUCCUAAACCCUCGUAUUUCUACAAGGAUUCAUCAAAUCCAGUAUAGCUUUAUCAUCUGUAUUUAUAAUGACAAACCAGGCGGGGUGAUCAAAUUUCACUUGGAUUCUUAUUCACGGUUUGUUUUAUCAUUCUGAUAAACAUGGUAUUUCACUACUGAUAAGUAAACUUUUUCUGAUCACAUAUUGAAGAUAACACCAUAUGUUGAUUGUAGAACCUUAUAUUAGCUAGCUAUGACACAACCGCUAUCACUCUUACAUGGGCCCUCUCUCUUCUACUGAACAACCGCCACGCGCUAAAAAAAUCACAAGCAGGGAUGGAAAUCCAUGUGGGUAAGCAUCGCCAAGUGGAUGGAUCAGAUAUAAAGAACCUAGUCUACCUACAAGCCAUCGUCAAGGAAACAUUACGAUUGUACCCUCCUGGGCCACUUUCCGUGCCGCAUGAGGCCAUAGAAGAUUGCACUGUGGCAGGCUUUCACAUCCAAGCUGGGACGCGCCUUUUGGUUAAUCUUUGGAAGUUGCAUCGUGACCCCAGAGUCUAGUUGGACCCUUUGGAGUUCCAACCAGAGAGGUUCCUGACAAAGCAUGCAGGUUUGGAUGUUAGGGGUAAAAAUUAUGAAUUGACCCUUUGGUUCAGGUAGAAGGGUAUGCCUAAGAAUCUCAUUUGCACUGGAGAUGACGCAUCUGACACUAGCCAGACUGCUUCAUGGUUUUGAAUUGGGAGUAGUUGCAGAUUCACCAGUGGAUAUGACUGAAGGUCCUGGGUUGACUGCCCCCAAAGCAACCCCGCUGGAGGUCACCAUUGUUUCAAGGCUACCUUUCGAGCUCUAUAGUUAUGAAGCAUCAUAGAAACUAAAUAAUACUCUAUGAGCCAGAGAGUCCCCUAAUUAGCCCAAUGCUUUAGGGUAUAUUUAUGUUGUGUAACUCACUUUGAAUGGCCUGUGUAGUGGGUGUUCUUCUUUCUUGUCUUCUCGUCUCAAAUUUCAUCCACUUGGAUAGUAAUAAAUUUCCAUCUAUGAGUAAUUCUUUUUGUGUUACUUAAAAUAUAGACCACAACUGCACCAGCAACAAAAGGUUGUUGCAACAACAGAACUCAACAAAACCAAGAUCACUCAAGAAUUGUGCAAGUAGUUAGCAAUAUGGUAGUGUAGUUUGAACUGUGCAAAUAGUUAGGAAUCUGAUUGUGUAGUUUGUUAUAGCUGAAACUAUAAGUAGCAUAGUAGAGAACCUCUCCUGAACAUGUAAUUCUUCAUCUCAAUAUACAGAAACUAAAUUUGCAUUCUCCUGAUACAAACUUACAUGGUAUCAGAGCCACCCCUCUUCAUAUUUCCCUUAGUCUUCUCGGAUACAAGCUAAAGCUGCAAAUUCGUCCUCAACCAUAGCUCAAUCAAUGCAGAUGUUGAAUCAGGCACUGCCCAUUAAACUUGAUAAAGAUAAACUACCUGCAUUGGAAAACACAAUUGGAGAAUGUGAUCUUGGCAAACGGCUUUGAAAACCACAUUGAAGGUUUGACAGUCUAUCUUUCAAAAACAACAAGCAAUGGUGAAACGAAUCCAAAGUUUAUUCUUUGGCGAAGAUUUGACCAAAUGAUCCUCAGUUGGAUCUACUCCUCACUUACUCCAGAAAUUAUGGGUCAAAUAAAAGUGUAUCAAACCUCCCAUGAUGCAUGGUCCGCUUUGGAAAAGAUCUUCUCGACUUCAUCCAAAGCUUGGGUGAUGCAAUUACAACUAGAAUUGCAAACCACGAAGAAAUGAUCUCUCUCAAUGAUGGAUUACAUUCUCAAGUUGAAGAAUCUGACUGACCACUUAGCUGCCAUUGGAGAACUGGUACACAACAGAGAUCAUAUUCUGAAACUGCUUGGAGGGCUUGGUGUAGAAUACAAUUCCAUUGUGGCGUCUCUUAUAGCAAGAGAAGAUGAAGUUUCACUGCAUACGGUGCACAAUAUUCUGUUAACCUAUGAACAGUGCCUGAAUCUUUAGAAGUCAACAGAAAACAAUGUAAUCUCUACAAAUCUCACUACCACAUCGUCAAAUCACCACAACAACAGAAGGAAUUCCAAUUGAAAUUCCUCAAGAAACAAUAGCAGAAUAGUCAACUCUGAACGCAACUCUCAUGGCAAUAGAAACUUGGUCUCUCAUAAUCGCCCACAAUGUAAACUUUGUAAAAAGUCUGGACAUACUAUGGUCCAAUGUUAUUAUCGUUUCGAAUAAACUUCCAAGGGGUAAAUACCCACUCUGAAUCUAAGCCCCAUUCAACUAACAGAAAUCGAGAUUAAGCCCAUGUCAUGAUUGCAUCUUCUAUUAACAUAAAGAGUAAGGAAUGGUUCUUUGACACUCGCGCCACCCAUCAUCUUUCUCAAACUACCACCUCUCUGGACAAUAUACAAUCAUAUAAUGGCAAUGACAAGGUGACAAUCGGGAAUGGUACACAAUUUCCCAUUCUUCAUACGGGUACUAAAAUUUUUCAGUUUCCUUUUAAAGUGUUUCAAUUAAAAAGAGUUCUUCAUGCUCCUCAUCUUGCAACCAAUCUUGUUAGUGUCGCUCAUUUCUGUGCUGACAACAAUACAUUUGUUGAGUUUCAUCCUCGGUUCUUUCUUGUCAAAGAACAGGUUACCAAGAAAGUUCUUCUCAAAGGUCAUCUCGAACGAGGAUUGUAUAAAUUUCCUACCAAUUUUAGCUCCACUGCAGGCUUGUUCUCUAGCCUCAGCAACUUUUCAUCUUUAAAUUCCACGAUUGAGCUUUAGCAUUCUCAACUUGGUCAUCCUGCUGAAGAUAUAAUGAAACAUGUUCUGAACAACUGUAAUAUUUCUUAUCAAUGUAAUAAACACCAAAUCUAUUAUGUCUAUCAAUAUGCCAAAAGUCACAAGUUGCCAUUUUCGUUGUCCAUGUCAAGAGCAUCUCAUCCUUUAGCACUUGUUCAUGCUAAUUUUUGGUUGUAGUUUCACCCUUAAAACAGAGAUUGGCUAUAAAAAAGAAAAAAUGGAAGAGUAACACCUAGGAAUAGAGGAGUUAAAAACAGUCCACCAAAAACAGAGGACCUUUUUUCUUUUCUUCACUUUGUAUUCUCAGUUAUGUUGUUUUUGUUGUACAGUAUGUAGUUUUGAAACCAAAUGCAAAGAGAUUUAACUUGAGUAAACCUCUCCACAUGGAAGCAUGACAACCACUCAAAACAUAAAAACAAAAAACUUAUUUUUUACAUAUAUAACCUAAACACAGCAUAGGCACAUUAUGUUACAUUCUCCCCCCUAAUGUGAUGUUCCUCCAUACCAAAAAGCUUUCGGAAGUGAACCCAAAAGUUUCUCAACAAUUCUUUUAUCACUAAUUUCUUCGCCAUAUGACUUCAUCUGAUUUACUAAUCUAAAAGAAAACUCAUUUAGAAUUUCAUUCUCCUUCAUUUUCAUAUUUUCCAACUCUCUUCUUAAAGCUUGAAGCUUAAUUUUUACAUAAAAAACAAAAAACUUAAUUUUUACAUAUAUAUAUAUAACCUAAACACAGCAUAGGCACAUUAUGUUACACUAAUAUCUAGGCUCCUGCACCCACUUUGUCUACUUCCGAUGCAUGAUUUUUUCUGCUACUCAUAGAUGAGUUCUCAAGAUUUUCUUGGCUUUAUCCACUGCACACCAAAGAUUAAGUACUUACAAUGUUUAUAAAAUUUCUCACUUUAGUGGAAAAACAACUUAACUUCAAAAUUAAGAGCCUACAAUCAAAUAACGAUGGUGAAUUCAAAGAAUUUUCUUCCUAUCUUGCUGCUCAUAGCAUUGAACACAAGUUCUCCUACCCAUACACACCUGAACAGAAUGGGAGAGUCAAGCAGAAAUUGAGACAUGUUAUAGAAACUAGUCUUGCUUUUCUAGCCAAAGCCUCCUUACCUCUCUCUUUCUGGUUGUAUGUUUUUCAUACUGCCAUAUUCCUCAUCAACUAUCUACCUACCAAGGUACUUAAAUAUCAAUCUCCAUUUCAAACUCUUUUUGGGAAAAUUCCUAAUUAUCAUUAUCUCAAGACAUUCGGUUGUCUUUGCUACCCAUACAUUAGACCAUACAACAAGCAAAAACUGCAAUAUUGUUCUACUCCAUGCAUCUUUCUUGGCUAUAGAAACAAUCACAAAGGAUACUUAUAUUUUGAUCCAAAAACUACCAGACUUUAAAUAACUAGACAUGUUAUUUCUCAUGAAUCAAUCUUUCCAGCUCUAUCACCUUCAACUUCUUCUAAUCCUAGUUCUUCCAUUUACACUCAUGCAUUUCUUCCCAUAAACAUGUCCUAUUCUCUUGCUUUAUCUUCUCCUGACGUUCCACAGCAUAAUCCCACACCUUUGUCUUCACCACUUCACUCAUCUUCUGACCACACCCUUCAAACUAUACUUAACAAUGCUCCUCAGCAUCCUCCUAUUAUGAAUAAUUAUCAUAUGAUAACGCGUGCCAAGGAUGGCAUUGUAAAAAAGAAAGCUUUUUUGUCUCACAUGCCCACUAAACCAGCAACAUUUUCUCAAGCUAUCAAAAGUUUCUACUAGUCCAAGGCUAUGUAACAAGAGUAUGAUAUUCUACUCAAAAACAAAACAUGGAAUCUAGUUCCUGGUCCUUCAAAUGCCAAUAUUAUCGACUGCAAAUGUUUGGUCAAAAUUUAUCCAAACAUGAUGGAGAUCUUUCCAUGAUGUCACACUAUAUUGGCACAGUUGGUGCUCUUCAAUACCUCACAUUCACGAGACCUAAUAUUUCAUUUGUUGUCAACAUAUCAUGCCAGUUUAUGAGUAGUCCCUCCAACACACAUUGGCUUGUUGUAAAGCGCAUCUUACGUUAUCUUAAAGGCACUACAUCUUAUGGUCUUUCCAUGCAACUGUCUCUCUUUGGACAUUUAAGCAUACACUGAUGCAGAUUGGGCUUUUUGUACAAAUGACAAAAGAAGCACCAGUGGCUAUUGUAUUUUCACUAGGCCAAAAUUGGCAGCAAGUAGAAAGUUGUUUCAAGAAGUAGUGUGGAAUCUGAGUAUCAUGGCAUAACUGUUGUCACUUCCAAAAUUGCUUGGAUUCAAUCUCUACUCACCGAGUUAUGUCUUUCUCCUUCAGCACCACCACUUCUGUGGUGUGACAACCAAAGUGUUGCACAUCUUGCUGCCAAUCCCAUAUUUCAUGCUCAAGCAAAGCAAAUUGAACUCGACCUUCAUUUUAUUCGUAAUAAAGUCCUUCAAAACCAACUUAGUAUUCGGUAUCUUCUCUCUUUCAACCAAAUCAUUGAUAUCUUCACUAAACAUAUCUCAAGCUCUCGGUUUUUUUAGCUUUCAAACCAAACUCUUUAUUGUUCUCAAACCUUUGUUCCCAAACCUGCGAGCUUGUGGGGGGAUGAUAGGCCACAACUGCACCAGCAACAAAAGGCUGUUGCAACAACAGAACCAAGAUCACUCAAGAACUAUGCAAGUAGUUAGGAAUUUGGUAGUGUAGUUUGAAUUGUGAAAAUAGUUAGGAAUUUGGCAGUGUAGUUUGUUACAACUGAAACUAUAAAUAGUAGAGAAGAGAACCUCUCCUGAACAUGUAAUUCUUCCAAUCAAUAUACAUAAACUAAAUUUGCAUUCUCCUUAUACAAACUUAUACUCCUUUCUCAUCUUCUCAUCUCAAAUUUCAUCCACUUGGAUGGUAUAUCUAUGAGUAAUUCUUUUUGUGUUACUUAAAAUAUCUUAAGUUUGUUUUUUAUAAAAACAAAAACAGGUUUGACACUAAAAAAAAAAAUAGAAAAUGGUUUUAAAAUAUCUACCUCUUUCAACUAUUCUCACUUAUUUUAAAAAAUAAAUAUAAAAAUAUGUAAAAUGAUAAUAAAUAAAUAAAUAAAGUACUGACAUAAAAUUUAUUUUUAAAAAUAUAUAUAUAUUUAAAAACAUAAAAAAUAAAUUAAUAAUAUUUCAAAUUCUAAAAUAGAAUUUUAUUCACAAAACAUCAAAGAACAAUUAUUAGAAACAAUUCUCAAAUAUCAUUUUCAUAAUUGUUUUUUAAAACACUUCCCAUUUCUCUAUAGUUUUUUUUUUAGAGAAUUAUUUAUUAAGAGUCAUCUUGCCAGUGAUCCUAACAAGUGUUUUUAGUUCAAAAAAAGUUUUUGAUGACAGAAUUUAGGAAAUACUUUUCAAAUUUUGAAAAAUCAUUUUUUAGAUAAAUGCUUAAUAGAUGAUUUUACGAAAAAACAAUUUAUAAGAAAACACUGUCAAUAAAAAAAAUUGAGUAGAAACACUUUCAAAUACACUUAAAAUGUUUUUUUAAUAAGUAUUACAAGUGAUUUUUUAACUUUUUAAAACCAUUGUUUAAAUUUUAUCUAAUUUUUUUUUCUCAAAAAUAUUUUUGUACGUAAGCUAGAACUAGAAGUACUUCUAACUUCAAAGAAUCUUUACCCAGCCGUUAACGUUUUAGACACCGUGGUUACCAGGCCCUUCUCUCAUGCAAUUGCUUAUAUAAAAACAAACACUUUUGUUACUUGGUACUAAAGCGCAUUAGAACUUUAGACAAAACAGAAGAUUCCUUACUUUUAUUUAGGCAUCAAACCCACUCAUUCAAGCAUAUUUAAAUUUAAAUGCAGUCGUCCAUGUAUACACAAAAGACCCAUUACCAAGAAGGUGAUCAUCCUUUUUCAGGGUUGGUUGUUCAAAAUUCAAAAUCAGUUAGCUGAAGAACAGAAAGGAAAAGAACAGAGCUGAAUUUGCAGAAAAGUAUUUUUUUUCUUUUUCCUUUUCUAAGGAUCUUGGAAUCCUUCUCCUAGUAUAGACAGAACAUUAGACGUAUAUAUAUGGUAGUGGGAAGUGAUUCUUCCCCAUAAAACAUUUUCUUUUCUAUUGAGUCAUGGGAUUCUAUCUUCAGCUUCAAGGGAUCAUAGUUUUUAGCCUUCUGUUUGCUAUCAUCUGUUUGUGAUUGAUUAAGGGCAAAGGGAACAGAAACAGAGGAAAAAGGGCACCAGAACCAUCACGGGCAUGACCUUUAAUCGGACACCUUCAUCUUCUACGAGCAGGCAAGCCCCAACAUCAAGCAUUUGGAGCCAUGGCAGAUAAGUAUGGACCAAUCUUUUGCUUUCAUAUUGGCCUGCGCAAAACUUCGGUGGUUAGCAGCUGGGAAGUAGCAAAAGAAUAUCUCACUUGAUGUUAAAAAUUGGAUACAAUAGAGAAAAGAAACACUCUCAAACACUCUCUUGAUACAAUAAAACUCUCAAAGUUACAAAAUAAGAACAAGAAGAAGAAGAACACAAGAAAGGCUCAAACAAGUUCUUGGAAUUUUGUCCAAAGACUCUAUUUCCUCCCACCACUAGAAAUCUUUAGGGAACUAAUGGAAAUAGUCUUGGGAUUGAUCAAGCCUUUUCACUUUUCUGCAUAAGAUUUCAAAAAGAAGAAAAGUCAUAUAUAGCACUCUUAGGGUUGAAAAAUGGUUACAAGGAUGAGAAAAAACUCAUUGUCUUCCUCAAUCUCUUCAUCUUUGUAACAUUCAAAAAUUAAAUCAUAUGUUUAAUUCACACAUUAAACAUGAUUUAAUCUCAAAUGUGUAACUCUCUUACACUUAACCUCUUAAGUUUUAUAAAGUUACAAAGAUGAGAAGACUCAUUGUCUUCCUUAACCUUUCAAGUUUUGUAACAUUUCAAAACUUAAUCAUGUGUUUAAUUCACACAUUAAAAGUGUAACCCUUCUUACACUUUAUUUUCAAAAGUUAUUUUUCAAAAGUGUAACUCUUCUUACACUUUAUUUUUAACCAACAAUAUAUAUAUAUAUAUAUAUAUAACAAUCCCCCACUUGGUUAAAAAUAAACAUCAACCCUUAUAACCUCAACAAUGAAAAUGCAUAAAAUAAAAUAUCUUUCGAUUUGAAUUUUACCUUAGUGUAAUUGUCACAAAGCUCCGUUGAAAUCCCAGGUUGCUUGUAGCAUUAAACCAGUUAUUCCUUGUAACGAAACCGGUAACAACACACACACUUCCACUAACCACAUGAGUGCCCAUUAUUUUCUUGCUUAGCACUUUUAUGGCCAUGUGCUCAAUCCAUUCAUGAACUUUCUUGAAAGAAACUCCAACUCUCAUGAGAGGCGGCACCACCCCUAAGUUCACAUAGGUGAAAUUCUUCCAGCAUCCUUGUUACCUUUAAGAUGCUUGUCACACAUAGACUGAAUUUCAUUAAAAGCUUUAAGCUUAACCCUCCAACGGUAACAACCAGCAUUAAUCAUCACAGAUGGAACUCACAUGUUCUAAUGCUGCCACAACCCACUUAUCAAUGACUUGUUUUUACCUAUUGAACUUAAGACUAGUCAUUUCGUAGUAUUAAGUUAGGUUACCAUCAUUGGUGAAUUUUAUUUAAGGAGUUUUAGUCACAUCCCUCUAGAUGUUAUCCUUACUAAAUCUCUUGUAAGAGGCUUAGUAAAAGGAUCCGCCAAGUUUCCACUUGACCUCACAAAUGAGAUUGAGAUGAUUCCAUAUUGAAUCAAUUGUCUCACAUACUCAUGUCUAAUGCUUAUAUGUCUAGACUUCCCAUUGUACACUCCACUGUACGCACGAGCUAGAGUGGCUUGACUGUCACAAUGUAUCGACACUGUUGACACAUUAUUUGCAGUAAAAGGGAUGUCCAUCAUGAGAUCCCUAAGCCACUCAGCUUCUUUUCCAAUUGCAGCUAGAGCUAUAAACUCUGCCUCCAUGGUUGAGUGUGAUAUACAAGUCUGUUUCUUGGAUCCCCAAGAGACAACCCCACCACCAAGUGUAAACACCCAACCUGUGGUAGAUAAAUUAUCUCCCACACUCGAUAUCCAGCUUGCAUCUGAAUACCCUUCAAGUAUAGCAGGAAACUUUGAAUAUUGGAGGCUUAGUUCUUUGGUAUUCUUUAGGUAACCAAGAACUCUACCAAUAGCUUUCCAAUGUUCCACGCUUGGAUUGCUAAUAAACCUACUUAGUUUACUAACUGCAAAUGAAAUGUCAGCCCUAGUACACUGAGCAGCAUACAUAAGACUUCCAAUUGCACUUGCAUACUCAAGUUGAGCCACAGAUCUACCAUCAUUCUUUUCAAGUUUUAUACUUGAAUCAAAUGGAGUAUUAGCAUCUUUAAUCUUGAGAUGAUUAAAUUUGCUAACUACUUUCUCAAUAUAGUGGGUUUGGUUCAAAGCAUAACCCCCACUAUUUCUUUUCACUUUGAUACCCAAUAUAGUAUCAACUUCUCCAAGAUCUUUCAUCUUGAAGGUUGAGGAUAGAAACCUUUUCGUUUCUAUUAUUCCUUUCAUGUCAUCACUCAAGAUUAACAUGUCAUCCACAUAUAGACACACUAUGACCAUAUAGUCAUCACAAGUCUUAGAAUAUAAGCACUUGUCCACAUUGUUGUGUCUAAAUCCAUCCGAAAGAAUAGCAUGAUCAAAUUUUUCGUGCCAUUGUUUGAGAGUUUGUUUUAAACCAUAUAAUGAUUUGACAAGUUUACACACUUUGUUUUCAUUCCCCAGUGGAACAAAACCUUCCGGUUGUUCCAUGUAGACUUCCUCAUUGAGAUCCCCAUUCAAGAAUGCCGUUUUGACAUCCAUUUGAUGAACAAAUAGAUUAUGAAUUGAUGCCAAAACAAACAAUAUCCUAAUUGAUGUUGUUCUAGCCACCGGCAUAGGUAUCAAAAUAAUCAAUACCUUCUCUUUGUUUAAACCCCUUAGCUACUAAUCUAGCCUUAAAGGUUUGAAUCAUGCCAUCGUUGUGAUAUUUCCUUCGAAAUACCCACUUGCACCCUAUUGGUUUAGAUCCUGGUGGAAGGUCUACCAAUUCCCAUGUUUGGUUGGACAUAAUUGAAUCCAUUUCAUCAUUGAUAACCUCUUUCCAAAAAGCAACAUCUCUAGAAGCCAUAGUUUCUUUGUAUGUUUUGGGAUCCUCCUCUAUUUGAAGUACUAUAGGAAUUUUUCUUAUAAUAUCUUCUCUAUUUCCUUCUACUAAGUAAAAGGAAAUUCUUUGAGAGUCAAUCUCAUCUGAUCCCAACACUUUCUCUUUUCUAGCUCUUUGGCUUUUCCAAGGCACAAUGGGUUGCUCAACAACCUUUGAAGGUGUCUCCUCUAGAGACUCUCCAACACUAGUAGGUACUUGAGAAUUGCUAUCACUCAACAAAUUCUCAAAGAACUCUACCUCUCUUGAUUCAAUUAUCACAUUAGACUCCAAGUCUAAUAGCCUAUAAGCUUUGCUAUUUGAGGCAUAGCCUACAAAUGCACACUUAAUGGCUCUUGGACCCAAUUUUGUUUCAUGUGGAUCCGUUUUCUUGCAAUAAGCAAGACACCCCCACACUUUGAAGUAACCUAUAUUAGGCUUCCUUCCUUUCCAUAACUCAUAUGGAGAUAUCUCAUUUUUCUUCAUAGGAAUUCUAUUAAAAUAUGACCCCUACAUAUGAGCUCAUCCUCCUCUCUCUUCUUCCUUGCCGCCACCACUUGAGGUGUGUCAUUUUCCUUUGGUUCCGGUAACGGUGCCAAGGUAGGAUCAAGGAUGUAGAAAAUCUUGAGUGCUGUGAGAAGGAAUCUCACCUUGUCUUGCCACCUAGUGAAGUUGGAACCAUCAAAACGAUCCAACCUCACAAGGUCUUGGUUCAUAAUCUUGAUAAUCUCUCCUUCCAUUGAAAAAUAGAGUCUUUGAUUGAUGUUAAAAAUUGGAUACAAUGGAGAAAAGAAACACUCUCAAACACUCUCUUGAUACAAUAAAACUCUCAAAGUUACAAAAUAAGAACAAGAAGAAGAAGAACACAAGAAAGGCUCAAACAAGUUCUUGGAACUUUGUCCAAAGACUCUAUUUCCUCCCACCACUAGAAAUCUUUAGGGAACUAAUGGAAAUAGUCUUGGGAUUGAUCAAGCCUUUUCACUUUUCUACAUAAGAUUUCAAAAAGAAGAAAAGUCAUAUAUAGCACUCUUAGGGUUGAAAAAUGGUUACAAGGAUGAGAAAAAACUCAUUGUCUUUCUCAAUCUCUUCAUCUUUGUAACAUUCAAAAAUUAAAUCAUAUGUUUAAUUCACACAUUAAACAUGAUUUAAUCUCAAAUGUGUAACUCUCUUACACUUAACCUCUUAAGUUUUAUAAAGUUACAAAGAUGAGAAGACUCAUUGUCUUCCUUAACCUUUCAAGUUUUGUAACAUUUCAAAACUUAAUCAUGUGUUUAAUUCACACAUUAAAAGUGUAACCCUUCUUACACUUUAUUUUCAAAAGUUAUUUUUCAAAAGUGUAACUCUUCUUACACUUUAUUUUUAACCAACAAUAUAUAUAUAUAUAUAUAUAUAUAUAUAUAUAUAUAUAUAUAUAUAUAUAUAUAUAUAUAUAUAUAUAUAUAUAUAUAAAUAUAACAUCACUACCAUGGACAAAGCAUUUGCCACUCAACCCAGAUCCUUGGCAGGAAAGCUCAUGGGCUAUAACCAUGCCAUGUUUGGCUUCUCUCCUUGCAGGGCAUACUAGCAUGAUGUAAGGAAGUUGGCCUCGAUUGUGUUGGAUUGUGAAGCUUGAACCAGUUUUAUUGCUCUUCGCUCGGGAUGUCGGGAGUCGAACUGCCCGAUCAACUCAUGAGGGUCAAAUGGUUGCAAAGUUUGUUGACAAAGGUGAGAUUCAAACAUGUGAUGAAUGUUUUGUAUAGUGAUAGCCAAAGUGCAAUACAUUUUGCUAAGAAUUCAGCAUUUCAUUCUAGGACUAGACAUAUAACAAUUCUUUAUCACUUUAUCAGGCCUUUGCUUGAAGAUGGAAUGUUAACACUUGUGAAAAUACACAAUAACAAGAAUCCAACUUACAUGUUGACCAAAGCACUGAUAGUAGAGAAUCUAGAGCAUAUAACGCUUUCUGUAGCUUACAAACAUGUUGGGGAUGAGAUGUGCUAACAAAUCCAGCUGGUUGGGAAAGAUAAACAGUUUCUACAAUUUCUCCAUUGAGGAAGGCAUUGUUGAAAUCAAUUUGUCGAAUCUCCCAAUUAUAUGUUACAGCCAAUGUAAAUACAACUCGCAUAGUAGAGGAUUUGAUCACUGGACUGAAAGUAUUAGUAAAUUCCACACCUACAUAUUGUUGAAAUCCUUUGGCUACUAGUCUGGCCUUGAAGCGUUGGAUGGUACCAUCAAAAUUAUAUUUGACACAAAAAAUCCAUUUUCUAUCUAUGACAUUCAUGGAUGGAUGAAAGAGAACCAAGGUCCAAGUAUUUUUUACUAAGGCUUGAUAUUCUUCAACCAUAGCUGUGUGGCAGUUGGGAUUUUUCAAUGCUUGACUAACAGUGGUAGGAAGUUGGUCUGGGGGUGAAAUGGAAGUAGACAGGUAUGUAAUAUGGUCUGGGAGUAGUUUGGGUUUAAAUUUACCCACUUUUGAACGAGUAGUCAUGGGAUGAAGAGAAGAAGCUGAAAUAGGAGGUGAGGGAAUAGAAGGGGACACUGGUCUUGAUGCAGCGGGACACAUGGAAGGAUGAGAAAAGGUAUGUGACAUGGUUUGUAAAAGGGGUAUAGAGAAAGAUGUGGAGGAAGUGUGUAGGGUAGGACUAGAAUCAUUCAUUGGUAGAGAUGAAUAGGGAAAUGUUUUUUCAUAAAAAAAUAAUGCUUCUUGAAAUGUAAACUUUCCUGGAAUGAUGUAAAUAUAGGUAUCCUUUAUGGGAGAGACUAUAUCCAAUAAAUAUGCAUUGAGUUGACUGAUAUUCUAGUUUAUGGUUUUUGUAAGGUCGGAGAUACGGAUAGCAAGCACAGCCAAAAGUCUUCAAGAAUAAAAAAUUAGGUGAGGACUUAAACAAGAGUUCAUAGGGAGUCUUACAAUGGAAAACCGGAGUUGGUAGUCUAUUGAGAAGGUAAGUUGUUGUAGAGAAGGCAUGCCACCAGAAAGUAAAUGGCAAUUGAGACUUAGCCAAUAAAGUCAAUCCAAUUUCUACAAUGCUUCUAUGCUUUCGUUCCACCUUCCCAUUUUGUUGAUGAACAUGAGGACAAGGAUGACGGAAGAGGAUGUCUUUCUUCUACAGAAGAUAUUGAAGGGGACGAAACUCUCCACCCCAGUCUGUUUGUAGACACUUAAGUUUGGUGGGAAAUUGUCGAUCUACCAAUGCUAUGAACUGCAAGACAAUUGAUGUUGCUUGGGACUUUUGUUGCAUGGGAUAAAUCCAAGUACAGUUUGUAAAAGCAUCUACAAAUGCAAUGUAAUAUUUGUACCCAUCACAUGAAGUUGUAUGUACAGGACCCUACACGUCCGAAAAAACUAGUUCGAAUGGAACUUGUGUUUUAUUAAUAGUGGUAGAGAAUGAAAGCUGUUUUGCCUUGCCUAAAGGACAAGUAGUACAAAAACCGAGUUCGUUUUGGAGCUUGGAAUUAAUGCCUAAUCUGUCAAGUACUAGAGACACAGUUUUGUUGCAUGGAUGACCCAAUCUUUGAUGCCACAAGUGUCCAACACCCAUGUUGCUGUCUUCUACACAUCUUGUAGACUCAAUUUUAUUUAUUUGCAGGCUAUAUCCAACAGAUGGAGCAGCUGGUUGUUUGUUGAUAGUAGAUGGAGUAGUAGCUAGAUGAGGUAGGAACACAUUUGUAUCUUCAGAGAAACCUGCAAACUGCCGGUUAGAUGAGACCUUGGAAAUAUCCAACUGAUAUAGGCCUUCCUUAAGGUUGCCUUGGAGUAAUAUCUCUCUGGACUUCUUGUCCUUAACAAAACAGCAAUGAGAGUCAAACUCAAGGAUAACAUCAUUAUCUUGAGUGAAUUUAGCUACAUUGAUCAGAUUUUUAGUGAUCUGAGGUACAUGAAGUACAUUGGUAAGAUGCAAUGACUUGGAAGAUUUACAUGAAGGAAAAGAAGUAUGACCAACACUAGAUAUAUCUAGUGUUUGUCCAUUGCCCACCACAACAUUACCUGUGCCAGAGUAGUGAUCAAAGACAUCAUGAGUAUUGGAAUCAGUGGUCAUGUGGUGAGUAGCACCAUUGUCAACAAACCAUGAAGUGUUUGAAUCAAGAUCCGGAGUAAGAAUAUAGGCACGAGGAGAAGUGUUUGUUGAAUCCUGUUGUUGGUGUGAAUUUUAAAUUGGAAGUGAUGGUAUCAGUGGCCUUGUGGAAUAAUAUUGAGGCUGACUUUGAGGCUGUAUUUGUGGUUGUAGUGGAGGUGGCCGAAGUUGAGGUUGUUGCGGUUGAUGAAGAGAUGGAAACUGUUGAUUUUAUGCACAUGGUGGAGAUUGGAAGUACACAUCAAAACGGUGGAAGCACUUCAUAGCAGUGUGUCCCAUUUUUCCACACAAUUGACAAACAAUUCUUAAAGUUUGUGGAUUAUGUACAUUUCUAUGACGAAAAUUCCUGUUGCUUGAGCCUCUAAACUGUCCAUCAUUAGUGUUAGAAUUUUGAACACCUCCAACUGUAAUAUGUGCUGCUGGUGAACGUCAAUAACAAAGGCUGUUGAAAGUUGCUCAAGACAAAUUUCAUGACUUUGUAGCAGAUAAUGGACUUCUUGUAGAGAGAUUGCCUCAGAUCUAGAUGUAAUAUUCACAACAAUUGUUUCAAAUUCUAGUCCUAAUCCACCUAAAAUGUAAAGAAUUAAAUCUUCAUCUGGUAUAGGUUUUCCAGAGGCAGAGAGCAUAUCUGCUAUGUUUCUCAUUUUUAGCACAUAAUCCUUUAUGCUUAGAGCACAUUUCUUUAAUGAUUGUAGCAUGAAACGUAGUUGAAGAGUUCUUGCCUUUGAAUUAGAGACAAAAAGUUUUUAAAAGAACACUCCAUACUUUGGCUUAUGUUUGACAAUUAACCACAUGACCAUACAUGGCUUCAUAUGGAAGCAAGAAUCCAACUCAAAAAGAAUUGAUCUAAAAUCACCCAUUGAUCAUAUUCUGGAUUGGAUGCAGGUUGAGAUGAAUUAACUGAUGUUGAUUGAGAGAAUCUUGGAGGUUUUGGUAGCUUACCAAUGAGAAUUUGAUCCAAUUGAUGUGCUCUAGCUGCUGGUAAUACCUAAGAUCGCCAUAUUGUGUAAUUGUUCAUCUCUAGCUUCACCGAGAUCGGAUGAAGCAUAGAAGAACUUUGUCCCUUAAGAAUUGAGGAAACUUCCAACGAGUUUCUUGCCGGAGAUUGGAGUCCUUGUGAGGACAUCUCUGGUGCAGAGAAAUCGAUGUGAUCAAUCACCAUUUUGGAUGUGUGUCAAUGGAGCUCUGAUACCAUGUCUGGUUGAAGAAAAAUAAAGAAAACAGGAUUGUAGCAGAAAACAGAGUAUGAAGAAGAGAAAAAACAGAGUAUUAGAAAUUCUGGAACUAAAAAACGUGUUCUUGCAUUCCACUCUUCAUCUGAUUGAUUUACAUAUGUUUUUAUAUCAAAACUUAUAGACUUUAACUCUGGUUACCAAUUAACCGUAGUUACUAACUGACCAUAGUUAUAGUUACAGGGGUUAGCUAACUUCCUAACUGAAUUUGGUUAGCUUAACAGGCUAUGAUGAUGGCUCGUUUGUCUUUGCUCCUUGUGGACCAUAUUGGCGUGAUGUGCAGAAGCUAGCCAUGGCUGAGCUGCUUUCAAACCGCCAACUUGAGAUGCACAAGCAUGUCCAGGACUCAGAAGUCAAGAUCUUAAUAAAAGAGCUUUAUGGGCAAUGGGCAAUGGGCAAUGGGCAAGCAACAAGGACUCCCCGCUUUGGUGGAGAUGAAGGAAAGAUUUGGGAACUUGGCACUGAACGUAGUGGUGAGAGCAAUUGCUGGGAAACGGUAUUUUGGGACCCAUGCCUGUGGUGAUGAGCCAAAACGGUGCAAAAAGGCCUUUGAGGAUUUCAUUAUUCUAGUGGGGCUGUUCAUGGUCUCGGAUGCCAUCCCUUUUCUCGGCUGGUUGGACACGGUGAGAGGGUUUACCCCUGAAAUGAAGAGAGUAGCUAAGGAGGUGGAUUAUGUGCUUGGAAGCUGGGUGGAGGAGCAUCGCCAGAAUAGGCUUUCUGCGAACGACAAUAGGGCUGAGCAAGACUUCAUACAUGCCAUGCUUUCUGUCAUAGAUGAUGGCCAAUUCUCUGGCCGUGAUCCUGACACCAUCAUUAAGGGCACUUGCUCGGUAUGUCCCUGCUACUUCCAUAACCUGAGCAUGAAACGAAAAGAAAAAAAAGCACCAUCUACUAUCAUAAUUUCUACAACUUUUUUCGCCCAUUUCCUAAACCCUCCUCACAUUUCUACAAGGAUUCAUCAAAUCCAGUAUAGCUUUAUCAUCUGUACUUAUCAUGACAAACCAGGCGGGGUGAUCAAAUUUCACUUCGAUUCCUUAUUCACGGUUUGUUUUACCAUUCUGCUAAACAUGGUAUUUCACUACUGAUAAGUAAACUUUGCCUGAUCGCAUAUUGAAGUCGACAUCAUAUGUUGAUUGCAGAACCUCAUAUUAGCUGGCUAUGAAUCAACAUUUAUCACUCUUACAUGGGCCCUCUCUCUUCUACUGAACAACCGCCAUGCGCUAAAAAAUGCACAAGAAGAGCUGGAAAUCCAUGUGGGAAAGCAUCGCCAAGUGGAUGGAUCAGAUAUAAAGAACCUAGUCUACUUGCAAGCCAUCGUCAAGGAAACAUUACGACUGUACCCUCCUGGGCCACUUUCCCUGCCACAUGAGGCCAUUGAAAAUUGCACUGUGGCUGGCUUUCACAUCCAAGCUGGGACGCGCCUUUUGGUUAAUCUCUGGAAGUUGCAUCGUGACCCCAGAGUCUGGUUGGACCCUUUGGAGUUCCAACCAGAGAGGUUCCUGACAAAGCAUGCAGGUUUGGAUGUUAGGGGUAAAAAUUAUGAACUUCUACCCUUUGGUUCAGGUAGAAAGGUAUGCCCAGGAAUCUCAUUUGCACUGGAGUUGACGCAUCUGACGCUAGCAAGACUGCUUCAUGGUUUUGAAUUGGGAGCGGUUGCAGAUUCACGGGUGGAUAUGACUGAAAGUCCUGGGUUGACUGCCCUCAAAGCAACUCCACUGGAGGUCACAAUUGUUCCAAGGCUACCUUUCGAGCUCUAUAGUUAUGAAGCAGCAUAGAAAGUAAAUAAGACUCUUACGUGAGCCGGAGAGUCCCCUAAUUAGCCCAGUGCUUUAGUUUAGGGUAUAUUUAUGUUGGUGUGACUGACUUUGAAUUGCCGGUGGAGUGGGUGUUCUCCUCAAAUUUCAUCCACUUGGAUGGUAAUAAAUUUCCAUCUAUGAGUAAUUCUUUUUGCAUUACUUAAAAUAUCUUAAACCUGUUUUUGAGAAAAAGUAAAAAAUAAAAAGCCAUGCCUGAAACAAAAAAAAAAAAAAAAAGAAAAAAAGAAAAAGAAAAAGCAUGGCUUUAUUUUAACUAUUUUCAUUUAUUUUAAAAAAAUAAAUAUAAAAAUAUACAUGAUAAUAAAAUAAAUAAAUAAAUAAAGAACUAACAUGAAAGUUAUUUAAAAAAAAUUAAAAAUAUUUCAAGUUCUAAAAUAAAAUUUUAUUCAUAAAACAUCAAAAAACAAUUUUAAAAAACAAUUCUCAACUAUCAUUUUUCAUAACUAUUUUUAAAACACUUCUCAAAUACAACCUUAAAUUUUGAACUCCUUCCAAAACCAAGUUUCGAUGAUGCUGCACCUUAUGCUUCUUCAUCAUUUGGAGUGCCUACUCUUGACUUAUUAACACAUCAUAAAAAAUUGAUCCUGAUUUUCAUAGUAAAAUCAUAUGGAUUAAUUGGGAAAUAGUUAACUGUACAAAGUUGCAGCCUGCAGGCCCUCAUGAUCGACCUGCACUUAGCAUUUUCUUUCCCACAAGAUGAAUACAACAUUUGGCAGCAAUCAUAGGAUCAUCAUGAACGACCUAUUGAACUCAAUAUUAAAAUAUCUUAUAUUAACUGAGCAUCCAACCCACCACCACAACUCAGACAACUUUAAAGAAAUUAGAAUCCAAUUACUAUAUUAUUGGUAGAAGAUUGGAAUCAAAUGCUCUAAAUUAAUUUCCCUUAAGCGGACAAGAGUUUUACAUGUUCACAUAUAUGCCAUACAAUCUCAUGGAACACUUUCUAAUAUUACUAUCCAACGGAUUCCAAAAAUGCAUUUGUCAAUGUUUUUACUAAAAAUGGUUUUUGUAAAAGUAUUUUCUCUAAUAGUCUUUUUCGGUGAAUCAUUUAUUAAGAAUCAUCUUGACAGUGAUCUUAGGAAAUGCUUUUAGCCUAAAAAAUGUUUUUAAAAAAACAUCACAUAUUUGAGAAUUUAAGAAAUAUUUUCAAAAUUUUCAAAUUAAUUUUUAAAGAAAUACUUCAUAAAUGAUUUUCCGUAAAACAAUUUAUGAAAAAACAGUCAUUAAAGAAACUAUGAGUAGAAACACUUUCAUACGACCCUCGGUGUUUUUCUAAAAAUUAUUAUAUCUGACUUUUUUAAAAUCGUUGUCUAAAAGUAUUAUAGCUGAAGAACAGUAAGGAAAAGAACAGAGCUGAAUUUGCAGAAAAGUUUUUUUUUUUUUCAUUUUCCUUUUCUAAGGAUCUUGGAAUCCUUUUCCUUGUAUGGACAGAACAUUAGAGGUAUAUAUAUGGUAGUGGGAAGUGAUUCUUCCCCAUAAAACAUUUUCUUUUCUAUUGAGUCAUGGGAUUCUAUCUUCAGCUUCAAGGGAUCAUAGUUUUUAACCUUCUGUUUGCUAUCAUCUGUUUGUGGUUGAUUAAGGGAAAGGGAACAGAAACAGAGGCAAAAGGGCACCAGAACCAUCACGGGCAUGGCCUUUAAUCGGACACCUUCAUCUUCUACGAACAGGCAAGCCCCAACAUCAAUCAUUUGGAGCCAUGGCAGAUAAGUAUGGACCAACCUUUUGCUUUCAUAUUGGCCUGCGCAAAACUUUGGUGGUUAGCAGCUGUGAAGUAGCAACAGAAUGUUUAACUACCAUGGACAAAGCAUUUUCCAUUCGACCAGAUCCUUGGCAGGAAAGCUCAUGGGCUAUGACCAUGCCAUGUUUGGCUUCUCUCCUUACGGGCCAUACUGGCGUGAUGUAAGGAAGCUGGCCUCAGUUGAGCUCCUCUCAAACCGCCAGCUUGAGUUACUCAACCAUGUCCGGGACUCAGAAGUUAAGCUUUUCAUCAUAGAGCUCUACGGGCAAUGGAUACAAAAUGGGGACAGGCCUCUCUUGGUCGAGAUGAAGGAGAAGUGUUGGCACCUGGCAGCAAAUGUAAUGGUGAGCGCAGUAGCUGGGAAAUUUUGGCACCGUUACAAAUGACUAUGAGUCAAGACGGUGCCGGAAGGCCCUUGGCGAUUUGUUAUAUCUCUCGGGGGUAUUUAUGGUUUCUGAUGCAAUCCCCUUCCUUGGCUGGUUGGACACUGUGAGAGGAUAUACGGCAAAAAUGAAGAGAACAGCUAGGGAGGUGGAUCAGGUGCAGGGAAGCUGGGUGGAGGAGCAUCGCCGGAAGAGGUUCUCUGGAAGCAUGAACGAGGCUGAGCAAGACUUCAACCAUGUCAUGCUGUCUGUUAUUGAGGAUGGUCAGUUCUCUGAUCAUGACCAUGACACUGUCAUUAACGCUACUUGCUUGGUAUGUUUCUUCUUCUUUCCUUGGUCAAAUUCCAUAAACCUCCACACACUUAACAGCAAACCUCCAUCAUGAUUGGUUUUGUCCAGCUGUUACACUUGCUAUUUCAGGACUGAUGAUUAACUCUCAACUUUCUUUGACAAAAUUUCUGGGAAUAAUGAAAACUAUGAUAAACUUUUAAAUUGUUCUACUAACAGCCAGACAUACUGUUUUUUAACACACACUGAUCAAAGAAGCCAUAUCACCAGCUCAAAAGACCAACAUGGAUGUAAUGUUGAUGCAGACUCUAAUAAUAGGCGGCUCUGAUUCAACGGUGAUCACACUGACCUGGGCCCUCUGUCCGCUAAUGAACAAUCCCAGCACUCUAAAAAGAGCACAAGAUGAGUUAGACAUCAAAGUGGGAAAGCAUCGCCAAGUGGAUGAGUCAGACAUAAAGAACCUAGUCUACUUGCAAGCCAUCAUCAAGGAAACCUUACGACUGUACCCUGCUGCACCGCUUUCAGUGCCACGUGAGGCCAUGGAGGAUUGCACCAUGGCAGGCUUCCACAUCCAAGCUGGGACGCGCCUUUUGGUUAACCUCUGGAAGUUGUACAAGAACCCCAGAAUUUGGUCGGAUCCUUUGGAGUUCCAACCUGAGAGGUUCCUAACGAAGCAUGUGGAUUUGGAUGUUAGGGGUCAAAAUUUUGAAUUUCUGCCAUUUGGGUCAGGCAGAAGGGUAUGCCCAGGAAUCUCAUUUGCGCUUGAGGUCGUGCAUCCGACUUAUUUAAGAUCAUACAUCAGUUGAUUAUGAUCAUCUUCAUCGAUCAAAUAGAGUUCAUAUGUUGAUGCUUGUGUUGUUAUUUGAUUUGAUAAUUUUUCUUGCUUCUGCUUCAAAGUUUCUUGUUUGUGUUGAGCCUAGCUCAUAUUUUUAAGUCAACUCAGCGUAAGGGAAAAACACAAAUGGGAUUUGUGUUUUUUUUUUUUUCCACCAGCAGAAUGGUCUUAUUUGGAAGCUUGUACAAGCAUAGCUUUUUUAUAUAACUAUGGGGCUAGCCACACUCCACAUGAUUUAAAAUGUACAAAUAGGCAUAAUAACAACUGGCCAAAGAGAUGGUUUUUUUCAUACUCAGAACUAUCUUAUAUUAGACUUCAAAGGUGCUUCAUAUUUUCUAUCAUGCAUUGAGAGCCGUCUAUGGUUUUCAUAUUAGGAUGGCACAUGUGUGGAACAUGAAUUCCUACUUGUGAGUGUUCUAGUGUAUGUAGUUUUGAGCCAUUUUGGAGAAGUGAUUCUUUCCCCUGAUCCAUUCUCUCUGGUACUAACUAGUCAUGGGAUUCUCCCUUCAGCCUCAAGAGAUCACAGUUUUUGGGCUUCUUGCUACAAUCUGUCUGUUGUUGGAAACAGCACUUAAUGCCAAAAGGAACAAGAUCAAGGAAGGCAAAAGGCCACCAGAGCCGUCCUGACAAUGGCCUCUUAUCGGUCAUCUCCAUCUUCUAGGAGCAGACAAGCUGCUACAUCGGAAACUUGGAGACAUGGCUGACAAGUAUGGACCAAUCUUUUGCAUUCAUCUUGGCUUUCGUAAAGCUCUGGUGGCUAGUAGAUGGGAAGUAGCAAAGGAAUGCUACACUACCAAUGACAAGGUAUUCGCCACUCAACCAAUGGCUGACAGUUCUUUUUUUUUUUUCUUUUUUUUUUUUUUUUGAAAUUUAAACAGUAAGCUUUGAUGAUCUGAAAGUUUUUUUCUUCUUCAAAUUGGAAUUAUGUAUUUUUACAUUGCAGUCAUAUCUGAUACUCGUAAAGUGCAUCUUCUUCAUUUUCUUCUUGUUUGUUGUUUGAUUACACUUUAAUCUUCAUAGAAAUUGACAUUUUCUCCCCCAUCAACUCUAGAGCUAAUCAGGAAGGUAGAACAGUUCUUGGUUUGCAGACCUCAGAAAAUCAAUUAGCUAAACAAAAACAUAGAGAAGAAAAAGAGGAGCUAAAUUUGUUGAUGUUGUGACAAACUCUCCCACCUUUUAUUUAGCGAGAAGCUAUGAGAAGUGAUACUGAAUCAAGUUUACAUUGCUGGUUUGUCGUGUGGCUGUGCACGAGAUUACUAGUCAUCGUCCUCCAUGCAGAUGAGGUGUGCAUGAGAGAAUGCUCUAAUUAAUAUCUUCCUUCAUCAGGCGAUUGCGCGUGCAUGUUGGGGCUCUUUGCUUACAUAUGGUUCCUUUUUAUGCCUGGAACUGGUACUUUUAGUCCACUGAACCUGUGUUAGCACCAGAAAUAACAACAUGAAGAUACCUAUCAAGAAAAAUAUAAGUGACCAAGAGAGUAGACCGGCUUCCUAAGGAUUCCUCGUAGGUCUGGCAUACUUAUAUUAGACUUUCAGAGAUAAAUAAGUAAAGAGAACUUGAAACACUAAGUAACAUUGAUCAAAUCAUAUUGGAGAUGAGCUUGUAAGUCUAUGUAUUGUGUGGUAGGUAAAGAGGAGGCACAACUUGGGCUGAAAGCACCUGAACUGAACUUUCCACUAACUCAUUUUCUCUUGAGCGGCUAAAAAUUGGAUCAUCAAGAGACUGCCCUACCUCAAAACCUGACCUCAACCAGUAUUAAAAUACGUGAUAUUUUGACAAUAUAUCGUUAAAAUAUCGUGUAUAGGUGGAUCUCGACACGAAAUAUAGGAAAGAAAUAUUGGCACCUCGAUAUUUCGACAAUUUAUUGAAAAUUUCACCGAUUUUUCACAAUUUAUCGGUAAUUUAUUGAUUUUUCACCAAUAUUUUGACUAGUCAAUAUUUUUCACAAUUUAUCGAUAAUUUAUUGAUUUUUCACCAAUAUUUUGACAGGUCAAACUUCAAAAAAAUUCAAAAUUUCUACUGGUGCUGAAGGGAAUCCAACCCUAGCCAAAUGUUCACCAACCACGGAGACAAGUUUGCCCAUUGUUAUAUGUUUAGUACUAAAUAUAUAUAUACUAAAACUUAUUAUAUAAACAUAAUAUUUAAAGAAUGUUUUAAAGAAUAAAUUAAUUAUAAUUAUUUCAUAAUUAAAUGAAAAAAAAUUAAUUAAUUACCAAAAAUAUAAGAUUUAUCUUGAUAAUUUUCUUCCAUUAAUAUAUUAAUUAAAUAUUAAAAAUCAUAUAUAUAUAUCAUUAUUUAUUUUAUAUUAUUUAAUUUAUAUUAUUUAAUACAAUUGAAUAAAAUGGAUUAUAAAUUUGAUUUUAAUAUUAAAUAUAUUUUUUAAUAAUCAAAUAUCAUAAUAUUACCUCCAAUAAUAUUUAAUAAUAAAUGUACACUUAUAAAAGGGAGAAUUGUGUUUUGGGCCCAGCUAGGCCCAAAAAUUAACAUUUGGUCCUCCAACCACCCAUAUUUAAACCCAAGACCCAAACAAAGUAUGAAAAUUAAGAUGAAGGAUAUUGUCUUUCAUUAAUUCCUAAAAUACCCUUAUCCCUUAUAUGCCUACAAGUGAGUGUGAAUUUUAAUUUUUUUUGUUUUUUGUUUUCCUUUUCUAUUCCCUAUUAAAUAUUACUCAUUUCUAACUUUUUUUUUCCUUUUUAUUCCAAUAUAUAUUUCUAUUUUAUGUCAAAUAAAAAACAAUAAUAUUUUUUUAUUUUUCAUUUUUAAAGAUAUUGAAUCUUUUUGCUCUUAUUAAAAGCAAUGAUAAAAAUUUUGGGAUUUUUCAUCCAAAUAUUUUUUAUCUUUAUGUAUUUAUCUUUUACUUUAAUUUUCAUUUUUUAUUUUAAAUUUAUAUUACCCUUUCAUCUAUAUUUUUCUCUUAUUUUUUAUAUUUUCUACAUUAACCAUAUUUUAAAAAAUUUUAAAAUUAACUAUCACUUCACUUUAUUAUAUAUAUAUAUCUUUUUAGCUUUUUAAUUUUUAAUGUUUUUAUUUUAAAAUUUUUAAAAAGAUAAAUUUGUUGAAAAAAAAUAACUAAGAUAUGAAAUUCUAAUAUUAUAUUAAUAAUUUUUUCUUAUCUAGAUAGACUAAUGCAAAGUAUUUUGACCCCCAACAAGGAAAUUGUCAAUACAAUUUUUUAGUUAAACUUUAAAAAUUAAGUUUCAAAUAAAAUAUAUUAUAUAAAAUUUUAUCUAAAAAUUAUUGAAAGUGGUAUUUAAUUUUUUUAUUUAUUGACUUUGAAACUUAUCUAGUUUUUUACUUGAAAGGUAAUAGAACAUGUUUAUAAAAAAAAUUAGUUUUUCAUUUUUUAAAUAAAUGAGUAUAAAUAUAUUAAAAAAAAUUAAAGAUAAUCUUAGUAAAAAAUUUGAUAAAUAUGAUUAUAAUUUUAAAUAUAGAUUCAUGUGGAUAAAAUUUCACAAAAAAAAAAAAAAAUAGUGAAAAGAAAGAACAUUGUUAAAACUACAAAAACAAAAUAUGCAAUUACAAAAAUUUGAUGAUGAAAUUUAAAAAUAAAAUUCGAAACAAUUCUUGAGUGAGAGAAUUUGAGUGGGGAAAAAAUAUUUGAGUGGAAAAAAAUGGGAAAGUUUUUCGAAAUCACUUUAAAUCUUUAACAAAAAGUAGUCUUGUACACCCUUGUACAAUUAGUAAAUUUGUCUUGUACAGUUAGUAUAAUACCCUUGUACAGUUAGUGUAAUACCCUUGUACAAUAACUCAAAUUUCAUACAUCAUUUUAUGAAUAUCUAACAAUAGGUCGGUUAACCAUGUUUGCAUCGGUUUGGUUUUAAAAAAGAAAAAAAAUUGUUGUAUAAUUUUGUUUUACAAUCAUCAUAAGUGAGGUACCUAUUAAAAUGACCAUAUACAAAUUAGAUAAAAUACAUGAGAUGAAUGUAUGUUUAACCAAUGUGUGUAAGAAAUGUCAUUUAUCAUUGGUUAAGGGAAAUAAACAAACAAGUUUUUUAGAAUCACUUAAAAUCUUUCACAAAUAAUAGUUUUGUACACCCUUGUACAAUUAGUAUAUUUGUCAUGUACACUUAGUGUAAAUACCUUGUACAGUGACUAAAAAAACGUUAUUUUAUUUUAUUUUCAAUGCAAAAUGUAAUUAAAAAUAAGACAAAGAAAUUACUUAAAAACUAUUAUUUAAGCCAAAUUUAUUUAUUUAUUUCCUUUUAUUUUUGGAAAUAAAGAAAAAAGAAUAAAAAAUUUAUUUAACCAUAAGAAAUAUGAAUAUAAGAUCAGUUGGAAAAUUCUAAAUUUAUUUAUUUAUUUCAUUUUAUUUUUGGAAUUAAAGAAAUAAAAAAUAAAAAAUUUAUUUAAUCAUAAAAAAUAUUGAUAUAAGAUAUAUUAAAAAAUAGAAAUAACCCCAAAUUUAUUUACUUAUUUCAUUUUAUUUAUUAAAUUAGAAAUUAAUUUAUUUUAAUAGAUUAAAAUGUGCACAAUUGAUUUAUUACUUUGUUAAUUAUGGAUAUAUUAAAAUUUUUGAUAAAAAAUAAAUAAAGAAAAUAAAAUUAAAAAGAGUAAUAAAUAUAUAUAAUUUAGUUAUUAAAUUAUUUUUCAUGUAAAAGAUAGUCCCACAAAAAACACAUAAUUGAUCAAUUUCUUUGUUUAAUCGUAAACAUACUAUAUUUUUUUUUAUUAUUAAAAUAACUAAUGAAAAAAAAAUAAAAAUGGAUAAUCAAUGAAUGAAAUUUAGUUCUUUUUAUUAUUUUCAUAUAAAAAAUAGUACUAAGGUUUUCAAUUUUUAUUUUUUAAAAUAGUUUUCAUUUUUUAAAUAAAUGUUUUUUCAAAAAGAAAAUAUAAAAAAUAUAAAUCAUAUUACUAUUUUUUAGAAAGUAUUUUUUAAAAUAGCUUUCGAACAUAAUUUUUCUUUAUUUAUAAUUUAAAAUAGAAAAUAAUGUUGAUUUUCAAUUAUUUAUAAAAAAAAAAUUAAAAUAAUGAAAAAUCCAAAUUGUUAAAAUAUAAUUAUUAUGGUUGCAUGAAUAAUGGUGCAAUAAAGACAAAAAAAAAAAAAAAAAAGUUUAUGUGAAAGGUCAUGGGGUAUUUUAGUCCAUCACUAUUUUAUGUCCUUAAAAGGUAAUAUAUAAAAAUUUGAAGGAUAUAUUGGUCUUUUAACAUCUCAUAUCCUUUUCAUCAAUUAUGGAAGUUAUAUGGACCAAAUGUUAAUUUUUAGGCCCAACUGGGCCCAAAACACAAUUCUCCCCUUAUAAAAUACAUAUUUGUUUAUUCUUGCAUAUAAUAUUAUUAUCAAAUAUGAUAAAUUAUAUCACAUAUGUAUUUUUAUUUUUUAACAAAAUAUCUAUUAUACUUUUAAUUUUAUUUUUAAAUUUUUUUCUAUAUAUUUAUAAGUUUUAAUCAAUUUUAGAUUUAUCAAUAUUUUAUAUUAAAAUAUGGAGAUAUAUCAUAAAAUGAAGGGUUGUUCCAUGGUACCCACUUUUCAUUUUGGGGGUACCUACCCACAUUUGACCCCAAUAAAAAGAUGACAUGUGUUAAGUAUAUAUCAUUAAAAAAUUUAUAAAAACUUAUCAAACUGGUAAAGAUGACUUGUUGGUGAAAAAUAAUCACAUGCAUUUCAUAUAUAUCCAAAUAUUACAACUUUUUUAUAAUUUAUUAUUAAAUAUCAAAUAUAAUUUGUUAUUUAAUGCAUUACCUAACUCUAUCUAAAAAAAGAAAAUCCUACCAACUACUCUUAUACUCUCAUUAUUCAUAUAUAAAAAAAGGGAUAUUAAUUUAAUAUGAAAAUGAAAUAAUUUCAACUACCAAAUUACAAAAUAUGUAAGAUGUAUUUUGAUGAAUCAAAUUUCAAGAUCAAGUUUAAAACUUUUUGAGAGAGAAAAUCUAAAUUUUGUAUUAUAUGAAGAAGAUGAAGGAUUUUAAGUGAUUACAAGUGUCAAAGGUAAUAUUUGAUAUUUUUUUAUCCAAAUAUAAUUAUUGUAGGAAGAAAUGUGAUGUUAAAUAACGAUUUUAGAAUUUUUUAUAAGUUUAUUAUAAAAUUUUGUUAUCAAAUUGUUAUUAAUAUUUUUAUAUAUAUAUAUAUAUAUAUAUAUAUUUUUUUUGUUCAUAGAUUAAAUUUGAAUAUGAAGUUUUAUAUGUCUUGAAGGAUGUCAAGUGAUUACAAGUGUUAAAAGGUAACAUUUGAUUUUUUUUUUUCCCAUUUACAUAUAACUAUUGUAGGUAGAAAUGUCAUGUUAAAUGACAUUUAAAUAUGUAAUGAUUUAUAACAUCUAGAUUUUUUAAUUUUUUUUCUCAGUUAUUAUUAAUCAAAUUGAGAGCAUUUAGUCAUUUGUUAUGAAAUUGUCAUCAAUAUUUUGUAAGAGAUGGUACGAACUUUCUAAGAGAAUGUACGAACAUUGUAAGAGAUGAUACGAACUUUCUAAGAGAUAGUACGAACUUUCUAAGAGAUGGUACAAAUUUUCUAAGAAAUGGUACGAACUUUGUAAGAGAUGUACGAACUUUCUAAGAGAUGGUACGAACUUUCUAAGAGAGGGUACGAACUUUCUAAAAAAGGGUACGAACUUUCUAAGAGAUGAUACGAAUUUUCUAAGAUAUGGUACGAACUUUCUAAGACAGGAUACGAACUUUCUAAGACAGGGUACGAACUUUCUAAGAGAUGAUACGAACUUUCUAAGACAUGGUACGAACUUUGUAAGAGAUGGUACAAACUUUGUAAGAGAGGGUAUGAACUUUGUAAGAGAGGGUACGAACUUUUUAAGAGAGUGUACGAACUUUAUGAGAGAUGGUACGAACUUUGUGAGAUGAGGUACGAACUUCCAUCAUUUCUUUAAGAUUAAUUUUUUUAAUUUCUUUUAAGAGUAAUUUCCAUCAUUUUUAAGCUUAAUUAGUAUCAAUAAAUAAUAUUAUUGUAUUUCCAUGUGGAAAAAAUUUUAAAAAGUUUGAAAAUUUGUAAAAUUUUCGAGGGUAAAGAGAAUGUGACGAAGGGUGCUAAGAAUGUAAGGAUUCCUUACAUUUUUUGUACCAUUCCUCACAUUAUUCGUACAUUCUAUAAUUACUUAGUGUUUUAAUUUUUUUAUUUUCUUAAAAAUAAUAUUCACCAUUUCUAAGCUUGAUUAGUAUCAAUAAACAAUAUUAUUUGUAUUUUUAAGUGGAAAAAAAAAAUCAAAAAAUUGUUAAAUUUCAGGAUAUGGAGAAUGUGAGGUAAGGUAUGAAGAAUGUGAGGAUUUCUCAUAAUCUUCAUACAUUUUCUCACAUUUUUCAUAUCCUCUCUAAUUUUUUAGUGUUUUAAUUUUCUAAUUUUUUAGGAUAAUUUACAUUAUUUCCAAUUUUAAAUUUUUUUAAUUCUUUUUUUUUUUUUAACAAUUCUAUCAAUAAUAACUCAAAAUAAUAUUAUUAAACUAUGUUAUUGUUAUUUCAAGUUAAAAAGUAAAUUUUAAAUUUUAAAAAUAUAAAUAAUUUAGGGUACGAAAAAUAUGAGAACAGUAUGAAAAAUGUGAUAAAUACAUGAUUGGUACCUUUAUCACAUUUUUCAUAUUGAUUUUUAGUUUAAAAUUUUUUUAAAUUACAAAUUUAUUUUCGAAAAUACUAUCAUUAGUAACUUAAAAGAGUAUUAGUAAUUUAUUUUAUUGUAAUUUAACUUUAAAAACCUUAAAUUCAAAAAAUGUAAAAUUUGGAGAGUACGGAAAAAAAUUAGGACAAUCUAAUUACAUAAGUUUUACAUAUGAUUAUCAAAAUGUUGAAUUUUUAUGAAAAUACUCAUUUCAUAUUAAAAUAUUAUCAUGUUAAUUUUUAUGUUGAAUUUAAAUGUUUAAUAAUUUGUUAAAAAUAAAAUAAUGUGAUUAUGAUAUAUGAUGAUUUUUUUUUGUUAAUAAAUAUGUUUUCAAAUUUUAUAUCAUUUUUAUUUUUAUUUUUUUCUAAUUCUAUUUUUAUCUAAUAUUUAUUUUAUUUAAAUCCAAAAUUGUUAAGAAUGGAGGAAGAAAGAAUGUCAUAACCGAUUCUUCCCUUAAUUAGUUAAGUGAAAUUUUUAUUUCAAAUUUAAAGUGGAUGAUCAAGAUAUAAUCUUUGACAUUCAAUGACUUAAAAAACUUUUUUUUCGUAAGUACGAAGAGGUAACUUAGAAUUUUCCUAAAAUGAAUUAUCAAUAUAUAUGUGAGCAUGGAUACUUUCAUCCUUAUCCUCGAUCAGCACUUCCCAGAUAAGGUAGCUCAGUGCGAAUCUACCUCGAGAUCGGGCAAAAAAGGUGCCUCGGUGCGAAUCUUCCUUGAGAUCGGGCAACAUGGGAAACGUGGCCUCCAAAAGGAAACGUGGGCAAAAUGCGAAUCUACCAACCCCUGGGCCAUGGCACUUGCGGAAAAAGCUGUCAGCCCGUGACUACGCUUGUCAGCAACGUCAACGACAAAAUGAAAAGUCAAAAGGGAAAUGACCUUAAAAAAGGAAAGGAGGAGGAUGGUAAUCCUUCAUUGACAAGCAAAGGAAACGGAGAAGAACUAGAUUUUUGUAUCUCCAUCUUCUAAUGGGAUUCUCUCUUCAGCUUCAAGAUGUCACAGUUUUCGGCAUUCUUUUUGCAAUUAUCUGUCUGUGGUUGGUUAAUGCCAAAGGUAACAAGAACAAAGGCAGAAGCCCACCAGAGCCCUCCGGGGCAUGGCCUGUAAUGGGUCACCUUCAUCUUCUAGGAGCAGAUAAGCCACUACAUAGGACAUUCGGAGCCAUGGCUGAUGAGUAUGGACCAAUCUUCUCCAUUCGUGUUGGCCUUCGAACAGCUCUGGUGGUUAGUAGCUCGGAAGUAGCAAAAGAAUGUUACACUACCAAGGACAAGGCACUCGCCACUCGACCAAGAUCCUUAGCAGUAAAGCUCAUGGGCUAUGACCAUGCCAUGUUUGCGUUUGAACGUCACGGUCCAUACUGGCGUGAUGUGCGGAGGCUAGCCAUGGUUAAUCUCCUCUCCAACCGCCAGCACGAGAUGCUCAAGCAUGUCCGGGACUCAGAAGUCAAGUUUUUCAUCCAAGAGCUCUAUGGGCAAUGGGUAGAAAAUGGAGGCAGUCCUGUUUUGGUGGACAUGAAGAAAAAGUUUGAGCACCUGGUAGCAAAUUUGACGAUGAGAACAGUUGCUGGGAAACGGUGUGAAAAUGGCGAGUCAAGAUGGUGCCAAUCCCUAGGUGAUUUCAUGAAUCUAAUGGGGCAAUUUAUGGUUUCUGAUGCACUACCCUUCCUUGGAUGGUUAGACACAGUGAGGGGAUAUACAGCGAAAAUGAAGGGAACAGCUAGGCAGUUGGAUCGGGUUAUUGGAAGAUGGGUGGAGGAGCAUCGUCAGAAGAGGCUUUCCGGAAGCAUCAAUGACGCUGAGCAAGACUUCAUUCAUGCCAUGCUGUCUGUUAUAGAUGAUGCUCAGUUAUCUGGUCAUGACCAUGACCAUGAUACUGUCAUCAAAGCCACUUGCUUGGUAUGUUUCUACUACUUCAUAACACCACCAUCCUCAUGAGCAUCUGCAACUUCAUCAAGACCUUGAUAAUACUCGUAUUACUCCGUCAUGAUCUAUUUUUUCCUUCUGCUAUACAGUAUUUCAGGACUAUUGAAGUAACUCUGUUUCUUUCUUUGACAAAAAUUGCCGAGACCAUUCCGUAAGGUUAUGUUUGGUUCUCAGAAAAUUUGAGGGAAAAUACAAGGGAAAGAAAAUACAAAAGAAAAAUAGAAGGAAAGAAAAAGUGAAAGAAAAUAAAAAAUGGAUUAAAAAUUGAUAAGUUAUUUUUAUUUUUUACUUCAAACUCAUUUUAUUUAUUUUAACUCAUCAAUAUAAAGAUUAAAUAAUUUUAAAAUACAUAAGUUUUUAAUUAGUUUUAAUUAUAUUUGAUUUUCUUUUAUAUUUUUUAUAGGACAACCAAACAUGAAAAAAUCAUUUUCCUUUGCAUUUUUUUUCUUUCUUUAGUAUUUUCCGGAACCAAACAUAACCUAAGGAAACAGCAGACAGAAUUCAUAAAUUAGGCUGGAAUAACAGGAACUGGGAUAAUUUUUUUUUUACCCGGAUUCCCCAGUCAUAAUUCUUCUGCCGCUAGACAUACUAUUUCACAAAUGAUGUAUGGACUUUUUUCUUUAAUCACAAGUUCAACAUGGGCGUAAUAUGUUGAUGCAGACUGUCAUGUUGGCGGGCAAUGAUACAAUAGCGGUCACACUCACCUGGGCCCUCUCUCUGCUAAUGAACAACCCUCGUGCACUAAAAAAGGCACAAGAAGAGUUGGACUUUCAUGUGGGAAGGAAUCAGCAAGUGUACGAAUCAGAUAUAAAGAAGCUAGUCUACUUGCAAGCCAUUAUCAAGGAGACCUUACGACUAUACCCUGCUGGGCCGCUUGCACUGCCACAUGAGGCCAUGGAGGACUGCACUAUUGCAGGCUUCCACAUCCAAGCUGGGACUCGCCUUCUGGUUAACCUCUGGAAGUUACACCGCGAUCCCACAAUUUGGUCGGAUCCUUUGGAGUUCCAACCUGAGAGGUUCCUGACAAAGCAUGUGGGUUUGGACGUUGGGGGUCAACAUUUUGAACUUCUACCAUUUGGGUCAGGCAGAAGGAUGUGCCCAGGAAUCUCACUUGCUCUGGAGAUCCUGCAGCUGACACUAGCCAGAUUGCUUCAUGGUUUUGAAUUGGGAGUAGUUUCAGAUUCACCCCUGGAUAUGACUGAAGGUGUUGGGCUCGCUAUGCCUAAAGCAACUCCACUGGAGGUCACCCUAGUCCCAAGGCUACCCUCCGAGCUCUACCACUAAAGUAGUAUCCUUAUGUGUGCCACAAAAUCCCCUGGUUAGCCCUGGAAGGGUCUACUCCAAAGGUUUGGUCUUCAUAGGACAUAAGGAGCAACCUUCUGAGCUCUCCUGCUACAGAAGUAGCAGAAAAAAUAAUAAACAAUGAGUGCCACAAAAUCCCCUAAUUAGUCCAUGAAGAUGAUGAAUAAAUUAUGCUCAUUUUAUGUAUAUUUAUGUAGCUCACUCCGAAUGCAUAUCCACCUAAAUGAACCUCGAUGAAGAGCCUCACAUCUUGGGAUGUUACAUCACUUGCCGUCCUUGCAUAUCUACUCAAGCUUUCUUAAUCAGGAUACUUUCUAGGUACCUUGUGUUUGUAAUUUAACUGGAACAUGUUAAAAUUAGGAGUCUUGGGUCUAUUUUGGGAAGGUUUUUAAAAAUAAUUCUUAAAAAUAUAUAUACAUUUUUAAACUAUUUUCAAAAAUUGUUUUAUCAUAUUUUCUAAAAUAAAAAUAUGUUUGAAAUUUUAGAAAGUUUUUAACAUGUUUUUUUCUUUUUUAAUUUUCAAAUUUUUUUUAAAAAAUGACCUUCUAUCUCCAAUGCUUUAUUUUCAACCAUUUCUAAAAAUUAAUUAAAUACGUUUUUUAUGUUUUUUUUAUUCUCAAAAAUAAAAAUAAUUAUUCUUAAUAACAAUUUGUAAACAUAACUUAAGCUUUUUUUAAAAAAAUAAAAAUAAAAAUGUUGAAUUUAAAGUGUUCAAGAAUAACAGGUGAGUGAAUGGAAUGAGUGUGGCCUUUAAAGCUCAUCAUUUGUAACAUGAUUUAAGAACUUGUUUGAUAGAGGUUUUAAAAAGCGUUUAUAAUCUUUUUAGAACUUAAAAAUAUUUCUUUUGAGAAAAAUUUUUAAAUAUUAAAAAGAUUAAAAAUACAUUCUAAAAUUACUAUCAAACGAAUUUUAAAAAUGUGUUUGUCAAUGUUUUUACCAAACAUGAUUUUUGUGAAAGUAUUUUUUCUAAUAGUUUUUUUCAUAUAAUCAUUUAUUAAGAGUUAUUUUGAUAGUGAUCCUAGAAAGUGUUUUUACUAUAAAAAGGAGUUUAAAAAAAAACAUUGAAUGUUUAACCGAAUUUAAGAAAUACUAUUCAAAAUUCUAAAAAUGCAUCAACAUGAUUUUUGUGAAAGUAUUUUCUCUAAUAGUUUUUUUCAGAGAAUCAUUUAUUAAAAGUUAUCUUGACAAUGAUUCUAAUAAGUAUUUUUAUCCUAAAAAGAUUUUUUUUUUUUAAAUAUUGAAUGUUUAACAGAAUUUAGAAAAUACUAUUCAAAUUUUGAAAAAUCAUUUUUUAGAAAACACUUGAGAUGAUUUUUCGAAAAAUAAUAUUUUAUGAGAAAACAUUGUUAUUAAAGAAACUUUGAAUAUAAAUACUUUCAAGUCCACUCUCACUAUUGUUUUAAGAGUGUGUUUGUAGAAAGUAUUUUUAAUAUCUUUAAUACUUGAAAGAUAAAAAAUUUUAAAUGUUAAAAAUAUUAAAAAUACUUUUUAAAAUCACUAUAAACGUGUAAGAAGAAUUAUAAGUGAUUUUUUAACUUUUUUUAUAACCCUUGUCUAAAUUUUAUCUAGUUUUAUUUUUUUUUUGGUCAAAAAUAUUUUUUUAAGCUAGAAUAAGAAGUAAACUUUAAAGAAUCCUUACCCAGCCGUUAACGUUUUAAACACCGUAGUUACUAGGCCCUACUCUCAUGCUAUUGUUUAUAUAAACAUGAACACUUUUGUUACUUAGUGCUGGAACGCAUUAGAACUAUAGACAAAACAGAAGAUUCCUUGGUUUUAUUUAGGCACCAAACCCACUCAUUCACUCAUUCAAGCAUAUUUAAAUUUAAAUGCAGCCGUCCAUGAAUAAACAACAGACCCAUUACCAAGAAGGUGAUCAUCCUUUUUCAGGGUUGGUUCUUCAAAAUUCAAAAUCAGUUAGCUGAAGAACAGAAAGGAAAAGAACAGAGCUGAAUUUACAGAAAAGUAAUUUUUUUUUCCUUUUCCUUUUCUAAGGAUCUUGGAAUCCUUUUCCUGGUAUAGGCAGAACAUUAGAGAUAUAUAUAUGGUAGUGGGAAGUAAUUCUUCCCCCUAAAACAUUUUCUUUUCUAUUGAGUCAUGGCUUCAGCUUCGAGGGAUCAUCGUUUUUGGCCUUCUGUUUGUGGUUGAUAAAAGCUGAAGGGAACAAGAACAAAGGCAAAAGGGCACCAGAACCAUCCAGGGCAUGACCUUUAAUCGGACACCUUCAUCUUCUAUGAGCAGGCAAGCCCCAACAUCAAUCAUUUGGAGCCAUGGCAGAUAAGUAUGGACCAAUCUUUUGCUUUCAUAUUGGCCUGCGCAAAACUUUUUUGGUUAGCAGCUGGGACGCAGCAAAAGAAUGUUUCACUACCAUGGACAAAGCAUUUGACACUCGACCCAGAUCCUUGGCAGGAAAGCUCAUGGGCUAUGACCAUGCCAUGUUUGGCUUCUCUCCUUACGGGCCAUACUGGCGUGAGGUAAGGAAGCUGGCCUCGGUUGAGCUCCUCUUAAACCGCCAGCUUGAGUUACUCAACCAUGUCCGGGACUCAGAAGUCAAGCUUUUCAUCAAAGAGCUCUACGGGCAAUGGAUACAAAAUGGGGACAGGCCUGUCUUGGUCGAGAUGAAGGAGAAGUGUUGGUUCCUGGCAGCAAAUGUAAUGGUGAGCGAAGUAGCUGGGAAACGGUAUUUUGGCACCGUUACAAAUUGAAGAAUUUGAAGAAAAAUAUGAAGGAAUUUGAAGACAAAAUAUGGAGGAACACCUCAAUUCAUUCUGUGAUUCCUUCCUUUACAAUGAAUGAAAGCAUAAAUAAAUAGCCUACGGAUAUGAGACAAUUCCGGAAUGGAAUUUCCCUUACAUGGAAAGUGAAUAAACUCUUACAUGGGAAUUAAAUAAACUACUCUUACAUGGAAAGUAAAUAAACUACUCUUACAUGGAAAGUGAAUAAACUACUCUUACAUGGAAAGUGAAUAAACUACCUUGCUAGAAUUAUUCCUAAAUCAAUUAUAAUAAAGGCUGUACAUUACACUAAUUAGGGAAGUAAACAGAGGAUGCUGGCUUGAUUUCCAACACUCCCCCUCAAGCCGCGUUGUAGAUGUUGAUCAUUCCAAGUUUUUCUGUCAGAUCUUCGAAGUUAACUCGAGCAAGAGCUUUUGUAAGAAUGUCAGCCGUUUGACAGUUUGUCGGAGUGUAGCUGACUUUGAAAACUCCUUCUUCAAUCUUUUCCUUGAUAAAGUGUCGAUCUAUCUCCACGUGCUUAGUUCGAUCAUGAUGAACCGGAUUCUUAGCGAUACUGAUGGCAGCUUGAUUGUCGCAGUAUAAUACCAUGGGAUGCUUCAAUGGAACCCGUAAUUCUUCUAACAGCCUGUUCAACCAGAUUCCCUCGCAGAUACCUUGUGCCAUAGCACGAAAUUCUGCCUCAACACUGCUACGGGCUACCACUGACUGUUUCUUGCUUCGCCAUGUAACCAAGUUCCCCCAGACAAAUGAACAAUAGCCUGAAGUUGAUCUCCGAUCAGUCACUGAACCUGCCCAAUCUGCAUCUGAAAAAAUUUCAAUCUCUUUCUUUGUUGUUCUUUGAAAGAAGAGGCCCUUUCCCGGUGUCAUCUUGAGGUAUCUCAAUAUUCUGAUCACAGCAGUCAUGUGUUUUUCGAUUGGAUUAUUCAUGAAUUGACUUACCACACUAACGGAGAAGCCGAUGUCUGGCCUUGUAUGAGAAAGAUAGAUGAGUUUCCCCACAAGACGUUGAUAUCUUCCUUUAUCAAUUGGCGCACUUCCAUCACUUUCUUCCAGUUUGACAGUUGUAUCCAUAGGUGUUUCUGCCGGCUUGCAUCCUAGCAUUCCUAUUUCAUUCAAUAAGUCCAGAGCGUAUUUGCGUUGUGAGACUGCUAUACCUUUCUUUGACCUAGCAAUCUCCAUUCCGAGAAAGUACUUGAGGUUUCCAAGAUCCUUGAUCUCAAAUUCCUUUGUCAGUAAUUUUUUAAGUAAGUCAAUUUUCUCUUCAUGAUCACCUGUCAAAAUUAUGUCGUCCACAUAUACAAUGAUAAUUGCCAGUUUCCCUUCUGGGAAGUGUUUCACAAAUAAUGUGUGAUCGGAUUGACAUUGAACGAAUCCGUACCUUUUCACUACCUUAGUGAACCGUUCAAACCAGGCCCUGGGAGAUUGUUUGAGACCAUACAAGGAUUUUCGGAGUCUGCAAACCUUGUUGAAAUUUGAUGUCGUCUCAAGUCCAGCAGGAAUGUCCAUGUAAACUUCUUCCUCUAAGUCACCAUUGAGGAAUGCAUUCUUCACAUCAAGUUGGUGAAGCGACCAAUCGAGAUUAGCUGCCAAGGAUAAAAGUACACGAACAGUAUUGAGCUUGGCAACUGGAGCAAAAGUUUCUUGAUAGUCAAUGCCAUAGGAUUGGGUGAAUCCUUUGGCGACCAACCGAGCCUUAUACCUGUCCACAUUACCAUCUGCCUUGUACUUUACUGUGAAAAUCCACUUNNNNNNNNNNNNNNNNNNNNNNNNNNNNNNNNNNNNNNNNNNNNNNNNNNNNNNNNNNNNNNNNNNNNNNNNNNNNNNNNNNNNNNNNNNNNNNNNNNNNNNNNNNNNNNNNNNNNNNNNNNNNNNNNNNNNNNNNNNNNNNNNNNNNNNNNNNNNNNNNNNNNNNNNNNNNNNNNNNNNNNNNNNNNNNNNNNNNNNNNNNNNNNNNNNNNNNNNNNNNNNNNNNNNNNNNNNNNNNNNNNNNNNNNNNNNNNNNNNNNNNNNNNNNNNNNNNNNNNNNNNNNNNNNNNNNNNNNNNNNNNNNNNNNNNNNNNNNNNNNNNNNNNNNNNNNNNNNNNNNNNNNNNNNNNNNNNNNNNNNNNNNNNNNNNNNNNNNNNNNNNNNNNNNNNNNNNNNNNNNNNNNNNNNNNNNNNNNNNNNNNNNNNNNNNNNNNNNNNNNNNNNNNNNNNNNNNNNNNNNNNNNNNNNNNNNNNNNNNNNNNNNNNNNNNNNNNNNNNNNNNNNNNNNNNNNNNNNNNNNNNNNNNNNNNNNNNNNNNNNNNNNNNNNNNNNNNNNNNNNNNNNNNNNNNNNNNNNNNNNNNNNNNNNNNNNNNNNNNNNNNNNNNNNNNNNNNNNNNNNNNNNNNNNNNNNNNNNNNNNNNNNNNNNNNNNNNNNNNNNNNNNNNNNNNNNNNNNNNNNNNNNNNNNNNNNNNNNNNNNNNNNNNNNNNNNNNNNNNNNNNNNNNNNNNNNNNNNNNNNNNNNNNNNNNNNNNNNNNNNNNNNNNNNNNNNNNNNNNNNNNNNNNNNNNNNNNNNNNNNNNNNNNNNNNNNNNNNNNNNNNNNNNNNNNNNNNNNNNNNNNNNNNNNNNNNNNNNNNNNNNNNNNNNNNNNNNNNNNNNNUGUGGGGUAUCAACACAUGAACUUAAGUGAACUAUCCCUUCUUGUGCUAGAAAUUCUCCUAGAAUGGAGUUGAAAUAAUCCCUAGCAUUAUCAAACUUUAGAAUUUGUAUUUUUGACUGGAAUUGGGUUUGAAUCAUAUUUUUAAAAUUUUUGAAAAUUUGACUCGUUUCAGAUUUUUCUUUCAUGAGGAAUACCCAAGUUAAUCUAGUGUGAUCAUCUAUGAAUGAGACAAACCACCUAGUACCAGUUACAUUUUUUAUUCUUGACGGACCCCAGAUAUCGCUAUGAAUCAUUGAGAAUGGACUAGACUCUUUAUAGGGUUGAAUGGGAAAAUGAGACCGGACUUGCUUUGAUAAUUGACAGAUUUCACACUCAAAGGAUUGUGGAUUUUUAUUAAAUAAUGAAGGAAAUAAAUGCUUGAGAUACAUAACAUUUGGAUGACCUAAGCGAUAGUGCCACAACCUAAUUGCACUAUCGUUAUUUUGACAUGAAACCGAAAAAGAAUUACUACCAACUGUCAUUUGAGGUUGUUCUUGUGGAUCGUGGCGCUCCUUAAGGAUGUAGAGUCCAGAGCAUUCCUCAGCAUUGCCAAUCGUCUUCCCCGAAUCCAAAUCCUUUGUGAGCCAAGGUUCCGGAACCAAUGACCUGGUUGGAAGAUGAGCCAGUUUCCAUCUGAUGAGAGGAUGAAGACGAUGAGAUGAUGAUAUCAGAAGUAGAGGAUGAUGAGUUGGUAGCCAUUCCAAAGGCUGAACCUUAUUUGGGCAUAAAUUAGAAGAAUAGAAUUGAGUAAAAACUGACUAAAGAUGAAGACGAUGAGACAGGAUUAAACCUGCUCUGAUACCAUGAAGAAUUUGAAGAAAAAUAUGAAGGAAUUUGAAGACAAAAUAUGGAGGAACACCUCAAUUCAUUCUGUGAUUCCUUCCUUUACAAUGAAUGAAAGCAUAAAUAAAUAGCCUACGGAUAUGAGACAAUUCCGGAAUGGAAUUUCCCUUACAUGGAAAGUGAAUAAACUCUUACAUGGGAAUUAAAUAAACUACUCUUACAUGGAAAGUAAAUAAACUACUCUUACAUGGAAAGUGAAUAAACUACUCUUACAUGGAAAGUGAAUAAACUACCUUGCUAGAAUUAUUCCUAAAUCAAUUAUAAUAAAGGCUGUACAUUACACUAAUUAGGGAAGUAAACAGAGGAUGCUGGCUUGAUUUCCAACACAAAUGACUAUGAGUCAAGACGGUGCCGGAAGGCCCUUGAAGAUUUGUUAUAUCUGUCGGGGAUAUUUAUGGUUUCUGAUGCAAUUCCCUCCCUUGGCUGGUUGGACACUGUGAGAGGAUAUACGGCAAAAAUGAAGAGAAUAGCUAGGGAGGUGGAUCAGGUGCAGGGAAGCUGGGUGGAGGAGCAUCGCCGGAAGAGGUUCUCUGGAAGCAUGAACGAGGCUGUGCAAGACUUCAUCCAUGUCAUGCUGUCUGUUAUUGAUGAUGGUCAGUUCUCUGAUCAUGACCAUGACACUGUCAUUAAGGCUACUUGCUUGGUAUUUUUCUUCUACUUUCCUUGGUCAAAUUCCAUAAACCUCCACACACUUCUGUAUGGAAACAGCAAACCUCCAUCAUGAUUUGUUUUGUCCAGCUGUUAUACUUGCUAUUUCAGGACUGAUUAUUAACUCUCAACUUUCUUUGACAAAUUUUCUGGGAAUAAUGAAAACUAUUAUAAACUUUUAAAUUGUUCUACUAACAGCUAGACAUACUAUUUUUUAACACACACUGAUCAAAGAAGCCAUAUCACCAGCUCAAAAGACCAACAUGGAUGUAAUGUUGAUGCAGACUCUAAUAAUAGGCGGCUCUGAUUCAACGGUGAUCACACUGACCUGGGCCCUCUGUCCGCUAAUGAACAAUCCCAGCACUCUAAAAAGAGCACAAGAUGAGUUAGACAUCAAAGUGGGAAAGCAUCGCCAAGUGGAUGAGUCAGACAUAAAGAACCUAGUCUACUUGCAAGCCAUCAUCAAGGAAACCUUACGACUGUACCCUGCUGCACCGCUUUCAGUGCCACGUGAGGCCAUGGAGGAUUGCACCAUGGCAGACUUCCACAUCCAAGCUGGGCGCGCCUUUUGGUUAACCUCUGGAAGUUGCACAGGGACCCCAGAAUUUGGUCGGAUCCUUUGGAGUUCCAAC
This 97234-nucleotide long non-coding RNA is filed under the name Vitis vinifera (wine grape). RNAcentral's name for it is "long non-coding RNA (VVIN_LNC000690)". Lineage: Eukaryota; Viridiplantae; Streptophyta; Magnoliopsida; Vitales; Vitaceae. The record is from RNAcentral.